Molecule: long non-coding RNA, 169721 nt
Filed under: Prunus persica (peach)
Lineage: Eukaryota; Viridiplantae; Streptophyta; Magnoliopsida; Rosales; Rosaceae
Description: long non-coding RNA (PPER_LNC001941)
Source: RNAcentral
AAUUUUCCGAAUUGGUUAGGAGACUCGUCUUUUUCUAACAUACGAGUCAUGCAUCUCAGUGACUGUAGUUAUUGUUGGUUGCUCCCACCAGUUGGACGGCUACCGGCACUCAAAGAGCUCUGUAUAGAAAGAAUGAAGUCUUUGAGGACGAUUGGCGUUGAAUUCUAUGACAGAGAUGGAGCUUAUCUGACUCAGCCAUUUCGAUCUCUGGAGAAGCUAGAGUUUAGGGAGAUGCCGGAGUGGGAGGAAUGGGUACCAAGUGGAAGUGCAAGUGGAGGUGAAUAUGGUCCAGACUUUCCUCGUCUCCAGGAGCUGAUUCUAAACGAGUGUCCGAAGCUAAGAGGAAGUUUGCCUUGUGAGUUGCCUUGCUUGAAGAAGCUUACGGUGUAUGGGUGUGAGGUUUUACAUGAUGGAAGGGCGGCUACCGCAACUACCAAUAGUCUUAACUAUAAAUCUCUGGAAGAAUUGGAUAUACAUGGUGGAUGCCAAACUCUGUUAUCAUUAUUAGAGACAAAGCUCCUGUCCCGACUUGACAGACAGUGCUUGCCCAACUGCAAUCGUCUUCAAAGUUUGACUCUUUCGAAUUGUCCAACGCUGUCGUCGUUUCCUAAAGAUGGCCUACCCAGUACGUUGACAUCACUUGAUAUAAACAAUUGUAGGAAAUUAGAAUUCCUACCUCAUGAGAUGUUGGCCAAAUUAACAUCGCUUGACUAUUUGUGCGUACAAAAUAGCUGUGAUUCAAUGAGGUCCUUCCCGUUGGGCAUUUUUCCCAAAUUGACGACGCUUCAAAUUCGUGGUUGUGAGAAUCUGGAAUCUUUUUCCUUGAUUGAAGAAGAAGGAGCUGUUGAGAAUCUUAGCCAUCUCAAUGACUUGCAAGUCUCUAAAUGUCCAAAAAUGGUGUGUUUUCACGAGGGAGAAUUGCCCACUCCCAACCUGAGUCACUUUGUAGUCAGUGAUUGCGAGAAUUUGAAGUCAUUGCCCGAACGCCUUCACACCCUCACAGCCCUUCGAUAUUUGUCGAUAUGGAAUCUUCCGAAUCUGGAGUCAUUUGCAGAAGAUGGGGGUUUGCCUCCCAACCUCCGAUCUUUUAGCAUUUGGAAUUGUAAGAGACUGAGGGCUUCAUCAGUGGGAGAGUACUGGGGUUUGCAAGCACUUGACUCCCUUGAGAUCGAUGGAAGUGACCAUGUCUUGGAGACGUUGCUGUUCCCUGCCACUCUUCACACUCUCCGCAUCUCUGAUCUAUCAACUCUGAAAUCUUUGGACGGAAAGGGUCUUGGACACCUCACUUCUCUUCAAAAGCUAGAAAUUGACAGCUGUCCAAGUCUGGAAUUACUGCCAGGAGAGGAACUUCAACACCUCACUUCUCUUCAAACUCUAAUUAUUAGUUCGUGUGGCAGUCUCCAAUGCCUGCCAGAAGAGGAUUUGCCGUCAUCUCUUUCUCAUCUGAGUAUCUGGCGGUGUCCUCCCCUGGAGAAAAGGUAUAAGAAUAAGACGGGACAAGAUUGGGCAAAGAUAUCUCACAUUCCUUGCAUCAAGAUAGGAUACGAACUGAUCAUAUAAUAUGAGCUAUUCCAUAUUUCAUGCUCAACCCUCAACUCUCAAAUCAAAGUCAGGUGAGGUGUGUGCCUUCUCUUACUUUAAAAAACUGCUUCUCUUCUUCUAAUUGAAUACAAAAACCAAAACACAUAUUCUCUUUCUCUUCCAAAAACCCAAAUACAUGUUGGACAUUGCCCAAAUUUGAUCUCCAAAUUCCUAAUUAUUUCACGCUUUUUGUUAUUUUAUGGUUGCUGGUCACAAAUUAUAUCCUACUUGGAGUAUCAAAUGCUGAAUAAUUAGCAGUCUUUUUGCAGGACGACAUACCUUCUCUUGGCCCUUGGGGAGCUUUUCAAAAUUUGCAAGGUUUCUUUAUGUGGCAUUUCCAGAGGAGGGUCACAGGGCGGAGAAACAGAAAAGGUUUACCUGGAAUAUCUCAUACAUUCCUGCAUGUAGGCAUCAAAUGUACACCAUUUUUAGGUACUUUUAUAUGAAAAAAAUUGUAUUUGAGUCUCAUUUGCACUAGUUUAAAUCAAAUUUAAUGCCUAUGGAUAGUCUAUUAAUAGGUUCAUGCCAUGAAUUAAUCUUUGGACUUUCCCAGGUACUGCAGGUUUGUUAUUAAUGUUGUGGCUAGGUUGUCUUACGUUGAGGAGAGAGAUCGAUCAGCAAUUACAAAAUUGUUAGCGAAUUUAGUUUGUUUAUCAUCUCUCUCCUUUUGUUUGUUAAGUUUUGUUGUUCUAGGUUAAACCCUUGUCCCCGCAUUUCACAGCAACUCUGUGUUAUUCCACUCUGUUUAGAUUUCAUUUAUGUUGUGAUUCGACUGCUGCUGUAUUUUAGAUUUCGUUCAUGUAAUGUUAGGAUGUUUAAUCUCUGAUCUGUGGUGGUAGUUGAGUAGUUGAGUAGUCUAGUUAAUCCAGUAGAUAACUUGUCCCCUGUUUUGUAUUGUUUUUAUUUCUCUGGUAAUGAAAGCACGUUUCUUAUAAAUAAAUAAAAAAUAUUUCAUUGAUAUUCAUUGCUUAUUUUGAACUGCAGAAGCCUACUUUUGUCAGAGUCAGUAGAUGCCAGAAUGAAGUCAUUGCCUAAACACAUUGGCACCCUCACAGCCUUCGACAUUUUGGGAUAUAUGAUCUUCAAAAUCUUGUGUCAUUUGCCUCCCAACCUGCAAUAUUUUCAUAUUUUAAAUUGUGACAGACUGAGCCCUUUGGUGGGAGAUUACUGGGGUUUGCAAGGACUUGGUGGCAAUAUCUUGUAGACGUUUCUCAAGGAACAGCUGCUCAAUGCCACUCUUCGCACUCUAUAUAUUAUGGCCUGUCAGUCUAAAAUUCCUGCCAGGAGAGGAACUUGAACGCCUCUCUUCACUGCAAAGGCUACAUAUUUGUGGGUGUGACAAUACCCAAUUCCUGCCAGAAGAGCGUUUGCUGCCAUCUCUUUCUUAUCUGUGCAUCGACCAUUGUUUUGCCAUGUAGAAAAGGUAUCUCACAUUCCUUGCGUCAAGAUAGGUGAAGAAGUGAUCAUAAGGUAUGAGCUCUCUCUCCCUCUCGCUCACAUACAAAGUACUUAAACACUCAAUCUGAUUUCUAUUAUUAUUUUGCUCAGUAAAUUUUGUUUAAAUUUGCUUUAUUUCUCAUUGCGCUUGUUCUGCUUAUCACAACUUAUAUCCUAUUUAAAUCUCAAAUGCUGAAUAAUUAGCAGGCUUUUCGCAGGACAACAUAUCUUCUCUUGGAGAGAUAUUCAUUUGCAAGGUUUCUUUAUGUGUCAUUUCCAGAGGAGGGUUUACUAUUUAAUAGAAAGGUUCACCUGGAAUAUCUCAACUGACACAUUCCCAAAUACAAGCAUUGAAUGCACAACAUUUUGAGGUACUAUUUUUGUAAUAAAAAUGUACUUGAGUCUCAUUUGAGCUAGUUUAAAUUGUAUUCAAUGUCUAUGGAUAACCUGUGAGCUUAAGUAGUAAGAUAAAACUCACAGUAUAUUAUUAGGGUUUAGGGUUCAACAGGUGAGCUUUAGUUGUACUUUCCUAGGUACUGCAUGUAUAUUAUCUUCGUAUCAACAGGUGGUCUUAUGUGGACGAGCGAGAACAUUGAGGAAUUACAAAAUCUUCUUAGCUUGUUUCAGCUCUGUUUGUCAUCCCUCACAUUUUCUUUGUUAAGCCUUGAUUUUUUAUUAGACAUAAGAAAAAAUGCUUUUAUAAGACAGGAGAUGAAUGCUUUUAUAUGUUGAUGUCAUAGUCAGUCUUCAACCACACUCUGUUUUUAGAAUUCAUUUAUGUUACAAGUGGAGUGCUGCUGUAUUUUAUAUUUCGUUCCUGUAAUGUUUGGAUGUUUAGCUUGAGUAGUCUAGCUUAUCCAGUAGAUAACUUGUCCCCUGUUUUGUAAUGUUUUUGUUUCCUCUAAUGAAAGCAGGUUUUACUUAUCUUGAAUUGCAGAAGCCUACUUUUUGACAUAGGUGGCAUGGCACAAACUCGCAUCCGCAUUUCCUUCCCCAUUGGCAUGCUGUCUCAUCUUUUCUAUUCUGUUACCAGCUUGAAGCUUGUGUAGACAUGUUAUGCUCUUGUAAUUCUGAUCACAAACAUCACUUGACAAAUGGAAAGUCACAAUCAGAUCUUUCAGGUGAUCUGGAGGUUUACUUUCUAACAUUUGUUUUCGUGGGGGGGGGGGGGGAGGACAACAAUACAGAAUUUAAAAUUUCUGAUAAUCAAUAGUAGUUUGCAUAUAUCAGCUGGGACCUGUAUGACUGUAUUAUGUAAUUAAUUAUUCUCUUAUUGUUUUGGUACUGUUAAAAGGAGUUAGCCACACAAAAUAAAAAAGGAGGCCUCUUAUUUCAUACUAAUCGUCUGGUCCAUCUGCUGCUUCACUCCCUAGUAGCUUCAUCUCCUGUCCUUUGCUUUAUUUCUGUUAUUUAUUUUGAUUUCAUGUCCAUUGCUUCAUUUCUGUUUGGAUUCUUAAUUAAAUCUGUCCUGGACUUGAACAAGGGUUAGGUUAGCUGUAUAAUUUGCGGUUUUAUAUACACAACUGUCUACAUUGAUUAAAACCAGCAUUAUUCUAAGGUUCAUUUAGAAUGUAUUAUCACCAAAAUUAUAAAGUAUACUUCUAUUACAAUUAAUUUGUUGAUUCUAAUUUGGACUUGUAGGAACAGACCAAACAUGUUCAUAUGUGGCAUUGCUCAAGUCAUCAUCAUUCGGGACAGAGAAUAAGCCUUCAAAUGUCUGCUGAGUCAAUGAACCUUUCUAGAUAUCUCAAGUGUAAUGGAAAUUGAUGAGUUACAAAGGAUUUGUAAACAUUUUCUACUGGAGGCUAGAAAUGCUUCAAAUAAAUGACUGUGUUGCAAUUAUUUUGUAGGAUCAAAGACUCUGCAAAGAGGUAAGAAAGUCAUCAUCAAAUAACUUUGCUCUUCAAACUUUUUAUUUUUAUUUUUAAAUAUCAGUAAUAACUGGGAAAGCUUGCAUCUCCUUAAAUUGCUCAUUCUUACAUCUUUUAUAGUUUGUUGAUCUUGGGCAAGUGGAGAGAGAGGCGUCAAGUGAUACACAACAACCAUUUUCUGUGAGCUGAUUUGAUAAAGAGAAAUGGUAUGCUUUCUUGUCUUAAGCGGUGUGUUCUGCAAUUAUUUGAAACAAAGGAUGCCGCACUUCAAGUUCGAGAAAAUCAGGUAUUUUAGUAUUUUAUUCUUGAGAAAUUUGAUUUAUGUAGAAACUUGAACAUGUAAAUGAGAGAAAUAUAUAUAUAUAUAUAUUAUAUAUUGUAUAUGCUGUUAAUGAGUUAAUAUGGUGCUUGCUCCUAGUUGGAAAUUUAUGUAGUCAUCUACCUAUGAUCAAAUAAAGAUGAAAAAUAAAAUAAAAUUGAGAGCAUCUUCCUCUCCCCUGCUUUGCUCAUCCCUUGUUCUUCCACUUCAGCCCCACUAUUACACCAUUUUUUCAGCCACAAUUAUAAUAGCUCCAUGAGCAUAUUAACAUCAGUGGCCACAGUUCCAUGAUUUGAGUGCACAGAAAGGUUUCAAAAAUUGUCCCAAAAGUACAGUCGUUCAAAGUGAAAGAGAGUUUUCAAAGCUUAAUUACAAGUUCAUGUUAUUUACAAUAGCAAAAAGCUUUCAUUCUUGCUUACAAACUUGUAUUUCCAAGUUCUGUAAACCUUGGAAUUUCACUUCAUCCAAAUCCCCUUCCAAAGCAGGAAAAAAUGGCAGCAGCUUUGAUUGGAGAGGCUCUCAUCUCUGCUUCUAUCGAGGUGUUGUGUGACAGAGUUACUUCAGCCGAGUUCAUAGACUUAUUUCAGCAGAAGAACUUGAUGAAACACUCCUCAUGAACCUGAAGACAACACUGUUGAUUUUGUUUGCGGUGCUCAAUGAUGCAGAGGAGAAGCAAAUUGUGAACCCUGCUGUGAGAGAGUGGCUUAACAGCUCAAGCAUGCUGUCUUUGAUGCAGAGGACUUAUUUGAUGAGAUUGACACUGAAGCUUUGCGAUGCAAGCUGGAAGGUGAGGAUCAAACCCACAAUAGUUAACCAACAAGGAUCUUUUUGAUUGUUUGAAAGAAGAGUCUUUGAUGAUUUGAAAGGAGAGGGUUGCUUUAUUUCUGUUGGAUGCGUAAUUAAAUCUUAUUUGGAGUUGAACAAGGAUUAGAUUAGCUGUAUAAUUAGUGGUAAACGCCUUUUUCUAAGGGUCAUUUAGACUCCUAUUACGAUUAAUUUGUUGUUUCUAAUUUGGACUUAUAGGAACAGACCAAAUAUGUUCACACGUGGCAUCGCUCAAGUCAUCAUCAUUUCAGACUGAAAAUCAGCCUUCAAGUGUCUGUUGAGCCAAUAAACCUUUCUAGAUAUAUCAAGUGCAAUGGAAAUUCAUGAGUUACAUAGAGAUUUGUAAACAUUUUGAAGAUUGCAACACCUGCAAGUGAGAUAGGCGGUGACGAAAUCAGAGCUGAUUUUGAAGCCUCUGAUGCCCCUGUUGUUGCAAGUUGCACCUGAGAACAUGUUUUUUUUUUCUUUGGGGUAAAAAAACUGGCAACAUGUUCGGAGCUGACAAUUCAAUCCCUGAUGAACUAGAGAAGCGAAGCUCCGGUAAGGAAUUGGUCAAGGUUGUGACAGGGAUGAUUGAUGGUGAAAUGGAUGCUAUUUCUUAUUGCAGCCUGUUCUCAAAGUUCUUGUUGGCAAAUGCAAGAGAUGGAGUAUUUUGAUUGGGAGGAGAUAUAAUGACAUGGCUUGACAAUUCUAGAACAGCCCAUCAUUAAUCCCAGAAAAAAUCCAGUUUCUGCUAAACAAUCACUUAUGGCAAGGCCAACUCUGUAAAUGGAAUUUGUGAUCCCUUGAAAUUGUACACAUUUUUUCUUUUUGAGGAAUUUAAUCAAACAGUAUUCUAAUGUAUUAUGAUAGCACUACACGCUUUUGUUGUAACAAAUUACAAGGAGGAAUUUGGAUUGAGUUUCUUGUAUAAGCACACCUUACACAAAUUUGGUAUAUUUUCUUCCAGCAAGUCUGUUUAUUAACCCCCUUAUCUGAAAUUAAUUGUUAAAAGUUUUGAUUCAUCUUUAAUCAGUGUCUAACCCUUGUUGAAUAACACUCCUCUUUCUAAUUUAUAUUUGAAGUUUGAGGUUUCAAUUUCAAUUGUGGGCUUUGAUUUUACAGAUUUUGUUUGUCAAUUUCAGUUUGGACAAAGCAUAUGCAAACAAAAUAAGCAUUUUAUGUUAUACUUUUGAAAUAGGUGUUGAUUUGAUUUAAUCAUAAGUUUUGCUGGUGCAUUUACUAGGCUAUCAUUCAAUACUUUUGAUCAUAGAACUUCUUUGGUCGAUAUUAUCUUUGUUAAGUUUAACCAUAAAUUUAGAGAGGGGACUUCAACAGAUUUAUAAUCUCAUCAUUAUAGUAUUAAAAAUUAGAGAUUAAGGCAUUGUCUAUUAUCUGAAUUCUGCUUACUUUUAGUUCAUAUGUUUACAUCUUAGCAUAUUCAUGCGAUUAGUGCGGCUCAUACCACAAAGGCAACUUUAGGCUCAUCAAGUGCUAAGCAAUGUCAAGCUUCCAAGUGACAAGUUCUCUACAUAGUUUGAGACCUACACUUACUAGAUAUUAGAUCAUUUCGAUCAUUUCCAUAUGUUUAUAUGUAAUUGACAUGUUAUAACAAUUUUUGUAGCGUUAUAUAAUUAUUUAGCAAUUUAAUUAUUUCUUUGCAUCAAGAAAUAGUUCUUAAGUUAUUAAAAAAAAAAAAAAAGAUUUAAAAAAAAAGAUUUGUUGAUGCUUAAAAAGCAUCAAGAACAGGUAGUUUCUUGACGGUUUAGUGACGUUUCAUAACUGUAGGAGGCUUUUUCUUCCGACAGCUGUAAAUGGGCUGGGUUGCCGUAAAGGGCAGACUGAUGAAAUUGUCCCCUUUUGUCUGAGCUAGAAAAUUAAGCCCCAAAAUACUUCGAAAGGGCAGCAGAGCCUUAGGAAGUAUUUUGGUUACCCUCACCAACUAAAACAACAACAACUUACAGGUAAUUUCUUAAUGCUUACAGAUGAACUCUUGAGCUUGGCAUGAGAGACAUGUGGCAUGGAAGCAAAAUCAACAUGAGUUUAGCACUGAGGGGAAAUUUAGGCUCUCUUGGGGGAAAAAGGGAAGUGUUAAGGUGAGAGAGGAGAAGUUUGUAGGAGAUUUAGCUAAGAAAGGAGAAAUAUAGAACAAUGCUCUUCUGGCAGCUUGACAGAUGCUCUGUCUGCCAGAAAAGGAAGAUGGAGAAGAAAUGUGAAUAGUGCACGAGUUUGCUAGAUUUUUGCAGGUAAGAGAGGAAGCUUGCUCUCUGGGUCUGAGUUGAGUUUUGUUAGGUGGAAGAGACCUCAUUUUAUAGCUCCUGGAAACCAUCACUUCCCAAGAAACCCUAAUGGCUUCUACCCAUUUUGGCCAAGCUUUUCCAUUCCUUUCUCAUUUCCUUCCUUGACUUUACCCCUCUUGAUGAAAUCCUCUCUACCUAUUUGCACCAGAUCAGAGUUUUUUGAAGCUUAAGGCCCCCUUUUCCCGCAGUUGUCUCAAUGGGAGACUUUCAUUCCUAGUCAUUUCCUUUAUUGCUUUCCUUUCUUUUUUUCAUGGCCAAGUCUGGUGGGGAAAGGAGUUGGGAUAAAUAUGCUAGUUUGAAGGGUGCUUCUCUUCUUGGCAUCUUACACACUAAUACCCCUUGGUUCCUUGAAUGUUUUGGCUUUGAAACUUGCUCCCCUCCAUGUAUUGGAACCUCCCAGCAGCCCUGGUCAAUGAAUCUUCAGACCUUCUCUUCGUGGCUUUUAUUUUUUUAUCAACUGGCUAGGGCUUUUGUGGCUCAUUGGGGCAAUUGUAUGGGCUAAGGUGGUUCAUUAAGUAAGUGGGCUAUUUUUAUUAAACAUUGAGCUUUUUGGUUGAGUCACUAGGCUAUUUUGAUUGGGCUAUUGGGCUAUUGUUUCCUCUCUUGUGCUCACCCACAUGUUUGGACCAAAGAAAUGAGCUUGAGUCCUGAGGCUCCCAAGCGACCCGAGACUUUCCAUUUAUCGGUCCAUCAAUGGGCCUCAUGUUGAUUUAUUACCAUCCAUACCACACCCCACUCAAGCAAGCCCCGGGCAUUUGAGUGGCUUGGGCCCACUUAGGCUUGUAGUGUGGUUGGGUGCAAAAUAACGAUUUCGUGCUUGGCAUGUUUUAAUUUUAUCAUCCAUGGGAAAGGCUGCGAUGUUUGAUUUCGGCAUGGGCUUGUAGAGCUGGUAUGCUUUAUUUCAACUCCUAGCAUGACGAAUUAUUUAUUUAGCAUGGCACGUGAAUUACAACUCGCAUGUGGUGGGUUUUUGUGUACUACACCUUACGCCUCUUCUUAAUAGAACAUCGUUUCUGAUAAUUUAUUUGGGCCCAACCGUGAAUUUUUUGGAUCUCAAUAAUAACCAUCAUGAAACAUUACAUUUUGACUGACAUCAAGAAAUGGGGUAUCCCUUUCUUGAUAGUGGCAUCCAUGAUGCCUUCCAAGCCGUCAAUUAAGGGCUAUCGCGAUGCAUUUUAGUUGUCAGCAAAAGGUGUUUUUCUUGUACUAUAUUCACUCAAAAUCGUGUUUCAUUUAAGAUUAGUAGUAUGGUUGAAUACCAUUUGUUUUGUUAAAGAAUAUUAUACAUUAGGGAUUUUUGUAGAAAUGUCAUUUGAACUUAUACCUUAGUUUCAAUUUGUCACCUUGAAGAAAAAUUUAAGAGAAAUAUCACCUUAAUUUUUUAAAAUCCAUGAUUUGUCAUAUGACUUUAAGAUCAUCCAAUUUUCCAUCCAUUUUAAGGGUAUUUUAGACUUUUCAUUUUCAAGGAAAAAAAAGAGAUGAAAAAAGAGACCUCUCUCUUACUUUGUCCCCCAACCCAACCCCACCCGCCCCCAAAAACACAUCACAUAGGAUUGCCUCCCCCUUCCCCACUUUUCUUUUUUCUUUUUGUCAUACUUUUCCACUGUGUUUAUGUUGAAGGAUCUAAAGUUUGCUUGGUCACCAUCUUUUACGUAGGCUUCCUAAUUGUUGGUUUGGGUGGGUUGUGGGAAUUUGUGUGUGGAGGGCAAGGCUCUAUCUGACAGGACCCACCUCGAAUUCCUCGAAACCCGAGACGAAUCUUGUAGAAUUUCCGACAUCACACCGAUGCCGGGUCCACUUCUGAACUAAAUCCUCUUUUCCAAAAUUAAGGAAAAAUAGUACGAGGCUUUCUGCCAAAAUUUCGGCAGUCUUCCCUAUAAAUUUAACGUUUCAGCUUUGGAGGCCGUUCUUUCAUUUCUGCUUUGGUGGCCGGAUGAGAGAACGGCCGGCUAAAACGUGGCCAGCUGGCACUGCCGUCACGAGAGAGAGAGAGAGAGAGAGAGAGAGAGAGAGAGAGAGAGAGAGAGAGAGAGAGAGAGAGAGAGAGAGAGAGAUGUUUAUCAAACCAUUUUUGCCAAAAUUACGAUUAUGCAACUGAGGGUAUUUUGAUCGUAUCUUUUUCGUUAUAACUCCGAUUCAAGCCCACUACAUAUCUACGGACUCAUCUCGCCGUGCUCUAUGCAAUUGUAUAGUUGAAAUUCCCAAAUUCCAUCCCAGUCAAAAAGUCAACUUUAAACCUUAUAAAAUAUUCUAAGGGCAAAAUGGUCUUUUAUCUAAUUAAAUUAAUAAUUGAAAAUUUAUUUAGGACCGGGUCGUUACACUGUCGUUGAUGGACUGUGCGAUGGCACUCACACAAAGUCCUUAAGAAUAAAACACACACACACCAUGAAGAGAGUAAAACAAAUGCACAAAGAUUUAUAAAGGUUUGGCCUCCUGCCUACAUCCUCUUGGUGAUCCACCCGAGAAAUUCACUUGUACGUAAGAACAACUUUGGUUACAACUAAACCCCCUUAGCUUUCAUAAGAACCCUAGAUCUCUUUUCUCCCACCCUUGCUCCAACCCUUUGAUGCCCUUGUAAACACUCAAGAAUUCAUCCUUGAAUUCUAUCAUGUGUUACAUCUUCUCUUCUCCCCUUUGCCAACCUAACCCUACAAGUUAUAUUUAAAAUUCAUUGGACUUUAAGUACAAGUUAACUAGGAAUAGGAAACAUAAAAGACCCCAAAAAUUGGAGAAAAUAUGUCUAGAUCUCAUUAGGAAAUUGCACAACACGUGCGAUCCUCUCGAGCGCCUGCAAAAUCAUCCCUUUGCCGCUCGAGCUGCCGAUAGCUCAUGGGAUGGGGGAAUUAGAAAUUUUUUUUUUUCAAUUUUAAUUGUUUAAAAGAUAUACAAUUUAUUAAUAAUAAUUUUUCCAUUUUUAAAAUACCCUUGAAAAUAGAAAGAUUAAAAUGCCCUUAAAAAUGGAUGGAAAAUUGGAUGGUGUUAAGGUCAGAUGACAAAUCAUGGAUUUUGAAAAAUUAAGGUAACGUUUCUCUUAAAUUUUUCUUUACAGUGACAAAUUGAAAUUGAGGUAUAAGUUCAAGUUACAUUUCUGCAAAAAUUCUUAUACAUUAUGAUAUUCUAACAAUAAUUGGCUAAAAUUGAUAUGUUCCCUCUUUUAUUUUCUUUUUCUCUUUUCCUUUUCAUUUUAUGAUCCAAUCCUUUUCAUAUAUUUUUGUUCAAGACUUUGUUUUAUAAUGCUCUAUUACUAAUUUGGUACAGGUCCCUAAAAUCUCGGAGCCGCCUUAGUACAUUCAUAACGUACAUGUUCAGAGUUCAAGAAUAAUGUAUAGAAUGUGAAAUUGACGAUGCCGGCCUUUAUGAGGCAACAUCUUUAUUUCUUUGGUUAUUCCAGUUUAGAAUAUUUGCACAAAUGAGAUGACUCCAAGCAUAAAGUCACAUUCGACCAAAAAGCAUAAAGUCACACACAAAAAGAACACGGACAAUUGCUAAGUUUAUCCUUGUACCCUUAUUUUAUUGAUCCGACCCAAUUGAAAAAUAAAAAAAGAUGAUAAAAAAUAUUGUUCACUGCUUUAAAAUCUAUGAGUAGAGUCCUCCAUUUGAAAUUUGGUCAUUAUACAAAAUUGGAAUGAAAAAAGAAAAUCCUAAAGCUAUAUUUGAUAUAUUUCAUUUUCAUUUUUUGCUGGGUGUUAGGGCUCGUCAAUGGGCCGGGCCUGGCUAGCCCGGCCCGAAUUUAAUGGGCUUGGGCCAGGCCGGCCCAGGCUUUAAAGAGGAGAGAGAAAAUAUCAGGUCGAGUUUUUUAAGAAAAUUCAAAGCCCAAGCCUGACCCAUGAGCCGGGCUUGAGAAAGCCCAUCGGGCCGGGCCGGGCCUAAACGGGCCCUACUUCAUUCAAAAAAAAUCAUUAACUUAAUCAUAAGGUCAUUUUAGUCCAAAUUUGAGAUUAAACUCACUUAAUUCUAAUAUUUUUACUUCAAACCAAAUUCAUAAAACACCCAAUAAAGUCACACAACUUGUAAGAUUUUCCACAAAAAUAAUAAAACCAAGUAUUAUUUUUGAGGUUAUUACAUAAUUAGAUCGUAAUACGUUUUAAAAAAUAAUUUUUAAAAAUAAUAUUAAUAAGUAUCAAAAAAAUAUUUUUUUAAAGGAUGGUAUGAAUAAAUAUGCAAAUAUUUGGUGAUGUGUUCAAGAAAAGGAUGAUUAUAUUUGGUGGUACGAUUAUGUUUCGUGAUACGAUUAUAUUUAGUGAUGUGAUAUGUUGUUCAUCUUAUAUAUAUAUAUAUAUAUAAUUGUUGAACUAAUAAUUGACACAAAUUAAUGUGUUAAUCAUCCAAUUAUAAACUAGGAGUGAAUAAAGAAAAGUAAAUGAAAUGAAACAAAUUAUAUGUGUGAUUUAAGUGAUAUAAUCCUAAACCUAAACUCUUAUUUAUACAUAAUUAUAUAUGUAUGCGGGCCUAACGGGCCGGACUUUUGUGGGCGUGUCGGGCCGGGCUUUCUUGGGCUUAAUCAGGCUGGACCUAUGGGUCAGGCCGGGCUUCAAACACCCCAACACGAGCCUAGCCUAGCCCGCCUUGGGCCGGGCCAUCUCAAAGCCCAUAACGAGCCGGAUCGGGCUUUUUUCGAUUGGCCGGGCGGGCCCCCUCGACCCAUGAGCCCGCGGGCCAAAUGAUGAGGCCUACUGGGUGUUCAAUUUUUCUUGUUUCUUGUUGAAAAGAAAAAUGAUAAUUAAUAAAAUCUGAUUUGGUGGUUGUGCUCGUCACAAAUCAAUGAAAUGACAGCAGUGAUUUUGCAAGACAGCAUACCUUCUCUUGGGGUGCUUUUCAUUUUGCAACAUUUCUUUACGUGUAAUUUCCAGAGGAGGGUUUAUCAUUGUAUAUAGCUCUUCGGGUGGUUUUUUCUGCAAAACAAAUGUCACAAGGAAGGAGGAGAAACGGAAAAGAUUUACUUGGAAUGUCUCAAGUCUCCUUUGAGAUAAAGGCAUCGAAUGCACAACAUUGUUUUUGUGCUAUUUCAUAAUUAAAGUGUGCUUCCCAAGUCUCCUUUGCGUUUUGUAACUUGUAAUGUUUGUUUUUUUGUUUCCCCUGUUUUGUCUUUUAUAAAAGAAAGAGGAAUGCUAGCAACCUUCUCUCUAAUCUUCUCUUUUGGACCUUCUCCCUUUUCUUUUUGACAAGUGUCAUUUUCCAUACACUUAAAACAAUGACAUUAAUGCAUCACACAAUUUAGUUUUUGUUUUCCAAGUUUACCAUUUUAAAAUGUAUUGGCUUUUAUAUUUCCUUCAAUUAUUCACAUUUUGUUAUAACUUGUUUAGCACAUUAUUUUUUUUAAUUUAAAAAAAGUCAUAUUUUUUAAAAAUAAAAAUAAAGUUUGUUUCAUGACAUUGUUAUCAUUUUUAUUUUGUUUUUAACAAAACACGCAUUCUCUUUGGAAAAAUUAAAAAUUAAAAAACAAUUCAGUUUUUAUUUUCUUAUUUAAUUUUUAACAAGCUAGUAAGAAAGUUAUAAAAAAAAAUUAGCUUGUUAUUAAAAAAAAAUUAAUACAUUUAAUAAGGGUAAAUUUGGAAAACAAAAACUAGUUUGUGUGAUGCAUUAAUGACAUUGUUUUUAGUUUAAGGAAAGUGACACUUGUCAUGAGAAGAAGGGAGAAGGUCCAAAAGAGAAGGUUAGAGAGAAGGUUGUUAGCACUCCCCAUAAAAGAAAUACAGGUCUGAACCACACGGAUCUACUUGCAUAAUAAUGGACCAAAUUUAUGAUUUUUAGAAAGAACCUUCUACUGGUGGAAUCUUGGGCUACUGUUGUGGCUCUCCUCUGUGUGCCUCCUUUUUAGAAUGGUAAAAUAUUCAAAAUACCAGAAAAUGUUCAUGAUUAAUGCAAAUAUUAAGAAUUGAAAUUAUUAAUUAAAUGAAGAUAAUAUGGUAAAUUCACACUUUUUCAUAUUAAAAAAAUUAAAAUUAAAAGAAAUAUCAGAUAAUUACUCUUAUUUUUAUGGAACACAGCUACCCAUUAUCUUUUUUAAUUAUAAAAUAAAUUUAAAUUAUAAAAAAAAAAUCCUCUCACAUGCACGGAAGCGCGUGCUCAGAGGCUAGUUAAAAAUAAUGAACUUUGCUUCUGAUGUCUAUACCAGACCCACUCAACCUGCUUUAUGAUUAUACAAAGAACAAACUCGUCCUUAGACUCAUUUGGUUAAACUUAGAAAAUAAUGAAACAAAAAUAUACACACCCACAAGUAACACAGCCAGGAUUGAAAACAACUGGACAAAGAAAGGCAUGUUAAAACAGAAUUUUCAACAACUCAUCACCAUUAGACAAGAAAAAGAAAAAUCAAUACAGAAACAGAAAGAACAGAGAAUAAAUGUGGUGGAAGAAAAACGUUGAAGCCAUUUGUGAAUCCAACAACACUACCACUCUGUUUCUCUCCUUUUGUUCAGGCGGAUCUGCAUAUAUCCUAAGGCGUAUUACGGAAACAACUUCUUGCCGUUAUACUUGAAUGUUGUGGAUGCUUCAACGUUGCCAUCUGGGUGGAGUGGAUUUGUCCAAUUCACCUUCACUAUGGUUAAUCAACUAGACAGACAUAAGUCAGAAACAAUAGGUAUAUAGGUCCAAAUUGUUGUUAUUUGAAAGGCUUCUAAAUUUUAACAUUUUGAUUUCUAAAUUUUGUUUUAAUAUUUCGGCCCACUUAGUUCUUCUCAAAAUAUGUCAUCAAUAUCGUUGAAAGGUUGAACUUAGUGAAUUAUUAUAGUGCAGUACGGUAAAAUAGGCACAUGAUAUAAUUUGUCCACAUGUUCUAAUAUAAGUGAAUAUUUAUUGAUAUUAUUUUCAAAAAUAAAAAAUAUCAACCAUUACAUCCUCCCAUAUUAUAAUACAUAUACAAAUUAUACCACAUUAUCAUACUCUAAUACCAUUUUAUAAUUUCUCGUACUUAGGAGGUAUAGAGCGAGUCAAUGACAUUACAUAAUAUAUAAUUGUUCAUAUAAUGGGGCAACUAACGUGAUCAACAAGUUGUGGUGAUUAAUUUAACAUAAUAAAAAACAUACCAUUUACUAUGUAACAAUUUGUUCUUUUAAAUUGGAUUGUCAUCACUUUAAUAUGUUAUGUUUCUUAUUCUAGUCUCCCAUGUUAAGUGCUUCAGCAUUGUUUGUGGUGUGUACACAAAUUUUCUUAUAAAAUGUUUUAAUGCUUCUCACAUGUAUAUCAGAUAUAGACAGUUGAUGUGACUUAGAAAUCAAAUUGUCAAUAAAGAAAAAAAAUAUAAUUGGUGAUCGAGGUCCAAUUUAAUAGAAAAUAGUCUUAAUUUGUAUAUUAAAGGUUUCAGAUUCGAAUCCUCACUGCAUUAUUGUUGUAUGCGUACACGAGAAAUUCUAUUUCCCAAUAAUUUAGAUUAUCACUUAUACUAAAAAAAAUAUAUAUAAUAAGUUUUACGAAUGCAAACAUAAAAUUACACCAAACAAUAAUGGAAUAGAAAGAUGGAAGUUUUUUUUUUUUCCUACAUCUAAAGUAUACUUUAUAUAUAUAUUUAUUAUGGGAGUUAUAACCGUUUAAUUUUCAGUUUUUAUUUUCUAUUUAUUGUGUUAAUUUUUAUGGUUUAAUAUGUAUGGAGAUUACAAGUAUUGGAUGUCUAUAAAGGGCCACUCCUCCUUCACAUCUGAAACAAACCACCAUCUCAUUUCUGUAUUUUCAUACUUUCAUAUAUUUUCUACUUUCCAGAUUAUUAUUUUUGGGCAACGGUUUUGUGACUUGGAGAUUUCUAUCCGAUUGUUAACAUGCUCAUAACGGACCUUGAGCUUGCGUAUUGGGGAUCGUAUCUUGGAGCCUUGUAGACCUUUAUUACGUGCAUGUAGGGAGGCUACAAAUGCUUUAGGUCAGCGUCUUUGACGUACUUUUGCUUUCUUUUUUUACUUAUUUCUUCGUUUCUUUAUUUUUACUUUACUUUUAAAUCUUUAUUUUAUGUAUUAUUUAUAUUUAAAAGUUUUGAAUAAGAGUUUUACAGAAAAGGAAAAACACAAUUUCAAAUAACACAAAUUUCUCGUUUUUUGUUCUUAAAAAAGAAGAAGCAUUGAUUGGGGAGUUAUGGUAAACUCAGUUUCAAUGGUUGCGAUGAGAGGCGGUGGCGGCGAGGAGAGGACGAAGGCUUUGCUGCCGACGGGGUGGUGUGGCUGGCUGCUUGGUCCUGGGUUCUCCUUUAAUUCUCUGUUUUCUUUUUUCAUUUUCUUUUUCUCUUAGAGUUAUUGAUGUUAAGUGAAUGGACAGAUGCCAAAAUAGGGACAGAAGAUGUGAACCCAAUUAUAUACAGCUGCUGCUAUAGCUGAUUACAUAAAGUAACAAAUUAAUUAAUGCUUGAGUGGAGGACAGGCUUGAGUGGAAGAAUUGAUUAAGGCUUGAGUGGAAGACAAACUUCAGUGGAGGAAAGUAUAGAUAAGGAAAGCAUGCCUCGUUUAACGGCUUUAUCUAAUAAAGAUUACUUGUUGGCACUUGGAGUUUCUUAGGAAUGCUGGUUUUGUUUCCUUGGUGGACUUGAAAGGUGGUGCCUUGGCUCGGACAUCUCCCAAGACAUACAACUGCUCAUUAGCUGAAUAUCUCGCUCUCUUUAAAGAGAUCGAAGCAAACACAAUUUGCAAUUUGUGUGAUUCAAGCAUGAAUAUCUGAUAUAGUAACUAUACCAUUUGUUGGUUUGAUAAGAAAAGUUUGGUUAGCGAGGAUGAAACCAUAAAGUUCCCAAAACACACAAAGAACACGGACAAUUGCUAAGUUUAUUCUUGAGUUCACACAUAUUUGCACAAAUGAGAUUAUUCCAAGCAUGAUUAUACCAUUUGUUGGUUUGAUGUGAAAAGUAUGGGCAACGAGGGGUAAAACCAUACAAACACACACGAAGAACGUGGACAAUACUAAAUUUAUCUUUACGUUAUUGAUCCGACCUAACUGUAAAAUAAAAAAGAUGAAAAUAUAUAAUGUUCAGUACUUAGAUCUAUGAGCACUUGCACAAAACAUCACUUUUGGUCUUUGGUAAAUUUUUAAAAUAAAUGAAUUUUUUACUUAUUUGUGAACUGAAAUGCCUCUAAAAAAAUAAUGAUAGUUCGAAGAAUUUGAUAGAAAUUAAAAAAUAUCCUCAAAUUACUUGGAAUUGAAGACCACAUAGGCAAAAACACGAAAUUGAAACCUCACUUUAAUGAUAAAAAUGGUAAACUACAAAGACAAAAAUGACGUCUUGCCUUAUAAAUAAUUGGAAUUUGCUGGUGAUAAUAGUCGAUAUCAUCUUUUGUCGGUCCGACCUAAAAAGAAGAAAAAGUUAAAAGCAUCUUGUACCAAUUUUUGCCAAUGUGGGCCCAAACAAUUUGAAGAAGUCCACCGGCAAUUUCUCAAAAGCUAUUGUGUGAGUGUGAAGCUAAACCAAUAUUAUUUUGCAUAUCCGACCCCACAUCCCCAUGUGAUGUGAGGCUACAGAGGUGUUUCCAAAACGAAAUAUGAUAUUUCAAAACGUAGCUAUGUAUAGAGUCAUUUGUAUUUGCUUUCACAAUAACAUUUGAUUUUAUAUUUAUACAUUCUGAUAUUUUAACAAAUAAAUUGACUAAAUUUGGCCAACAGGAUUUAGCCGAAUAGAAAAGUUCUUAUUUAUGGACUAGUAAUUUUAAAUUUAAAAUUUAGACUAUCGCAUGUAUUUAAAAAAAACUAAACAAUUGGCUUAAUUUGAUAUAUUUCCUUUUUUUCCUUUUUGCAUUUUAUGCUGGUUGCCGUUAUUAAGUUUUAUCCUUAUUUUUUGUUGAAAAGAAAAUUGAAAAAAAUAAUAAUAAUUCCUACAGCUAGCAACUUCUCCACCUACAAAAAAUAAUAUUUUUUGUUUUAUCCUCAUGUGAGGCUACAGAAAAUUUUUGAAAACGAAACUGGAUAUUUUAUCUCUAACGACAGCUUUCAUACUUCGUUUACCCUGUGUUUCCAAGUUGUGCUAGCUAUUUGCAAACCUUGGAAUAUUACUUCAUCCAAAUCCCUUGCAGAGAAAAGAAAGAUAUGGCUUUGAUCGGAGAGGCCCUCAUCUCUGCUACCAUCCAGACGUUGUGUGACAAAAUUGCUUCGCCUGAGUUCACCGACUUAUUUCGGCAGAAAAAGCUCGAUGAACAACUCCUCAACAAGCUGAAGACGACGCUGUUGACCUUGUCCGUAGUGCUUAAUGAUGCAGAGGAGAAGCAAAUUGAGGAACCUUUAGUGAGAGACUGGCUUGACAAUCUCAGACAUAAUGUCUUGGCUGCGGAGGACUUACUGGAUGAAAUCGACACUGAAGCUUUGCGAUGCAAACUGGAAGAAGGUGAAGGUCAAACCCACAAUUUAACCAAGAAGGUACGUGAUUUUUAUCAACGCAUGAAUGUUGAGAUGAAAGAUUUAUUAGAAAGAUUAGAACAAUUUGUACAAGAGAAAAGUGCUCUUGGUUUGAGAGAAGGUGCUGGGAGGAAGGUUUCACGAAGAACAACAACUUCCUUGGUUCAUGAACCUUGUGUCUAUGGUAGAGAUGAAGUCAAAGAAAAUCUGUUGCCAAUUUUGUUAUCUGAUGAUGCAAGUAAGGAUGAUGUGUCUGUCCUCACCAUUGUUGGAAUGGGUGGGAUUGGCAAGACAACCCUUGCCCGACUGCUUUAUAAUGACGAUGAGGUGAAAGAACAUUUUCCACUUCACGCUUGGGUUUGUGUUACGGAAGACUAUGAUUCUAAUAGGAUAACUAAAACUCUUCUAGAGUCAGUCACCUCAAAGUCUUCUAAUAUGACAGAUCUAAAUUUACUUCAAGUUGAACUAAAAGAACAACUCAAGGGAAAGAAAUUCUUAUUUGUUUUGGAUGACCUAUGGAAUGAGAAAUAUGGUGAUUGGAAACGCCUCCAAACUCCUUUUACUUCUGGGGCAAGGGGAAGUAAAGUCAUUGUAACAACACGGAGCCAACAUGUAGUAUCUGUCCUGCAAAGUGUUCAUGUUCAUCACUUGGAACCCUUGUCGCACGAAGAUUGCUGGUUCUUACUUGCAAAACAUGCAUUUGGAAAUGAAAAUUGCAGUGAUCCAAACUUGGAAGAAAUUGGCAAGAAAAUUGCACACAAGUUCAAUGGGUUGCCUUUAGCUGCAGAAACACUUGGGGGUUUGUUACGUUGCAAUAUAGAUUCAGAGGAAUGGAAUACAAUACUAAAUAGCAGUAUUUGGGAGCUACCCUAUGAUAAAUGUGACAUUCUUCCGGCUCUUGGGUUGAGUUACCAUUAUCUCUCCUCCCAGUUAAAACGAUGCUUUGUUUAUUGUUCAAUUUUUCCAAAGGAUUAUGAGUUUAAAAAGGAAGAUAUAGUUCAAUUUUGGAUGGCAGAAGGUUUAAUUCCAAAAGCUGAGAAUGGAAAGAGCAUAGAAGCGGUAGCUAGAAAAUACUUUGAUGAGCUGUUGGCACGAUCGCUAUUUCAAAAGUCAAGCAAAUCCGGUUUCACAAUGCAUGAUCUCAUUAAUGACUUGGCCAUGUUCAUGUGUAAGGCAUUUUGCCUUAGGUUGGAAGGGGGGGAAUCACAUGUCGUAGAAAAAGUUCGGCAUUUUUCAUAUGCUAUGGAAAGAUUUGAUGCAGCUCCAAAAUUUGAGCCAUUACAUAGGGCUAAGUUUAUGCGGACCUUUCUACCCAUAUCAUUAAAUUUUGUUUCCACUUCUUAUGUAACUAAAAAGGUUCUACAAGAUUUGUUGCCGUCACUAAGAUGUUUACGGGUGUUAUCAUUGUCACAUUAUCAAAAUGUUACUGUGUUACCUGAUUCUAUUGCAAACCUCAUUCACUUGCGCUACUUGGAUCUUUCCGGUACCGCAAUUGAAAGGUUACCUGGGGUACUUUGCAAUCUCUACAACUUGCAGACAUUACUAUUGUCAAAAUGUUUCUCACUCCUUGAAUUGCCUGCAGACAUUAGAAAAUUGACUAAUUUACAGAAAUUGACAUUGCUCGGUUGUAGUUCUCUUAAUAAAUUGCCUGCAGGCAUGAAGGAGUUGACUAAUUUGCAUCAUCUUGAUGUCAGUGGAACUAAAAUUGAAGAGAUGCCGGUGCAAAUGGGUAGAUUGAAAAGUUUGAGAACAUUGACUGCAUUUGUUGUGGGCAAAUCUACUGGGUUAGGCAUAAGAGAACUGAGGCAGUUCCCGCAACUUCGAGGAAAACUAUCAAUUUUGAAGCUACAAAAUGUAGUUGAUGCGAGGGAUGCACUGCACGCCAAUAUGAAGCACAAGAAAGAUCUCAAGGAGUUAAAGUUUUCAUGGGGUGCGGAGGAUGCUGAUGAUUCCCAAAAGGAGAAAGAUGUACUCGACAAGCUCCAGCCUUGCGUGAAUUUGGAGAAAUUAUCCAUCAAAUUCUAUGGUGGAACCAAUUUUCCGAAUUGGUUAGGAGACUCGUCUUUUUCUAACAUACAAGUCAUGCAUCUCAGUGACUGUAGUUAUUGUUGGUUGCUCCCACCAGUUGGACGGCUACCGGCACUCAAAGAGCUCUGUAUAAAAAGAAUGAAGUCUUUGAGGACGAUUGGCGUUGAAUUCUAUGGCAGAAAUGGAGCUUAUCUGACUCAGCCAUUUCGAUCUCUGGAGAAGCUAGAGUUUAGGGGGAUGCCGGAGUGGGAGGAAUGGGUACCAAGUGGAAGUGCAAGUGGAGGUGAAUAUGGUCCAGACUUUCCUCGUCUCCAAAAGCUGAUUCUAAACGAGUGUCCGAAGCUAAGAGGAAGUUUGCCUUGUGAGUUGCCUUGCUUGAAGAAGCUUACGGUGUAUGGGUGUAAGGUUUUACAUGAUGGAAGGACCGCUACCGCAACUACCAAUAGUGUUAACUAUAAAUCUCUGGAAGAAUUGGAUAUAAGUGGUGGAUGCCAAACUCUGUUAUCAUUAUUAGAGACAAAGCUCCUGUCCCGACUUCGGAUUCGAAAUGUUGUUGACAUACAGUGCUUGCCCAACUGCAAUCGUCUUCAACGUUUGACUCUUUGCCUAACGCUGUCAUCGUUUCCCAAAGAUGGCCUACCCACUACAUUGACAUCACUUUAUAUAAACAAUUGUAGGAAAUUAGAAUUCCUACCUCAUGAGAUGUUGGCCAAAUUAACAUCGCUUGACUAUUUGUGCGUACAAAAUAGCUGUGAUUCAAUGAGGUCCUUCCCGUUGGGCAUUUUUCCCAAAUUGACGACGCUUCAAAUUCGUGGUUGUGAGAAUCUGGAAUCUUUUUCCUUGAUUGAAGAAGAAGGAGCUGUUGACAAUCUCAGCCAUCUCAAUUCCUUGCGUGUCUAUAACUGUCCAAAAAUGGUGUGUUUUCACGAGGGAGAAUUGCCCACUCCCAACCUGAGUCACUUUGUAGUCAUUGGUUGCGAGAAUUUGAAGUCAUUGCCCGAACGCCUUCACACCCUCACUGCCCUUCGAUCUUUGAAUAUAUGGAAUCUUCCGAAUCUGGAGUCAUUUGCAGAAGAUGGGGGUUUGCCUCCCAACCUCCGAUCUUUUAUCAUUAGGAAUUGUAAGAGACUGAGGGCACUUGACUCAGUGGGUUUGCAAGCACUUGUCUACCUUCAGAUCGAUGGAAGUGACCAUGUCUUGGAGACGUUGCUGCUCCCUACCACUCUUCACACUCUCUGCAUCUCUGAUCUAUCAACUCUGAAAUCUUUGGACGGAAAGGGUCUUGGACACCUCACUUCUCUUCAAACUCUAAAAAUUUACAGCUGUCCAAGUCUUCAAUGCCUGCCAGAAGAGGGUUUGCCGCCAUCUCUUUCUCAUCUGAGUAUCCGCUGUUGUCCUACCCUGGAGGAAAGGUAUAAGAAUAAAACGGGACAAGAUUGGGCAAAGAUAUCUCACAUUCCUUGCAUCGAGAUAGGGGAAGAAGUGAUCAUAUAAUAUGAGCUAUUCCAUAUUUCACGCUCAACCCUCAACUCUCAAAUCAAAGUCAGGUGAGGUAUGUGCCUUCUCUUACUUUAAAAAACUGCUUCUCUUCUUCUAAUUGAAUACAAAAACCAAAACACAUAUUCUCUUUCUCUUCCAAAAACCCAAAUACAUGUUGGACAUUGCCCAAAUUUGUCUCCAAAUUCCUAGUUUAAAUCAAAUUUAAUGCCUAUGGAUAGUUUGUUAAUAGGUUCAUGCCAUGAAUUAAUCUUUGGACUUUCCCAGGUACUGCAGGUUUGUUAUUAAUGUUGUGGCCUGAUAUUCGUCGUAUCAAUACGUUGAGGAGAGAGAUCGAUCAGCAAUUACAAAAUUGUUAGUGAAUUUAGCUUGUUUAUCAUCUCUCUCCUUUUGUUUGUUAAGUUUUGUUGUUCUAGGUUAAACCCUUGUCCCCGCAUUUCACAGCAACUCUGUGUUUUUCCACUCUGUUUAGAUUUCACUAGCAGGAGAGCCCGCGCGAUGCUGCGGGUUUUGAAAUUGUGUAGACAAAAUUAGAUUGUUUAUAUAUACAAUGAGAUUUAAUUUAUAACAUUAUGUUUAACUACAGGAGUGUAAGUUGCAAAAAAGUAUAUAAUAACAUAUUUUACAGGCUACUUGUUAUGGUAAAAUACUAUACUUGUUUGUAUAUACAUUGAGAUGUUUAUAGUAGGAAGUAGGCAUCAAAAUAGCAAAAGUUGGAUAGUUUUGUACAGAAUGUUAUUUAAUUGGGCAAGCUUUGUUUUGCACUUGCUUCAUGAUUUUUCUUCUCUUUCAUGGAAGUCUUGAUCCUGUUAUAAAAAAAAGUGAGAAAAUAGUAAAUGUUAAUAUUGAUGAAUGGGGGAAAUUGAGUUAGGACAAUAAUCAUAAACAUUUAAUUAUGUAUAAACAGGAAUAAUAUAAUUUAUUGAUUUAAUAAGAAAGUUAUAAAUAGUUUUUCAAUCUAGGAAAUACAAAGUUACAAAAUUAAGAGAACUAAUGAGCAAGUUGUAGAUGGUUUUCUAAUUGAAGUAAUACAAAGUAAACAUAUUUUAAAUUUUGUGUUUGUCUAAAAGAAAAGUUGAAGAGAGGCAAAAUAAUUAUGGUUGAAUAUAUGGAGAAAAGGAUGUCAAUAUAAUGUUUAGGUUUUUAUGUAUUAGGAAUAUAUGACUUUUUUGCUGUUAUUUAGAGCAAAAAUUAUUUAAGGGCUUGACAUUUCUGUUAAAAAACGGGUAGAAUCUACCCUGAAAAAUGGACAUUUUGCCAAAAAAUUCACCUGUAAACUAAUUAGUACUGAAUACCGAUUGGCGAAGGCAAGACAAUCAUAGUUGUGGAGUACAUAGUUAGAAAGAUGAAUGUGCAAACGUACAUCUAACCCCAUGAUAUACAUCUAACCCCAUGUGAACAUGAUUUAUUCUACAACAAUGAUUAUCAAUUUUCUAAUUGCUCAUUUUCCUAACCCUAAUCAUCACAAACCCAAAAUUAACUCUAAAAAUUUCAAAUAAGCAUGGUUCUAAACCAAUUUCUAACUUACUUAGCGAAGUCUUUUCUAUAAAUGAUAGUUGUUGAAGAAAAAGGGAAACGAAAAUAAGCUUUUAGUGUAUAAGUACAUUGAAGCAAAACAUGAAGAGAAUCCAAUAUAUAACUUCAAUAUAUAACUUUAAUUUUCUAUAAGUGUUGAUCUAAAUUUACAUCCCUUACCACUCUUCAAUUUAAAAAUAGUUUUAGCUACAACAAACAACUUCAGAGAGAAGAUUUGGCCCUGUUUUAUAAGGCAAAACCUCUCUAACCACAUGACAUACAUCUAACUCCAUGUGAACGUGAUUUAUUCUACAACAAUGAUUAUCAAUUUCCUAAUUGCUCAUUUCCCUAACCCUAAUCAUCACAAACCCAAAAUUAAUUCUAAAAAUUUCAAAUAAGCAUGGUACUAAACCAAUUUCCAACUUACUUAGUGAAGUCUUUUAUAUAAAUGAUAGUUGUUAAGGAAAAACGGAAACAAAAAUAAGCUUUUAGUGUAUAUGCACAGCACAGAAAUUGCAUGUAGCUUUCCGAUUUUUAUCCCAACUUCGUUUCUGUGGAAUCACAAAACUACAUACGCACAGCACAGGGAAGGGAAAAAAAAAAAAAGGCACAUUUAAGAGACACCUAUCUUCUCAUUCUACAUCACAUCCUCUUUUCCUAGCUUUCCAACCUUGCAACCAAAGCAAACAUCUUUCCUGAUAAAGGGUAGGAAAGAAAGUGGUUGUGUGAAUUGGGAUGAGAGAGACAGAGACAGAGACAGAGACAGAGAGACAAAGAGAGAGAGAGAAAAGAGAAAUCAAAGUAUAUAUAUAAAUAGUAAGUAUAGUUUAUAUCAUGCAAAGUUUUGAUGGUUUCGUUCAAAAAAAAAACAGGGAAAAAGUUUUGAUGGGUAAUUCUAGUAAUAAUGUUCUUAUAAUUCUAUAUAUAUAUAGAUAUCAAACUGUACUACCAUAUUCUUCCUAUAUAUACACUUGGUCGUCAACUACCUCUCUCUCUCUCUCUCUCUCUCUCUCUCUCUCUCUCUCUCUCUCUCUCUCUCUGUGACCUGCAUUUAUACAGAACCAAUUAUUCCAUCUUCACUAUACAUUUUCCUCAUCUUCCCAUUCAUAUUUUAUGGCUCUCUUGUUCUUCCUCCUAAUUCUUUUGGUCCCUGCAAGCAAUACUAAUUGGCCACCAUCACCUGGCUACUGGCCAAGUUCUAAAUUCAGGUCUAUGAGCUUUUAUAAAGGAUUUAAAACUCUCUGGGGUCCUCAGCAUCAAAGCUUAGACCAACAUGCAUUAACAAUCUGGGUUUAAUGAGGCCAGAAAAUUUUAAGAACUUAUCUACCAAGCAUACCAAACUGACAAAGCAAACCAUAUCUGUAUUUUAUCAUCAAUUUCAUCAAUUUUAUCACCAACAACAGAUAAAAAAAGGGAAUUUUUUCAAAAAAAAAAAAAAGGAAAAAACAUAAAUAAAAAAAGGGGCACAUUUAAGAGAGACCUAUCUUCUCAUUCUACAUCACAUCCUCUUUUCAUUUUGAAGCGGUCAUGUGUUGUGAGUUUCUUGUUUUAUAAAUUUUCAAAACUGUUGUUUAGAACUGCAAAAUUCUUCAUCAUAUAUCUUGCCUUCUAAUAUACAUUCUGUAUCAGGAAACUGGAAUGAGGCUUGCUCUUUGAGGAAGAGAAAUAAAAGAAAAAGUUGUGGCAAAGGUUCACGGAUGUAGUUGGAUUGUAGUGGGACAGAGAACAAAUUUAUUUGUUGCAGGGGAAAAGUCUCAUCCAAAUGCUAUGAAAUCAUGGCAACUUUAAAGUAUUGGACAGCAAUAAUGAAAGAAGAGGGCUAUGUUGGUGACACAGAUUCUUGCUUGCAUGAAUAAGAGGGAGAAAAGCCCCUAUGGUAUUGACUGUUGCCGCCAAGUGCAUAUUGUUAUUACUAUGCGUACUACAUCCCAAGGCCUCUCUCAGCAGGAUUACAAAGUAAACCAGAAUUACUAUCCCAGCAGUAUUCUGCAACUUUGCUCUGCACUUCCUUAUGUAAUCUCUCUCUCUCUCUCUCUCUCUCUCUCUCUCUAUAAAUAUAUAUAUACACACACACACACACACACACAUAUAUCUAGGCAUGCAUAUUUAUGAGUUCCCCAUUGAGGAGGGAUUCCCUUUUGAGGAUUUUAUAAUUAGAAUUAGACUGCCUUCUUAACCAAUAGUUGGGUUUGUGUGGUAAGGUAUGCUGGGUUUGUUGAUGUGGAUAUUUAUGCCUGGAGGUGCUUUGUUUUACUACUUCGUUGAAGUAGAAACAGACACUGACAAAGAAGCCCUUCAUUCUUUGUCUCAAUAGUGAUUGGUUUCUUUGAUCCUAUUCAUCAUAUCUGGUGGUGAGGUUGCCUAAUCAGCCAAAUGUUGGGUUCAACUACCUCUCUCUCUCUCUCUCUCUCUCUCUCUCUCUCUGUCUCUCUCUCUCUUUCUCUCUCUCUCUGUGACCUGCAUUUAUACAGAGCCAAUUAUUCCAUCUUCACUUUACAUUUUCCUCAUCUUCCCAUUCAUAUUUUAUGGCUUUCUUGCUCUUCCUCCUAAUUCUUUUGGUCCCUGCAAGCAAUACUAAUUGGCCACCAUCACCUGGCUACUGGCCAAGUUCUAAAUUGGCCAGAAAAUUUUAAGAACUUAUCUACCAAGCAUACCAAACUGACAAAGCAAACCAUAUCUGUAUUUUAUCAUCAAUUUUAUCGCCAACAACAGAUAAAAAAAGGGAAUUUUUUCAAAAAAAAAAAAAAAAAAGGAAAAAACAUGUUUAGUCUUUGCUUUCCAAUGUUUUAUCCAAAAACCUGAAAAUCAAAGUAACUAAAUAAAUGAACCCAAUCAUUCCUAAUUUCUAUUUUGUCAAAACCUAAUUAAGCUUCACUUCUUUUUUGCUUGUAUUUUAUCAUCAAUUUCAUCUAUUUUAUCACCAAUAGCAGAUAAAAAAAGGAAAUUUUUUCAAUUAAAAAAAAAAAAAACAUACUCAGUCUUUGCUUUCCAAUGUUUUAUCUAAAAACCUAAAAUCAAAGGAAUCAAAUAAAUAGGGUUUAGGGCUCAAGAACCUGAAAUCAAAAGAACCAAAAAAAUGAACACAACUCUACAUAGCACGAAAAAUCUCCCAGCCAACAAUCAAAUUCAUGAAAUAAAUACCAAAAGAUCUGUUAAAAAAUUGAUGAGAUGCAUACCUGAAAACAAAGGAUGCAACAAAGAUGGAAGCCUGAGUCGAAGCAAGAACGAUGGAAGCCUGAGUCGAAGCAAGAAAGAUGGAAGCCUGAGUCGAAGGUUGUAGAAAAGACGAAAUCUCCCGAUCCCAAAUCUGUGACACGAAGACUGAAAGCACGGCUGGAUUUGCAGCUCACCUCCCAAACAAAAAUCGACGGCCUUCAACGCAUCUCCAGCAACGAACACAACUCUUCCAUGGCUGCCCCCCAACCAGCUGGUUGGAAACGAACGGGAGAAAAUGGUUUCUCUCAGCGGACGAAACCAUCUCAACGAAGGGGGAGGGGCAAAAACGGGAACAAAAGAAACUGUUUAGUCAAGGGCAGUUUCGUCAUUUAACUGUGCUGCAGGAAAAAAAACGAAAACAGCAGAAAAAUGAGGGGCAUUUCCGUCAUUACACUGUGCUUAGCUACAGUGUUUAGUUGCAUUGGGUUUUAGUAUAUAUAUAAUUUAUGUUGUGAUUCGACUGCUGCUGUAUUUUAGAUUUAUAGGAACAGACCAAACAUGUUGAUUCUAUCACCAAAAUUAUAAAGUAUACUUCCAUUACAAUUAAUUUGUUGAUUCUAAUUUGGACUUGUAGGAACAGACCAAACAUGUUCAUACGUGGCAUUGCUCAAGUCAUCAUCAUUCGGGACAGAGAAUAAGCCUUCAAAUGUCUGCUGAGUCAAUGAACCUUUCUAGAUAUCUCAAGUGUAAUGGAAAUUGAUGAGUUACAAAGGAUUUGUAAACAUUUUCUACUGGAGGCUAGAAAUGCUUCAAAUAAAUGACUCUGUUGCAAUUAUUUUGUAGGAUCAAAGACUCUGCAAAGAGGUAAGAAAGUCAUCAUCAAGUAACUUCGCUCUUCAUACUUUUUAUUAGGGGUGGGCAUUGGAACCGCAAAACCGCAAAACCGAACCAACCCAAUCCGAAAAAAACCGAAAAAAACCGUGUUGACCGAAAAAGUCAAAAACCGAGACAAAUCCAAACCGAACCGGUUCAGACCGGUUCCGGUUCCGAUUUUCCACCUUAAGGAACCGGUCCAAUCCGAACCGGUCCAAUAUAAUUAAUUUUUAUAUUAUAUUUAUAUUUAUAUUUAAAAUAUCAAAUUUUGUAGGCCCAAACCCAACUAUUUCAUUAUACCAACAAAAAGCCCAAAUCUCCCAAGUCCAUUGCCCAAGUCCAACAAGCCAUAUUUUAAUAUCCUAAUCACAUCAAAUCUCACUUCACUCUCUCUCUCUGACGCACUCUCUCUUUUCCUCUCAGAUUUUUUUUACUCUCUUUUUCUUUCUUUCUUCUCUCUUCCGCCUCUUUUCCUCUAGGUUCUUUAACUUCUUUUUACUUCUUUCUUUCUUCACUCUUCUGCCUCUUUUCCUCAGUUUUUUCUUCUUCUUUCUCUCUUAUUCUUUCUCCUCUCAAUUCGUCUCCAUUUUUUUUCCCUCUCUUUCUCUGAUUUUCUGUUACUCUGAUUUUUUUCUUCUUGGUUUUAUGUUUCUCUCUCUCCCUCUAUAUCUCUUUCUUUGCAACUCUGUUUUUCAAUUUCUCCUUUUUUUUCUCUCUUCAUUUUUUGUUUCUCUGUACAUAUAUGUGUUCAUCUUGUAGAUCUGGGUGAAAUUCUUGUAGAUCUAGGUGAAGUUCUUGGAGAUCUGCGUUAAGUUCUUGUAGAUCUAGGUAAAGAGCCAAUUCAAAGCAGGUCAGCGUCUCUUAUCUCCCCAAUCCCUUGUGAAGAUAUGUAUUUUUUUUGUUGUCAACAAUCCAUUUUGGUGUUUUUAUAUGGUAUUGAUAUUUUCUAUGAUUUUGGGCUGAUUUGAGGUCUGAUUCUUUUUUUUUCUUUCAAUUUUUUCCUGUUGUGUUUUGAUAGACAUGUUCUCUAUUCCUGAUAUCAUUCCUCAGUGGCAAAAUCUUUGAGCGUUGUUGUAAAUUUUAGACGGGAAAGAAGCUCAUUCAUAAUUCAAAAAAAGAAAAUAAAGUUACAACAACUGACAAUUUGUUGCUCUUUGAAAUAGGUACUGAAGUAGCAUGGAUAAAAAGAAAGACUGAAGAUGUUGCAGAAGAUUGAAUAUGUUCUAUUUCUGUAAUUUGUUUGUAAUUAAAUUUGUUUAUUUUGUUUUGUUUUUAGGUUGUAAGUUUUAUUUUAAUGUUUGAUAUUUGUUGUUUUGUCAAAAAAUUGUAUUAAUGCUUGAUGGAUUCAUUCAAUUUGCAGUGCGUGGAUGUGAAUUGGGCCAAUCGGUAAUAAUUAGGCCCAAAAGGUUUUAAAUAUCAAUUGGGCUGAAACUUACAAAAAAAUUUAAGAACAAAAAAAAAAUCAAUUAAGCUGUGUGUCGGCCCAAACCGUAAAAACCGGAACCGAACCGGAUUCAAAUGGGUUCGGGUUGGUCCGGUUUUCUCAAGCAUUUUAGUAAAAAUCCGAACCGGACCGGACCGGUGAACAGUACCGGUUCCGGUUUUAAAUUGAUGCAAAAACCGGUCCAAACCGGACCGUGCCCACCCCUAUUUUUUAUUUUUAUUUUUAAAUAUCAGUAAUAACUGGGAAAGCUUGCAUCUCCUUAAAUUGCUCAUUCUUACAUCUUUUAUAGUUUGUUGAUCUUGGGCAAGUGGAGAGAGAGGCGUCAAGUGAUACGCAACAACCAUUUUCUGUGAGCUGAUUUGAUAAAGAGAAAUGGUAUGCUUUCUUGUCUUAAGCGGUGUGUUCUGCAAUUAUUUGAAACAAAGGAUGCCGCACUUCAAGUUCGAGAAAAUCAGGUAUUUUAGUAUUUUAUUCUUGAGAAAUUUGAUUUAUGUAGAAACUUGAACAUGUAAAUGAGAGAAAAAAAAAUAAAUAUAUAUAUAUAUUAUAUAUUGUAUAUGCUGUUAAUGAGUUAAUAUGGUGCUUGCUCCUAGUUGGAAAUUUAUGUAGUCAUCUACCUAUGAUCAAAUAAAGAUGAAAAAUAAAAUAAAAUUGAGAGCAUCUUCCUCUCCCCUGCUUUGCUCAUCCCUUGUUCUUCCACUUCAGCCCCACUAUUACACCAUUUUUUUCAGCCACAAUUAUAAUAGCUCCAUGAGCAUUAAGUCCCUUUCAAAUUCUGCUGACAUUCAAAAUUGGAAUCUGCUGGUGAUAUAUGAUAGCGUUAACAUAUUGUACCAUUUUGGCCAGUGUACGCAAUAUUAUUGCAUCCAACUUUGCAUAUUAACAUCAGUGGCCACAGUUACACGAUUUGAGUGCACAGAAAGGUUUCAAAAGUUGUCCCACAGAGAACAGUCGUUCAAAGUGAGAGAGUUUUGAAAGCUUAAUUACAAGUUCAUGUUGUUUACAACCUCAAAAAGCUUUCAUACUUGCUUACAAACCUGUAUUUCCAAGUUCUGCAAACCUUGGAAUAUCACUUCAUCCAAAUCCCCUUCCAAAGCAGGAAAAAAUGGCAGCAGCUUUGAUUGGAGAGGCUCUCAUCUCUGCUUCUAUCGAGGUGUUGUGUGACAGAGUUACUUCAGCCGAGUUCAUAGACUUAUUUCAGCAGAAGAAACUUGAUGAAACACUCCUCAUGAACCUGAAGACGACACUGUUGAUUUUGUUUGCGGCGCUCAAUGAUGCAGAGGAGAAGCAAAUUGUGAACCCUGCUGUGAUAGAGUGGCUUAACAGCUCAAGCAUGCUGUCUUUGAUGCAGAGGACUUACUUGAUGAGAUUGACACUGAAGCUUUGCGAUGCAAGCUGGAAGGUGAGGAUCAAACCCACAAUAAUUAACCAACAAGGAUCUUUUUGAUUGUUUGAAAGGAGGGUCUUUGAUGAUUUGAAAGGAGAGGGUUGCUUCAUUUCUGUUGGAUGCUUAAUUAAAUCUUAUCUGGACUUGAACAAGGAUUAGGUUAGCUGUAUAAUUCGUGGUAAACACCUUUUUCUAAGGUUCAUUUAGACUCCUAUUACGAUUAAUUUGUUGUUUCUAAUUUGGACUUGUAGGAACAGACCAAAUAUGUUCACACGUGGCAUCGUUCAAGUCAUCAUCAUUUCAGACAAAAUCAGCCUUCAAGUGUCUGCUGACUCAAUGAACCUUUCUAGAUAUAUCAAGUGCAAUGGAAAUUCAAGAGUUACAUAGAGAUUUGUAAACAUUUUGAAGAUUGCAACACCUGCAAGUGAGAUAGGUGGUGACGAAAUCAGAGCUGAUCUUGAAGCCUCUGAUGCCCCUGUCGUUGCAAGUUGCACCUGAGAACAUGGUUUUUUUUUGGGUAAAAAACCAGCAACAUGUUCGGGGCUGGCAAUUCAAUCCCUGAUGAACUUGAGAAGCAAAGCUCCAGUAAGGAAAUUGGUCGAGGUCACGACAGGGAUAAUUGAUGGUGAAAUGGAUGCUAUUUCUUAUUGCAGCCUGUUCUCAAAGUUCUUGUUGGCAAAAGCAAGAGAUGGAGUAUUUUGAUUGGGAGGAGAGAUAAUGACAUGUGUUGACAAUUCUAGAACAGCCCAUCUGAGUUCUUUUGUCAGGCUGCAUCAUUUAAUCCCAGCAAAAAUCCAGUUUUUGCUAAACAAUCAAAUUGUACACAUUUUUUCUUUUCGAGGAAUUUAACAUUACACAUUUUUUCAUUUUUUCAUCAAACAGUUUUCUAAUGCAUUUGUUGUCCCAAGUUACAAUGAGGAAUUUGGAUUGAGUUUCUUGUGUUAAUAACAUUAUACUUUCAUGGAAUGGUUUAUCUUCUUUUUCUGGACAAAAAUAUUUAGAUUAAUUUCUUGGAAUAAUUUUUUAAUAAUUUUUUAAUUGCAGUAGCGAAAAAAGGAAAAUUGUAUUUUUCAAAACCAAUCUUAAGUCCAGUUUCCUCUUCUUGGUCGUCACACUUGGAAAUUGCUAACCAUAUAUAACUUGGGGUAACAAUCUUAGUCCGAAUGUGUACGAUCUUAGUCCGAUCAAUGGCUACGCGUAUUGGCUCGGCCUUGGGGUCUACCAUUCCAGUGUACAAGCUUCCUGGGUCUUGGGGCAAUUCCUUCAAAUUGUACACAUGUUUUCUUUGAGAAGCAAGGCUCUAGUAAGGAAAUUGGUUAUGUAACAAAUUUUGGUCCCUUUGGAUGGAAUGAUUUACAAUGAGGAAUUUUAUUAUUAUUAUUUUGUUUUUGUUGUUAGUGUAAUGAAAAUGAUCUAGGUUCAUACACUGGGUAUAGCUCUAAUUUGGCCAAUUUCAUUAUUUUAGUUUCUUCAUAUUUUCAAUUAUUAUAAUUUGGUGCGUUGUUUUUUAAAAACAUUCAUGAGAAUCUCCAUUUUUUAGGUGUUUAAGUUAUUCAUCCACAACGGUUUUAUAAUACCGUCAUCUUUUCAAACACAACGAUGAUUUUUUAAUCUAUCGUCGUUGUUUUCUGAUCGUCUUUUUCACUUUUUGUAGUAGUGUCAAUAAGUAAGAUGAAAUAAUACAUUCACAAUCUGUUUAAAUUUUAAAUUAAAAAAAACACAAGAAAAUUUUAAAUAAGUAAGUAAUUUUAAAUAUAUAUUUCCAUUGUUUUGGUUUUCUUUUCAUAUUAGUUUUCUACUAGCUGCUAAUUUCAUUUAAAUUGUUUUUCUUACUUCAUUUAACUUUUAAGCAUGCAGAUGCAAUCAUGACUUCUUCUUUUUUUCAAUAGACUGAUUCUCUUCCCACAUAUAUAAUGCUCUCUAAGUAUUCGUAAUAUGAGUAGGAAUUUAUUUUCAUUUCACAAGAAUUGUCCAUCAAAUUCUGAUAGGUUUGUCGAUAGCACAAGCAUGCACAUAUAGACACUACAAGAACUUUGUUUCUUCAUUUUGUUUCCUAAAGAUUUGUUGGCUUCGUGCAGAUGAAUAACAAGUCUCUCUGUCCUCUAUUUCUUCUUUUUCUUUUUUAACAAUUCAUAUUCUACUUUCUGUUUUCACCCAGUAAAAAUUGAUUUUAGACAUGGGCUUCUAAAUUAUGUGCGGAUAAUGGUUGCAUUUAUAGAAUAUCCAUGGGCUUCUAGUCACCGUGGUUGUUGAUUCAGCAUGUCAUAUUACUCUUGGACUAGCUGUUGACACUACUACAUUUUACACUUUGCGCGACGAAGAACAAAACGUCGCGCAAAGUCGCAUUUAGUCGCCCCAAUUUCAGCGCGACAAAAACGUCGUCGCGCAUAUUCCGUCGCGCGAAGAUCGUGAAGAAAGCCUUUGCACGACGAGGUACAACCCUUCGUCGCGCAAAAGUGUGCGACGGGUAAACCAUCGUUGCACCAACGGUGUGGAGACGAAACAACCCUUCGUCGCAAAAAUAUUUGCGCGACGAUAAAUUAUGCGGCGCACGUAUAUUUGCGAGACGACGGGAAUUGCGCGACAAAACAUUAUUCGUCGCGCAAAAUAUGUAUGGGAGACGUAUAUGUUCGUCGCAGAACAAUUCGCGCGAUGAGAAAGUUUUCGUCGCACAUAUAAUUGCGCGACGAAAAAUUAUGUCGUCGGCCAAAUAUUUUGCGCGACGAAACAUUUCGUCGCGCAAAACGUGUUAUGUGUUCGUCGCGCAUGAAUUAAAAGUGAUAAAAAAAUAUUUGAUUUUUUUUUGUUACAUGUUGGUUUGCGCGACGAAAGAUUUUCCGUCGCGCAAAAAUAAUAUUACAAUUUUUUUUUUAUUUAUAUUUUUUAUUUGAUAUAAAAUUGGUUUCUUUUUAUUGAUUAAACAAUGAAAUUGCAAUAAAAAUAAAUUAGAAUAAAAUUUUGUUAUAAAAUAAAAUAAAAUAAAUGUAUUACAAAUAAAAUAAAUACACUAAUCAAAUAAUGAAUCAAAAUCAACCGAGUCGUCGCCAGUAUGCGGCUCGGAGGGCGGGGCGUUCACCGGGGCAGUGGUCUGGUGGGGAUGCCCGGGAUGGACGGGCUCAGAGGUCGGCGCAUCAAAAUGCGGGACUGGAAUGCCGGACUGUGCGAGGGACUGCAGAAUGACCGACAUCUGGCUCUGAAGAGUGGCCACCUGUGCUGUCAAAGCAGUGACCUGACUGUUUGACUGCGCCGAUGAACGAGGUCGAGGUUCCCUCCGCCGGGCAUUCCCCAUCCCUCGACAAUAUGUCCCCGGCCUCCUCCCGAGAGUCUGAUCCAACGUCUCCGUCAAUAUCUGAAAUCCAGCAUCCUGUGGAGGAGCCACAGACUCGAUCGGAGUCUCGGGAGGAAGCUGGGAGGCGGACUCCUGAAGAACAAGCUGGCUCCUCUCCACCAUCGUCGUCUGUUGAACAUAACAUAAAAUAUAAAUUAAAACAUGCAUAUAAAUUGAAUGCGUAACAUAAGAAUUAAAAUUAAAUAAUACUUACAUGAAGGGACUCGGCCAACUCAUUCCCGGGUCGAACAUAAACGUCACCAAAGACGUCGAUCUCUGGGAACUUGGACCCCUCCUAAAUUGAACAAGAGAAGAAAAAUAUUAGUAUGAAAAAAAUAAAUUAAUAAAAAUGACAUUAAAAAUGAAAUAAAAAUUUUGUGAUUAUUACCCGACGCCGUGCAUCCAUCCUAUAAGAAAAGGGUCUGGAGCCGGAAUGGUGGAGAAGGGUCUUCUUCUUCCUAUUACCCUUAUUCACUUGGGCUUUAUUCUGUUAUACAAAAAAUGAAACGUAUUAGUUAAAAUAUAAAAAAUUAAAUAAUAAUGAAAUAAAAAAAUAAAAUAAACAUUAAUAAGUAAUAAGUAAUAAUUAAACAAAUAUAAUUAAAAAAAUACCGCAAAUUCGGGCGCUUGAAAAUGAGCGCAGAGCCACUCCCAACUAUCCUCCCGCCCCUCAAGCUCCUUCGGGCAACCCUCCUGAAGAGCGACUUGCGGAUCAUCAUAGGCCUGAAAAUGGUGGUGCAAGUCGCUCUUCCACUGCUUGUACCUCUCAGCGAAGAGUCGGUUGACGUACGUCAACGACUCUUCGUCGAGAUCCUCCAAGUUAUAGUUCGUCUGCAAUCAAUUAAUUAGAUACGUUAAGUAAUAGAAAUAUACACAAUUUUAAAGAAAAAUAAUGAAAAUGUAAGGUACAUACCGACAACUGGCCGUGAAUCUCCGCCUGGAUCUCGUCAGGCAUGACCCUCCAAGACUUCCAUUGCAUCGGGCAAUGGGUCCGCACGACGUGGCCAAUGUCGUGGGCCAAGGAGCUAUGCAACUUCGCCGUCGGUGCAGCACGAUGGCGCUCGUCGUAUCCGAUGCUGAUACGACUGUUGGUCACCCGGGUGACCUUCGCCGUCUUCAGCUGACGACACGGUCCUCGGGUGUUCCUCUUCGCUGCAAAGAAAUAAGGUAUUAAUGUUAAAUAAAAAAACAUUGUCAAAUUUCAAUAUAAAAUUAACAAUACAAAAGUGUAGUUAUACCUGGCUGUGAUCCCGAGGCACCAGUACCGUCGGUCGAUGUCGUGUCGAUGGUGUCGGUGGGCCGGUGCCGCCGCCUAGCACUAGCUGGUUGCGCCACGGAUGACGCAGAUGACACAGGCGCCUGGGGCGCCCCGGGACCAACCACCACGUGGUCCAACAAAGCAGGAGCAGUGGCAGCAGAUGCCGACUGAGCCAGGGGAUCCGAACUCGGUGCAGUCGUCAUCGACCUACCACGUCUAAUCAAGUCUGACAUCUGCACAUAUAAUUUCAUUCAGAAUGUAAACUAAUUAAUUAAAAGCAUAGCCUGACCUAGGGUUUGGAAUUUCGGAGUAUCCGGGACUCCGAUCAACGAUCGGUCGAAUCCUAAACGAUCCUAGAAACACAAAGGUACAACUACGCGAGUUUCAGUUCGAUCCAACGGUCCGAACAUAUCAAACCUGGAAAUCGCACAAUAGGCGAAAUUCGAUCAAGACUCAAACGGUAACCAAAUUCAAAUCCGAGCAAACCUACGCGCUCGUGACAAACAGGGGAUCGCUCUGGGACACAAUGCCCCACUGCCACAGCAUCCCACGCGCCGGCAGCGCGUGGGUGUCCAAAGCGAUAACAUUCGCCGGAAAAUUCUAAAAACUAACGGCCAAGGUUCCUACCCUAGGUUGAAAACAAUAUUUGGCGCCACUUUUGUUCUCGGACCUACCCCGAAAAAUGGCCGGAAGUGGCCGGAUUUGAAAUUGCCAAACCGGCCAAAACCUAGGGUUUUAAUUCCUAUUUCCUAUACCCAUCAGCUAGAGCACAAAAAAUAGUCGAGAAAUCAUACCUCAGGCGUCGGAAAUGGUGGCCGGAGGAGAGAGAAAACGGCCGGCGAGGAAUCGGUGAAAAACCGACGAUGUGCGACGGCAGGCUCGACGGCGAAGGCAGGGGAGGCUAUGGCAGGAGCGGCGGUGGCUGAGGUGACGGCGGAGAGAGAGGGCUGAGGUGACGGCGGAGAGAGAGGCAAACGGAGGAAAAAACCAGAAAUGGGGAAGAAGGAGGCAUCGCGACGUUUCUGCAAAUUUUUACGACUUUGCGCGACGAAUCACAUCAUUCGUCGCGCAAAAUGCUAUUAAUGAAUCUUGCGCGACGCUAUAUCCGUCGCGCAAGAUCUGUCAGAACGCCAAAUUCUGAAAGUGGAUUAGGGUCUGUAAGUUUUGCGCGACGAAAUAGACAUACUUCGUCGCGCAAAAGGCUGUCUUUCCGCCAAAAUUUUGGGAUUUAGGGUUUAGCGGGAGGCUGAAACUGAAGGGUUUGCGCUUUUGCGCGACGAAGACGGUAAACGUCGCGCAAUGGUAACCUUGCGCGACGGAACGUAUUAUAUUCGUCGCGCAAAAGGCUAUCUUUCCGCCCAAAUUUUGGGAUUCAGGGUUUAGCGGGAGGCUGAAGGGUUUGCGCUUUUGCGCGACGAAGACACUAAACGUCGCACAAAAGGCUGUCUGCUGAAAUGAAUGGUUUCUGCUUUUGCGCGACGAAGACAAUAAACGUCGCGCAAAACGUUGUCGUUCCGCCAACAAUUUGGGGUUUAGGGUUUAGUGUGAAAACUGGCGCCCAGAUUGCGCGACGAAGAGUACAUAUUUCCUUCGCGCAAUCUAUUUCACUUUCACUUUGCGCGACGGAUAUGUUGGUUCGUCGCGCAAUCUUCAAGAUUUUCAUUGAAAUUUUCACUAAGUGUUCAAAGGGGAUGGAGGUGUGAAAACUGGCGCCCAGAUUGCGCGACGAAGAGUACAUAUUUCCGUCGCACAAUCUAAUUCACUUUCACUUUGCGCGACGGUUAAAUUGUUCGUCGCGCAAAAUGUAGACCCUAAACCCCCUUGUAAACCCUAAACCCUGAACCCUAAGCCAUAAACCCUAAACCCUAAAAUAGUUUCAAUGAUCCAACCGGCAAACUUAUUGUUUGAAACUUGGAGAUCAUAUACGCCAAAAAUCAAGAAGACCAAACAUUCAGAUAUCAGGGAACGGGACUAAAUAUUUCGACGGUUAUAAAUGAAAAGUCAUGAUUUAACGGUUAUUGUAACUCCGAUUUUGAUCAAUUUUGACAGCAGCAUUUGUUGACCCUAUAUGAAUACAAUGACUGAAUUUGAUCUUCAAUUUCAGAUUUUUACACUAGGGGAUACCACAUAAACGUGAAGUUACAUUUGCACAAAUGUAUAAACAAAUUUUAGGGUUUUUGGUGAAUAUAUGAUUUUGAUAGCACAUGCAGUCUACGAAACAAGUUUCAGUCAUCCAGCCGUCAAACUUGUUUUUUUAGACUUCGAGAUCAUAGACAGCAAAAAUCGGACAAAAAAAACAUUCAGAGAUUAAGCAACGGGGUAAAACUUUUCGACGGUUCUAAAUAAAAAGUGAUGAUUGAACGGUUAAUUUAACUCCGAUGUUGAUGAUUUUUUGCAGCUACAGUCCUACACUCCAUAUGAAUACAAUGAACUACUUCGAUCGCCAAUUUUAAAUAUAUAUGUGUGUAUAUAUUAUACUAUAACGUUACCUAAUAUAUAUUUGCGCGACGAAAGUUUGCUUAUCGUCGCGCAAAAAUGCCAUACGCGACGCAUGUAUAUAUGCGUCGCGGAAACUAUGCGCGACCAGUUGUAUUCGUUGCGCAAACAUUACGCGACGCUUAUGUAUGCGUCGCGUAUGGUAUGUUUGCGCGACGAUAUGGAGCCCUUCGUCGCGCAUGGAUUUGGCGCCAUAAAUCCUCAUUGAUUUCAAAUUGUGUAUGCUUUGUAUUUUUUAGAAAGGUUUUGUAUUCAUCAUUUUUUAUGCUUUGUAUUUUGUGGAAAGGCUUUGAAAUAUUCAUUUCUUUUGUUAUUUUUAUUGAAGCUUUAACUUGUUCUGUUCCGCAGAAAAUUCCAAUGAAGUUUGUGAUGAAAUAUGGAGAAUGAAUACACAACUACAUAUGGACAACUACACAUAUUCAAAGAUUUGUAUUACACAAAAUUAAUACACUAACAUAAUAAAUUUACAAAUAAAUUCAUUAUUCAUCAUCUGAACUAUAAUAACUUUCGUUAUCGUCGCUAGCUUUAACUUGUUCUGUUCCGCAGAAAAUUCCAAUGAAGUUUGUGAUGAAAUCUGGAGAAUGAAUACACAACUACAUAUAGACAACUACACAUAUUCAAAGAUUUGUAUUACACAAAAUUAAUACACUACAUAAUAAAUUACAAAUAAAUUCAUUAUUCAUCAUCUGAACUAUAAUAACUUUCGUAUCGUCGCUAUCAUCACUCUCGGUCUCCCAAUCUUCUUCCUCCUCCUCCUCUAUAACUGCAUCAUCGGCGUUGCUAGGGCCCACUGCAACAUCGUAUCGGGGAAGAUCACCGAGGUCAAUUGUAAUUGACUGAAUCGGUAUUUCGACUGAAGACACUCCUUCUAUUUGAAACGGUUCUUGUAUAACAUUUGUAUCUCGAAGUGUUUCCGCAUCAUUUUCCAUUGAAGAUUCUAAACGAUGGUCAGCCACAUUGUCGACGUCGUUGUCACUUGGGUCUAGUUCUGGUAUAUUAUACACGUUCCUAUGAUCCAUCUUCUGCACAACUUUCCACCCGUUCCCGGCUUUAGGGUCAUCUAGAUACACAAUUUGGGACGCCAUGUUUGCCAAAAUGUACGGGUCGUCAUCAUACCAAGUUCUGUUAAUAUUCACAGACAGUACUCCAUGGUCGAUUUUAACACUUCCCGCCCUAUUUGGGUUGGUAUCGAACCAUCGACACUUAAACAUGAUGACUUGGUAUCGAUCUUUGUAAAGCAAUUGCACGACAGUUGUCAGUUUGCCAUAGAAAUCAAUGUCUGUACUUUCGCCUCCACCUGGGACAUGAACACCGCUAUUUUGCGUACACAACUUGUCAUCUCGUGCGGCCCCUAAAAAUUUGACGCCGUUAACAUUACAACCCGAGAACAAUUCAGCGCGAAUUGGGCCGAACGCCAAGUUAUAUAACUCAUCACUGUAAGUGGGGGAAUUCGAUGAUUUCAAUUUAUUCACCUAAUAGUAUACAAAACCAUUUACAUGUUAGUCUGACAAAAUUAAAUACUAAAAUUUAUAUUUGUCAAUUACAAAACACUUAUAACUUACAGAAUCCAAAAACCAUUGUGGAAAUAAUUCACGGUGUUUCCGGGCAACCAAAUGUGAUGGAUGUUCUCGCUUCAUCAUCUGUUCAUGCUCAUCUAAGUAGGCCAUUAUCUCAUCACAAUUGUUCAGUACGAACCAAUGCGCUACCUCCAUGUCAUUUCUAGAAAACGACUCUCCUCGUCCAGGAUCUCCAAAUGGUCGUGCGCUUUGGGCAAAAACAGAAAGUUUUUCAUUUCUCAUACCUCCGUCAUUAUUGCGGUGAGGACGAUUGAAAACCGUCUCCACAUCUUUUAAAUACAUUCCACAGAAAGUAAGCGACUCAUAUUGAACCCAAGCCUCUAUAAUUGAUCCUUCGGGCUUUGCCCUGUUGCGUACACUUUUUUUCAGCUCUCCGAGAAGCCUGCCAAAAUAAAACGAUAUGAUACAAAUUAGCAAAGUGUCGAUAAUGAUGCAUACACAAAUGAUAAAGAUUAUAUACCUUUCUAUUGGAUACAUCCAGCGAUAGUUGACAGGACCAGCAAGCAAUGCCUCUUCUGGCAAGUGAACCAUCACGUGCAUCAUACUUAUAAAGAAAGCUGGAGGAAAUAUCAUCUCAAACUUGCAUAGGACUUGGACAAUGUCAUGGCGCAACUGAAACAUGUCUGUCCUUCGCAAUGUUUUUGCCGUCAGUUGGGAAAAAAAUCUGGAUAACAACAUGAUUGGCUUCACCACAUCUUCCGGCAGUAAGUGUCGAAUACCCACAGGAAGUAGGCGUUGCAUGAACACAUGGCAGUCAUGGCUCUUAAGUCCAGUAAAUUUACCCCCAUCGACAUUCACGCAACGUGCGAUAUUAGAAGCAUACCCAUCGGGAAAUUUGACAGACGAUACAAACUUUAGAAACUCCUUUUUGUCAUUCGGUUUCAUAGAAAAGAAUGCAAGAUCCCUUCUAGCUUUAUCACUGUCCCUAUUCAUCCAUAAACCCCUUCGUAUGCCCAUUCUUUCCAAAUCAAGACGAGCUUUGAUCGUGUCCUUCGUCUUCCCCUCGAUAUCUAGAAUCGUGCCCACCAAUGUGUCGAAAACAUUUUUCUCAACAUGCAUCACAUCUAGAUUGUGCCUCAAUUUCAGUUUCGACCAAUAUGGGCGCUCAAAAAACAUAGACUUGUGCGUCCAGUUCAAAUGUGUAGAAGGUCGGGUCCGACUAACUGUUUUCCCGAACGGAGCAAAAUCCAAACGGUUCAGCUGUUCCAAGAUCUCAUCACCGGACCAUUCUCUAGGUCUGAGGCGACGCUCUGUGUUCCCGUCGAACUCUUUAUCUUUUUCUCGCCACUCGUGGUCCCAUGGCAACCAUCUCCGAUGACCAAGGUAACAAACUUUUCCCGCGUGCCAACCAGAAGUUACAUCUUCCUUGCAUACAGGACAUGCCAUAUAACCCUUUGUGCUCCACCCAGAAACCAUUGCAUAUGCUGGAAAAUCAUUCACAGUCCACAUAACUGCUGCUCGCAAAGUGAACAUCCUCCCAGUUGAUUUAUCGUACGUGCGAACACCGUUUGUCCAUAAAUCCUUCAGCUCAUCAACCAGAGGCCUUAAGUACACAUCAAUUGACCUGCCAGGAUCCUCAGUUAUCAAAACAGUCAUCAUCAUGUAUUCUUUUUUCAUGCAUUUCCAAGGCGGCAAAUUAUAUGGGAAUGCGAAAAUCGGCCAAGUGCUGUGGUGUUGGUUUAGAACCCCAUACGGAUUGAAUCCGUCAGUGGCAAGUCCCAAUCUAACAUUUCGGGGAUCAGCAGCAAAUUCGGGGAACGUUCGAUCGAACUCUUUCCAUGCCUCCCCAUCUGCAGGAUGCCGCAUCACAUCAUCGUCUACCCGUUUUUCCUUAUGCCAUCUCAUGUCUGUGGCAGUAUGCGUUGACAUAUACAAUCGCUGCAACCUAGGUUUAAGGGGCAGAUAACGCAUGACUUUUUGUGGUAUCUUAGUCGUUCUAUUCUGGGAUGUCAGUUUGAACCUCGACUCAUUGCAUAUAGGGCAUGUAUCCAACGUUUCAUGCUCUUUGUAGAAUAACAUGCAAUUGUUUUUGCAAGCGUGGAUUUUUUCAUAACCCAAUCCAAGACCGUGCAACACCUUCUGUGCAUGUUUAUGGUCUUUCGGCAAACAAUUGUCCGUCGGAAGCAUUCUCUUGAAAACCCCCAAAAAGUAAUCAAAACACAAGUUCGACAUACGAUACUUUAUUUUUCCGUGCAUUAGCUCCACAAUGGCAGUGAGAACGGAAAACCUCUCGCACCCCGGGUAUAACUCUUGGUUGGCAUUUUUUAACAGUUUUUCAUACUGUUCAAACUCCGCACUGUCUAUUGGUGUAGGCACGUCAUCUUCCCCUUCCUGAUUGAUGUUGGUCGAUGCGAAUGGAAAAGCAUCCUGUAUAAUACCCAUGACUUGAUCAUUAGGAUCCACAAUAGGUUCAACAUUGUCCACUCUCGGGGCAUUUGAAGACGAAGCAUGGUCUACUUGUUCGCCGUGAAGGUUCCAAAUGCUAUAUGUUUCAAUCAUUCCAUUCCUUACUAAAUGAAAUCCAACAUUUUCAAUUGUCUCCCACAACGUGUUGUUACACCUCCUACAAGGACAACGGAUUCUAGUUGCACCCGGGUUGUGUCUACGUGCAAACUCAAUAAAAUCCUCGAUUCCAUCCAAGUAUUCGUCUGCGCAUCUAUUCGGGUUCUGUAUCCACCUUCUGCUCAUAAUUCCUGAAACCACAAUCACGACACAACAAUCACAACAACUUCAUACGAAGUUAUAAUGUCACCUUAUGCCUCCGGUAAGGGCCCUAUCCCAUUCGGGAAUGCAUAGUCCUGUCACGUAACCUACGGCUACAUGAGAUUAGAUUUCGACGUGGAUUAAUUUCAGCAGCAUCUCGACACAGUUCUUGAAGUGGGCAUAGGUAUAAAUACCUACGUACCACCCGAAGAACGUACCGAGAUGACACCGAAAUCUCCACAAUCGAAACCUAAUCCUGUAGCCGAAGAUUAUGUGACAACACUAUGCAUUACCAAACUGUCCAAAUAAUGGGACAAUUCAAGAAUUAAUUGGACCGCAGUCAUGCAUUACGCAUCCAUGCACGAAAUUCAACUAAUCUCGAACGGGAAACUACGUGUUACUAAACAUAAAAAUAAAAGUACGAAGUUAAUUUCAAUUAACUUCGUACAUCACAACACAUUGUGCUAUGUCACGCACAAUUUCACAACAUUAUACACAUAUAACUUCACAAAAAAAUUACAAACAUAACAAACAAACUUUUACAAUAACAUACCUUCUCAAUCGUUCUCCACCAAUCACAAAUAUCCCUAACGAUAACAAAAUUAAUAGCGUUACUACGAAUUUACAUUAAUACAUUUAAACUAACGACAAAAAAUACAUACCCAAUGAACGUACUGAAUUCACAGUAGAGCAACGGCAGAGAGAGUGAGAGAGAGGUAGAAUGCAGUGGGAGAGUGAGAGAGAGGCAGAAUGCAGAAACUGCAUUCUGCCUCUGCAAUGGAACUGGCUAAAAUGAAGAAGAAGGACUUUGCGCGACUAACAAUCCAAUCCGUCGCGCAAAAUGCCGUCGCGAAAACCCACUUUUCCGUCGCACAAAAAAACAUUUCCGUCGCGCAAUUACCUGCCGACAUCAGGUUUUUUGCGCGACGAAUACAAUUAUCCGUCGCACAAACAUCCGUCGCGCAAAUAACAUUAUUCGUCGCGCAAGGUUUAUAUUACGUCGCGCAAAUAACACUUAUUUCGUCGCGCAAGAAAUUACACUUUACGCGACGAAGGUAAUUCCGUCGCGCAAAAAAGUUUUUUCCACCCUGCAUUUUGCCGCCAAAAUUAAGUAACCCUCGUUUUCUUACGCGACGGUACAUAUUUCCGUCGCGCUAAGGCGUCUUUUGCGACGAAAAUGUUCGUCGCGCAAGAUUCUGGCGCCAAAAACAUAAACUGGGGAUUUUUCCCCGACCUUUGCUCGACGAAAUUAGUUUUGGUCGCGCAUAGAUUGUUUGCGCAACGAAGAUUGUUCGUCGCGCUAGUGUUCUGCUGUUUGCGCUACGGUAUUUUUUUUUCGUCGCAAUAGUGAUUUUUGCGCGACGAAAAUAUAUUCGUCGCGCAAACGUCCGUCGCGCAAAUAGUAAAUCGUAGUAGUGUGAUUUGGUUUAGACUUGGUUUAAUUAUCAUUGUUGUGGUUGGUUCACCAAAAAGAUUUGGCUUAGAAUUACCAGUUUUGUUGUUGGUUUAGUUAUGCUUGGCAUUUGAGGAUCCUAUGCUUACUUGUAUGGGUAAUACAUUUUAUUGAUCGUUUCAUAUACUAAUUAUGAACUUUUAGUUCCAUUGUGCAUUUAAGAGUACACAUAUUUCAUAUGUAAUUCGAAAGUUUGUCGCUGAAAUUUCUGAGAAUUUGAAACUAGAUAAGCACACCUUGCACAAAGUUCAUAUAUUUUCUUCCAGCAAGUCUGUCUAUUAACCCCCCUUAUCUGAAAUUAAUUGUUAAAAGUUCUGAUUCAUCUUUAAUCAUUGUCUUACCCUUGUUGAAUAACACUCCUCAUUCUAAUUUAUAUUCGAAGUUUGAGGUUUCAAUUUCAAUUGUGGGCUUUGAUUUUACAGAUUUUGUUUGUCAAUUUCAAUUUGGACAAAGCAUAUGCAAACAAAGUAAGGCAUUAUCUAUUAUUUGGAUCAUUUCCAUAUGUUUAUAUGUUUUUAAUAUCAUUUGCCUAUGUAGUUGACAUGUUAUAACAUUUUCGUAGUGUUGAAUAUAUAUAUAUAAUAAUUUUAUUUUAGUGGAUGUGAGAUCUCAGUUUGUUGCUUUAUAUAAUUAUUUCUUUGCAAUUUAAUUUUUUUUAUCAGUCAUACUAUUGUUGACGGCUAAAAACCAUCAAGAAACAACUCUUAAGUUUUUUAAAAAAUAAAUAAAUAAAUAAAGAUUUGUUGAUGCUUAAAAAGCAUCAAGAAAAGAUAGUUUCUUGACGGUUUUGUGACGUUUCAUAACCGUCAUGAAACAUUACAUUUUGACGAACGUCUUUCUGAUAGUGGCAUCCGUGACGCUUUCCGAGCCAUCAAUUAAGGGCUAUCGUGAUGCUUUUUAGUUGUCAGCAAAAGGUGUUUUUCUUGUACUGUAUUCACUCAAAAUCGUUUUUCAUUUAGGGUUGCUAGUGUGGUUGAAUGCCAUUUGUUUUGUUAAUGAAUAUUAUACAUUAUGGAUUUUUGUAGAAAUGUCGCUUGAAAUUAUACCUCAGUUUCAAUUUGUCACCUUAAAGAAAAAUUUAAGAGAAAUGUCACCUUAAUUUUUCAAAAUCCACGAUUUGUCAUCUCACUUUAACAUCAUCCAAUUUUCCAUCUAUUUUAAGGGUAUUUUAGUCUUUUCAUUUUCAAGGGAAAAAAAGAGAGGAAGAAAAAGACCUCUCUCUUACUUUCUCCCCCAACCCAACCCCACCCGCCCCCCAAAACACAUCGCAUAGGACCGCCUCCCCCUUCCCCACAUUUCUUUUUUCUUUUUGGCCUACUUUUCCACUAUGUUUAUGUUGAAGGAUCUAAAGUUUUCUUGGUCACCAUCUAUUACGUAGGCUACCGACUUGUUGGUUUGGGUGGGUUGAGGGAAUUUGUGUGUGGAGGGCAGGUGUUCAUGUUGUGUGCACCAAGACCUUAUCGUUGAUGAACUAUGUGACGGCACACACACAAACUCGUUGAGAAUAAAACAAACAUACCACCAAGAGAGUAAAACAAACACACAAGGACACAAAGAUUUAUAGAGGUUCGGCCUCCUGCCUACGUCUUUUUGGUGAUUCACUCGAGAAAUUCACUAGUAUGUAAAAAUAACUUUGGUUACAACUGAACCCCCUUAGCCCUCACAAGAACCUUAGAUCUCUUUUCUCUCACCCUUGCUCAAACCCUUUGAUGCCCUUGUAGACACUCAAGAAUUCACCCUUGAAUUCUAUCUUGUGUUACAUCUUCUCUUCUCCCUUUUGUUAACCUAACCCUAAAAGUCCUAUUUAUAAUGCAUAGGACUUAAGUUACAAGUUAACUUGGAAUAGGAAACAUAAAAUACCCCAAAAAUUGGAGAAAAUCUGUCCAAAUCUAGCCUGCAAAAUCAUCCUUCUGCCGCUCGAGCUGCCGGUGGCGCUCAUGGGAUGGGGGAAUUGGAGAUUUUCUUUUCAAUUUUAAUUGUUUAAAAGAUAUACAAUUUUUUAUUAUAAUAAUUUUUCCAUUUUUAAAAUACACUUGAAAAUAGAAAGCUUAAAAUGCCCUUAAAAAUAGAUGGAAAAUUGGAUGGUGUUAAAGUCAGAUGACAAAUCAUGGAUUUUGAAAAAUUAAGGUGACAUUUCUCUGAAAUUUUUCUUUUAAAAGUGACAAAUUGAAACUGAGGUAUAAGUUCAGGCGACAUUUCUACAAAAAUCCCUAUACAUUACAAUAUUAUAACAAUAAAAUUGGCUAAAAUUGAUAUGUUCCCUCUUUUCUUUUCUUUUUCUCUUUUCCUUUUCAUUUUAUGCUUUGUUGCUAUUGCUAUGUUUAUCCUACAAAUAUAGCAACUUCUCCACCAUUCAUUUGUUAGUGACUACGAUGCUUAGUAACUUCUUCAGCUCCCCUUAUUUCCAUGUACUAACCAGGGACACCAGGUCAGCAUCUUCGGUAAGAAUCCUAACUCAAUCAAACAAUGACAUCUGUAAAUAUUCAAAAUUGGAAUUUGCAUUGUGAUAGUUGAAAGCAUCCUUGUCCCAAAAAAAGCCAAAAAAUAAAAUAAAAUUGAGAGCAUUAAGUCCUUUUCAAAUUAUGCUAAUAUGCAAAAUUGGAAUUUUGAUGGAGUUGCUUCCUUGACUUUUCCACCUUUGUAUCCAGUCCACUUUGCACAAGGAGCCAAGUUUGAGAGAUAGUUUUCUGUAUUUACACCAUCCAGGAGAAAAUUAAAAAACUAUUUCAUGCCAAACUAACUACGGAUUCUUGCAAAGGACCCAUUAGUGUAGUGGUUUGGAGUAUUUACUCCCUCAGGCAAGGUCUUGGGUUCGAGUCCUAGCAUUCAUGUUGUGUGUGUGAGUUUAAUAUGCUAUCACCCCUUCCAAUAGGAAAGGACCUCAAAAAAAAAAAAAAAACUACAGAUUCUUUAAUUGAAAGAAACCCCAUAUUAAUCAUCCUUUGGCACAUAAAUGUUUGGUAAUUGGCAUUAAAGUAUCUAAAGGUUACGAAAUUAAAGAUUUUAAUGCAAACCUAAAAUUGGAAAAGAGGGCACCAAUUCAUGUAAAAUAUGGUGUACUUAGUAGAUCCAACAUAUUUUUUUAGCAACCAAGGACAAUCAUCAUUUUUUUUUUUAAGAACCAAGGAUAGCUUACAUUCUAGUUUGUCCAUCAUGUCAACACAUUUAUAAUUAAAACUUCUUUUUUGGUGAGGUUUCAAUUUUUGUCACUGUAACAAGACCACAAUUGCCAUUCAGUAUGCUAACAUUGUCACUAUGUUUGCCAAUUGCAUAUUAUCUAGAACAUAAAGGCUUUGGUGUUUUGUAUAUCCUCGGGGUGCCAAACCUGUCUUUAUAAAAAUGGUCCUUAUGAUACUACUUUAACAACAAAAAAAUAUAAUAAACUAGGCCUUUGUAGUCACUGAACGAAUGUUUUCUCAUAGAUAUGACUAUUUAAAUGUAAUUACGGGAUUAAAACAUUAUAAUAAAUUGGAGUGAACCAUAACAUUAUAUAUGAUCCAAUCCUUUUCAUAUAUUUUUGUUCAAGACUUUGUUUUAGAAUGCUCUUUUACUAAUUUGGUACAGGUCCCUAAAAUCUACGCCUUUAUGAGGCAACGUCUUUAUUUCUUUGGUUAUUCCAGUUUAGAAUAUAUUUGUACAAAUGAGAUGACUCCCAACAUAAAGUCACAUUCAACCAAAAAGCAUGAAGUCACACACAAAAAGAACACGGACAAUUGCUAAGUUUAUCUUGUAUCCUUAUUUUAUUGAUCCAACCCAAUUGAAAAAUAAAAAAGAUGAUAUAAUAUAUUGUUCACUGCUUACAUCCAUGAGUAAAGUCCUCCAUUUGAAAUUGCGUGAUUAUACAAAAUUGGAAUGAAAAAAGAAAAUCCUACAACUAAAUUUGAUAUAUUCCUUUUCAUUUUAUGUUGGAUGUUAAGUUUUCUUGUUUCUUGUUGAAAAGAAAAAUGAAAAGAAAUAAAUAAAUUACACAGCUAGCAACUUCUCCACCUUCCCUUCUUCCCAUGUACUGACAACAAGGGAGGCCUUCAAUCCAAAAUAAAGACAAGGGAUGCCAGGUCAGCAUCUCAGAUAAGUAUCCCAACCAAAACCAAUCAAAUAAUGACAUAUGUAUCUCUUUUUGUGUUUUGUUCUAUUUCUCUUUGAAUUAACUGCGAAGUUUCAUAAGCGUGUCCUCCUUUUGAAAUUGUGUAUUAUUCAAAAUUGGAAUUUGCUGGUCAUACUUGAUAUAAGCUAAAACAGUUUCCAACAUCUUGUACCAUUUUUUUCCAGUGUGGGUCAUAACUUGAAGAAGCCCACCGACAAUUUCUCAAAAGCUAUUACCAUCCAACUUUGAAAAAUAAAAGUUUCAAAAGUUACCCCAAACAACAGCCCUUGAAAGAGAGUUUUCCAAGGCUAAAGAUUACAAGGAUGUUAUUGGCACAUGCAUUAACGUGUGACAAGAAGUUAGUUAUAUUUAUAAAGUAAAAGAACGAAGUACAUAACAUGUAAGUUGAUGCCAAAUAUUUGAUCAACAGAGCUAAACAUAAAACCACGACAAUAUAACGUUGUUCACCAAAAAUUGUGUUUCGUUGAGGGUCAGUAGUGUAGGUUUCAAGAUACGAUUUAUUUUGUUAAAGAAUAUUCUGAUAUUCUAACAAUAAAAUUGGCUCAAUUUGAUAUGUUUCUUUUUUUUUUUGUUUUUGUUUUCCCUUUCAUUUUAUGCUUUGUUGUGCUAUUGCUAAGUUUAUCCUAGAGACCAGGGAUGCUUAGCAAGUUUCUUCACCUGCCCUUCUUCCCAUGUACUAACUAGGGAUACCAUGUCAGAAUCUUAGAUAAGAAUCCCAACCCAAUCAAACUAUGACAUCUGUAAGUAUUCAAAAUUGGAAUUUGCAUUGUGAUAGUUGAGUGGAAGAAUCGAUUAAGGCUUGAGUGGAAGACAAACUUCAGUGGAGGAAAGUAAUUAAUCUCACAAGACAUAGCCCAUCAGUUGGCUCAUUUUUCUUGAGUGUGUAGUCCUGGCCUUGAGGCGAGGCCACAUUGCUUUGGAGAUUUCUUUCUACUUGGUGAAAUUAUAAUUUAGAAGAAGCAAACUGCGUUUUGCAAUUUGUGCGAUUCAAGCAUAUCUGACACUAGUAAUUAGACCAUAAUCUUUGUCCGACCAGAAAAUAAGAAAAGUUGUCUUGUACCAUUUCUGCCAGUGUGGGUCCCACCCACCCCAUACGAGUAAUUUGAAGAAGUCCACCGACAAUUUCCCAAAAGCUUUGGCGUCCAACUUUGCCGACCCCAUCCCCAUGUGAGGCCAUAGAAAAGUUUUCAGCCACAAUCAAAGAAGGGAACAGUCCUUGAAAAGAGAGGGUUUUCCAAGGCCAAGAUUACAAGUUCAUGUUAUUUACAGUCUCAAAAAGCUUCCAUACUUGUUUACAAACCUGUAUUUUCAAGUUGUGCUAGCCUAGCUAUUUGCAAAUCUUGGAAUAUUUUACUUCAUCCAAAUCCCUUGCAGUCUGCAGAGAAGAUAAAAGACAUGGCUUUGAUUGGAGAGGCUCUUAUCUCUGCUUCCGUCCAGGUGUUGUGCGACAGAAUUACUUCACCCGAGUUCGUUGACUUAUUUUGGCACAAGAAACUCGAUGAGCCACUCCUCAGGAAGCUGAGGACGACACUGUUGGCCUUGAACUUGGUGCUCAAUGAUGCAGAGGGGAAGCAACUUGUGAACCGAGAUGUGAAAAAGUGGCUUGACGAGCUCAGACAUGCUGUCUUUGAUGCGGAGGACUUACUGGAUGAGAUUGACACUGAAGCUUUGCGAUGCAAGCUGGAAGAAGGUGAAGAUCAAACUCACAAAUUUACCAAUAAGGUGCGGAACUUGCUCUUUUCUCCUCGUAGUCAUUUUUAUCAGAGCAUGAAUGAUAAGAUAAAAGAGUUACUAGCAAGGUUAGAAAACUUUGUACAACUGAAAAGUGCUCUUGGUCUGGGAGAAGUUGCUGGGAGGAAGGUUUCGCAAAGAACUCAAACAACCUCCUUGGUUCUUGAACCUUAUGUAUAUGGUAGAGAUGAAGUCAAAGAAAAGUUAUCAAAAGUGUUGCUAUCUGAUGAAGCAGGCAAGGAUCCUGUGUCUUUCCUCACCAUUGUUGGAAUGGGUGGGGUUGGCAAGACAACCCUUGCUCGAAUGCUUUACAAUGACGAUAAGGUGAAAGGGCAUUUUAAACUUAAAGCUUGGGCUUGUGUUUCAGACUACGAUGAUUAUAUUAAAAUUACUAAAACUCUCCUUGAGGCAGUCACUUCAAAGCCUUGUAACACGGCAAAUCUGAAUUUGCUUCAAAAAGAUCUAAGAGAGCAAUUGAGGGGAAGGAAAUUUUUAUUUGUGUUGACCUAUGGAAUGAGAAUAAUGAGGAUUUGAACUACCUUAGAGCUCUUUUUAUUACUUUAGGAACAAUGGGAAGUAAAGUCAUUGUAACAACACGGAACAAAAAUGCAGCAUCUGUCAUGCAAAAUGUUCAUAUUCAAUACUUAGAACCAUUGUCGUAGGAGGACUGCUGGUUAUUACUUGCAAAACAUGCAUUUGGAAAUGAAAAGUGUAGUGCACAUUCAAACUUGGAAGACAUUGGAAAGCAAAUUGCACUCAAGUGCAAAGGGUUGCCUUUAGCUGCACAAACACUUGGGAGUUUGUUACGUUGCAAUAUGGAUUUCGAGUACUGGAAUAGAAUACUAAAUGAUAGUUUUUGGGACCAACCCUAUGAUAAAACUAACAUUCUUCCGGCUCUAGGGUUGAGUUACCAUUAUCUUCCUACUCAGUUGAAACGAUGCUUUGCUUAUUGUUCAAUUUUUCCAAAGGAUUAUGAGUUUGAAAAGGAAGAUAUAGUUCAAUUAUGGAUUGCAGAAGGUAUAAUUCCACAAGCUGAGAAUGGAAAAAGGAUGGAAGCAUUGGCUAGAAUAUACUUUGAUGAGCUGUUAUCACGAUCGUUGUUUCAAAAGUCAAGUAAAUUCAGCUUCAUUAUGCAUGAUCUCAUUAAUGACUUGGCUAUGUUCAUGUCUCAGGGGUUUUGCCUUAGGCUCGAAGAUGGGGUAUCCCGUGAAGUUAAAAGAGCUCGUCAUUUGUCAUAUGCUAGGGGAGAAUUUGAUGCUGCUCCAAGAUUUGAACCAUUAUAUGAGGCUAAAUGUUUGCGGACCUUCCUACCUACCAUUUGUUGUGGGCAAAUCUACUGGAUCAGGCAUAAGAGAACUGAGGCAGUUCCCGCAACUUCGAGGAAAACUAUCAAUUUUGAAGCUACAAAAUGUAGUUGAUGCGAGGGAUGCACUGCACGCCAAUAUGAAGCACAAGAAAGAUCUCAAGGAGUUAGAGCUUUCAUGGGGUGCGGAGGAUGCUGAUGAUUCCCAAAAGGAGAAAGAUGUACUCGACAAGCUCCAGCCUUGCGUGAAUUUGGAGAAAUUAACCAUCAAAUUCUAUGGUGGAACUAAUUUUCCGAAUUGGUUAGGAGACUCGUCUUUUUCUAACAUACAAGUCAUGCAUCUCAGUGACUGUAGUUAUUGUUGGUCGCUCCCACCAGUUGGACCGCUACCGGCACUCAAACAGCUCUGUAUAAGAAGAAUGAAGUUUGUGAAGACGAUUGGCGUUGAAUUCUAUGGCAGAAAUGGAGCUUAUCUGACUCAGCCAUUUCGAUCUCUGGAGAAGCUAGAGUUUAGGGAGAUGCCAGAGUGGGAGGAAUGGGUACCAAGUGGAAGUGCAAGUGGAGGUGAAUAUGGUCCAGACUUUCCUCGUCUCCAGGAGCUGAUUCUAUACGAGUGUCCGAAGCUAAGAGGAAGUUUGCCUUGUGAGUUGCCUUGCUUGAAGAAGCUUACGGUGUAUGGGUGUAAGGUUUUACAUGAUGGAAGGGCCAUUACCGCAACUACCAAUAGUCUUAACUAUAAAUCUCUGGAAGAAUUGAAUAUAAGUGGUGGAUGCCAAACUCUGUUAUCAUUAUUAGAGACAAAGCUCCUGUCCGGACUUGAGAUUCGAAAUGUUGUUGACAUACAGUGCUUGCCCAACUGCAGUCGUCUUCAACAUUUGACUCUUUCGAAUUGUCCAACGCUGUCAUCAUUUCCCAAAGAUGGCCUACCCACUACAUUGACAUCACUUUAUAUAAACAAUUGUAGGAAAUUAGAAUUCCUACCUCAUGAGAUGUUGGCCAAAUUAACAUCGCUUGACUAUUUGUGCAUACAAAAUAGCUGUGAUUCAAUGAGGUCCUUCCCGUUGGGCAUUUUUCCCAAAUUGACGAGGCUUGAAAUUCGUGGUUGUGAGAAUCUGGAAUCCCUUUCCUUGAUUGAAGAAGAAGGAGCUGUUGAGAAUCUCAGCCAUCUCAAUUACUUGCAAGUCUAUAACUGUCCAAAAAUGGUGUGUUUUCACGAGGGAGAAUUGCCCACUCCCAACCUGAGUCACUUUGUAGUCGGUGGUUGCGAGAAUUUGAAGUCAUUGCCCAAAAGCCUUCACACCCUCACUGCCCUUCGAUCUUUGUCGAUAUGUAAUCUUCCGAAUCUGGAGUCAUUUGCAGAAGAUGGGGGUUUGCCUCCCAACCUCCGACAAGUAAGUAUUAGGAAUUGUGAGAGACUGAGGGCUUCAUCAGUGGGUUUGCAAGCACUUGACUCCCUUGAGAUCAGUGGAAGUGACCAUGUAUUCUCUAUCACACUCUUCACAUCUAUUCUCUAUCAACUCUGAAAUCUUUGGACGGAAAGGGUCUUGGACACCUCACUUCUCUUCAAGAGCUAGAUAUUAACAGGUGUCCAAGUCUGGAAUUCCUGCCAGGAGAGGAACUUCAACACCUCACUUCUCUUCAAAAUCUAUACAUUUGGAACUGUCCCAGUCUUCAAUGCUUGCCAGAAGAGGGUUUUCCAUCAUCUCUUUCUCAUCUGAGUAUCCGCCGGUGUCCUACCCUGGAGGAAAGGUAUAAGAAUAAAACGGGACGAGAUUGGGCCAAGAUAUCUCACAUUCCUUGCAUCGAGAUAGGCAACGAAGUGAUCAUAUAAUAUGAGCUAUUCCAUAUUUCACGCUCAACCCUCAACUCUCAAAUCAAAGUCAGGUGAGGUAUGUGCCUUCUCUUACUUUAAAAAACUGCUGCUCAAUAACACUCUUCGCACUCUAUAUAUUAUGGCCUGUCAGUCUAAAAUUCCUGCCAGGAGAGGAACUUGAACGCCUCUCUUCACUGCAAAGGCUACAUAUUUGUGGGUGUGACAAUAUCCAAUUCCUGCCAGAAGAGCGUUUGCUGCAAUCUCUUUCUUAUCUGUGCAUCGACCAUUGUUUUGCCAUGUAGAAAAGGUAUCUCACAUUCCUUGCGUCAAGAUAGGUGAAGAAGUGAUCAUAAGAUAUGAGCUCUCUCUCCCUCUCGCUCACAUACAAAGUACUUAAAACACUCAAUCUGAUUUCUAUUAUUAUUUUGCUCAGUAAAUUUUGUUUAAAUUUGCUUUGUUUCUCAUUGCGCUUGUUCUGCUUAUCACAACUUAUAUCCUAUUUAAAUCUCAAAUGCUGAAUAGUUAGCAGUCUUUUCGCAGGACAGCAUAUCUUCUCUUGGAGAGCUAUUCAUUUGCAAGGUUUCUUUAUGUGUCAUUUCCAGAGGAGGGUUUACUAUUUAAUAGAAAGGUUCACCUGGAAUAUCUCAAAUGACACAUUCCCAAAUACAGGCAUUGAAUGCACAACAUUUUGAGGUACUAUUUUUGUAAUAAAAAUGUACUUGAGUCUCAUUUGAGCUAGUUUAAAUUGUAUUCAAUGUCUAUGGAUAACCUGUGAGCUUAAGUUGUAAGAUAAAACUCACAGUAUAUUAUUAGGGUUUAGGGUUCAACAGGUGAGCUUAAGUUGUACUUUCCUAGGUACUGCAUGUAUAUUAUCUUAGUAUCAACACUUGGUCUUAUGUGGACGAGAGAGAACAUUUGAGGAAUUACAAAAUCUUCUUAGUGAAUUAAGCUUGUUUCAGCUCUGUUUGUCAUCCCUCACAUUUUCUUUGUUAAGCCUUGAUUUUUUAUUAGACAUACGAAAAAAUGCUUUUAUAAGACAGGAGAUGAAUGCUUUUAUAUGUUGAUGUCGUAGUCAGUCUUCAACCACACUCUGUUUUUAGAAUUCAUUUAUGUUACUAGUUGAGAGCUGCUGUAUUUUAUAUUUCGUUCCUGUAAUGUUUGGAUGUUUAGCUUGAGCAGUCUAGCUUAUCCAGUAGAUAACUUGUCCCCUGUUUUGUAAUGUUUUUGUUUCCUCUAAUGAAAGCAGGUUUUACUUAUCUUGAACUGCAGAAGCCUACUUUUUGACAUAGGUGGCAUGGCACAAACUCGCAUCCGCAUUUCCAUCCCCAUUGGCAUGCUGUCUCAUCUUUUCUAUUCUGUUACCAGCUUGAAGCUUGUGUGGACAUGUUAUGCUCUUGUAAUUCUGAUCACAAACAUCACUUGACAAAUGGAAAGUCACAAUCAGAUCUUUCAGGUGAUCUGGAGGUUUACUUUCUAACAUUUGUUUUCGUGGGGGGGAGACAACAAUACAGAAUUUAAAAUUUCUGAUAAUCAAUAGUAGUUUGCAUAUAUCAGCUGGGACCUGUAUGACUGUAUUAUGUAAUUAAUUAUUUCUCUUAUUGUUUGGGUACUGUUAAAAGGAGUUAGCCACACAACAUAAAAAAGGAGGUCUCUUAUUUCAUACAAUUUUUCAAAUGUGAUCAUUAAUCCGUUUCUUUUUCAACAAUAGAGGAAUGUAUACUAAUCGUCUGGUCCAUCUGCUGCUUCACUCCCUAGUAGCUUCAUCUCCUGUCCUUUGCUUUAUUUCUGUUGAUGAAUGUUUUGUCUGGGUUAUUUAUUUUCAUUUCAUGUCCAUUGCUUUAUUUCUGUUUGGAUUCUUAAUUAAAUCUGUCCUGGACUUGAACAAGGGUUAGGUUAGCUGUAUAAUUUGCGGUUUUAUAUACACAACUGUCUACAUUGAUUAAAACCAGCAUUAUUCUAAGGUUCAUUUAGAAUGUAUUAUCACCAAAAUUAUAAAGAAUACUUCUAUUACAAUUAAUUUGUUGAUUCUAAUUUGGACUUGUAGGAACAGACCAAACAUGUUCAUGCGUGGCAUUGCUCAAGUCAUCAUCAUUCGAGACAGAGAAUAAGCCUUCAAGUGUCUGCUGAGUCAAUGAACCUUUCUAGAUAUCUCAAGUGUAAUGGAAAUUGAUGAGUUACAAAGGAUUUGUAAACAUUUUCUACUGGAGGCUAGAAAUGCUUCAAAUAAAUGACCGUGUUGCAAUUAUUUUGUAGGAUCAAAGACUCUGCAAAGAGGUAAGAAAGUCAUCAUCAAGUAACUUUGCUCUUCAAACUUUUUAUUUUUAUUUUUAAAUAUCAGUAAUAACUGGGAAAGCUUGCAUCUCCUUAAAUUGCUCAUUCUUACAUCUUUUAUAGUUUGUUGAUCUUGGGCAAGUGGAGAGAGAGGCGUCAAGUGAUACGCAACAACCAUUUUCUGUGAGCUGAUUUGAUAAAGAGAAAUGGUAUGCUUUCUUGUCUUAAGCGGUGUGUUCUGCAAUUAUUUGAAACAAAGGAUGCCGCACUUCAAGUUCGAGAAAAUCAGGUAUUUUAGUAUUUUAUUCUUGAGAAAUUUGAUUUAUGUAGAAACUUGAACAUGUAAAUAAAAUAAAUAAAAUAUAUUAUAUGCUGUUAAUGAGUUAAUAUGGUGCUUGCUUCUAGUUGGAAAUUUAUGUAGUCAUCUACCUAUGAUCAAAUAAAGAUGAAGAAUAAAAUAUAAUUGAGAGCAUCUUCCUCUCCCCUGCUUUGCUCAUCCCUUGUUCUUCCACUUCAGCCCCACUAUUACACCAUUUUUUCAGCCACAAUUAUAAUAGCUCCAUGAGCAUUAAGUCCUUUUCAAAUUCUGCUGACAUUCAAAAUUGGAAUUUGCUGGUGAUAUAUGAUAGCAUCUUUGUCCGACCAAAAAGAGAAAAAAAAAAAGUUGAUAGCAUAUUGUACCAUUUUGGCCAGUGUACGCAAUAUUAUUGCAUCCAACUUUGCAUAUUAACAUCAGUGGCCACAGUUCCAUGAUUUGAGUGCACAGAAAAGUUUCAAAAGUUGUCCCACAAAGAACAGUCGUUCAAAGUGAAAGAGAGAUUUCAAAGCUUAAUUACAAGUUCAUGUUAUUUACAAUAUCAAAAAGCUUUCAUACUUGCUUACAAACCUGUAUUUCCAAGUUCUGCAAACCUUGGAAUAUCACUUCAUCCAAAUCCCCUUCCAAAGCAGGAAAAAAUGGCAGCAGCUUUGAUUGGAGAGGCUCUCAUCUCUGCUUCUAUCGUGGUGUUGUGUGACAGAGUUACUUCAGCCGAGUUCAUAGACUUAUUUCAGCAGAAGAAACUUGAUGAAACACUCCUCAUGAACCUGAAGACGACACUGUUGAUUUUGUUUGCGGUGCUCAAUGAUUCAGAGGAGAAGCAAAUUGUGAACCCUGAAGCUUUGCGAUGCAAGCUGGAAGGUGAGGAUCAAACCCACAAUAAUUAACCAAAAAGGAUCUUUUUGAUUGUUUGAAAGGAGGGUCUUGAUGAUUUGAAAGGAGAGGGUUGCUUUAUUUCUGUUGGAUGCUUAAUUAAAUCUUAUUUGGAGUUGAACAAGGAUUAGGUUAGCUGUAUAAUUAGUGGUAAACGCCUUUUUCUAAGGGUCAUUUAGACUCCUAUUACGAUUAAUUUGUUGUUUCUAAUUUGGACUUGUAGGAACAGACCAAAUAUGUUCACACGUGGCAUCGCUCAAGUCAUCAUCAUUUCAGACUGAAAAUCAGCCUUCGAGUGUCUGUUGAGUCAAUAAACCUUUCUAGAUAUAUCAAGUGCAAUGGAAAUUCAUGAGUUACAUAGAGAUUUUUAAACAUUUUGAAGAUUGCAACACCUGCAAGUGAGAUAGGCGGUGACGAAAUCAGAGCUGAUUUUGAAGCCUCUGAUGCCCCUGUUGUUGCAAGUUGCACCUGAGAACAAGUUUUUUUUUUCUUUGGGGUAAAAAACUGGCAACAUGUUCGGAGCUGACAAUUCAAUCCCUGAUGAACUAGAGAAGCAAAGCUCCGGUAAGGAAAUUGGUCAAGGUUGUGACAGGGAUGAUUGAUGGUGAAAUGGAUGCUAUUUCUUAUUGCAGCCUGUUCUCAAAGUUCUUGUUGGCAAAUGCAAUUGAUGGAGUAUUUUGAUUGGGAGGAGAGAUAAUGACAUGGCUUGACAAUUCUAGAACAGCCCAUCAUUAAUCCCAGAAAAAAUCCCGUUUCUGCUAAACAAUCACUUAUGGCAAGGCCAACUCUGUAAAUGGAAUUUGUGAUCCCUUCAAAUUGUACACAUUUUUUCUUUUUGAGGAAUUUAAUCAAACAGUAUUCUAAUGCAUUAUGAUAGCACUACACGCUUUUGUUGUAACAAAUUACAAGGAGGAAUUUGGAUUGAGUUUCUUGUAUAAGCACACCUUACACAAAUUUCGUAUAUUUUCUUCCAGCAAGUCUGUUUAUUAACCCCCUUAUCUGAAAUUAAUUGUUAAAAGUUUUGAUUCAUCUUUAAUCAGUGUCUUACCCUUGUUGAAUAACACUCCUCUUUCUAAUUUAUAUUUGAAGUUUGAGCUUUCAAUUUCAAUUGUGGGCUUUGAUUUUUCAGAUUUUGUUUGUCAAUUUCAGUUUGGACAAAGCAUAUAUGCAAACAAAGUAAGCAUUUUAUGUUAUACUUUUGAACUAGGUGUUGAUUUGAUUUAAUCAUAAGUUUUGCUGGUGCAUUUACUAGGCUAAUCAUUCAAUACUUUUGAUCAUAGAACUUCUUUGGUUGAUAUUAUCUUUGUUAAGUUUAACCAUAACUUUAGAGAGGGGACUUCAACAGAUUUAUAAUCUCAUCAUUAUAGUAUUAAAAAUUAGAGAUUAUUUAAGGCAUUGUCUAUUAUCUGAAUUCUGCUUACUUUUAGUUCAUAUGUUUACAUCUUAGCAUAUUCAUGUGAUUAGUGCGGCUCAUACCACAAAGGCAAUUUUAGGCUCAUCAAGUGCUAAGCAAUGUCAAGCUUCCAAAUGACAAGUUCUCUACAUAGUUUGAGACCUACACUUACUAGAUAUUAGAUCAUUUCGAUCAUUUCCAUAUGUUUAUAUGUAAUUGACAUGUUAUAACAUUUUUGUAGCGUUAUAUAAUUAUUUAGCAAUUUAAUUAUUUCUUUGCAACUUAAUUUUUUUUGUCAAUCAUACUAUUGUUGACUGCUAAAAACCAUCAAGAAAUAGUUCUCAAGUUAUAAAAAAAAAAAAAUUUUAAAAAAGAUUUGUUGAUGCUUAAAAAGCAUCAAGAACAGAUAGUUUCUUGACGGUUUUGUGACAUUUCAUAACUGUAGGGGGCUUUUUCUUCCGACAGCUGUAAAUGGGCUGGGCUGCCGUAAAGGGCAGACUGAUGAAAUUGUCCCCUUUUGUAUGAGCUCAAAAAUUAAGCCCCAAAAUACUUUGAAAGGGCAGCAGAGCCUUAGGAAGUAUUUUGGUUACCCUCACCAACUAAAACAACAACAACUUACAGGUAAUUACUUAAUGCUUAUGGAUGAACUCUUGAGCUUGGCAUGAGAGACAUAUGGCAUGGAAGCAAAAUCAACAUGAGUUUAGCACUGAGGGGAAAUUUAGGCUCUCUUGGGGGAAAAAGGGAAGUGUUAAGGUGAGAGAGGAGAAGUUUGUAGGAGAUUUAGCUAAGAAAGGAGAAAUAUAGAACAAUGCUCUUUUGGCAGCUUGACAGAUGCUCUGUUUGCCAGAAAAGGAAGAUGGAGAAGAAAUGUGAAUAGUGCAAGAGUUUGCUAGAUUUUUGCAGGUAAGAGAGGAAGCUUGCUCUCUGGGUCUGAGUUGAGUUUUUUUGUGUGGAAGAGACCUCAUUUUAUAGCCCUUGGAAACCAUCACUUCCCAAGAAACCCUAAUGGCUUCUACCCAUUUUGGCCAAGCUUUUCCCUUCCUUUCUCAUUUCCUUCCUUGACUUUACCCCUCUUGAUGAAAUCCCCUCUGCCUAUUUGCACCAUAUCAGAGUUUUUUGAAGCUCAAGGCCCCUUUUUCCCGCAGUUGUCUCAAUGGGAGACUUCCAUUCCCAGUCAUCUCCUUUAUUGCUUUCCUUUCUUUUUUUCAUGGCCAAGUUUGGUGGGGAAAGGAGUUGGGAUAUAUAUGCUGGUUUGAAGGGUGCUUCUCUUCCUGGCAUCUUACACACUAAUACCCCUUGGUUCCUUGAAUGUUUUGGCUUUGAAACUUGCUCUCCCCCCCCCCCCCCCCCCCCCCAUGUACUGGAACCUACCAGCAGCUCUAUUCAAUGAAUCUUCAGACCUUCUCUUCGUGGCUUUUAUUUUUUAUCAACGGGCUGGGGCUUUUGUGGCUCAUUGUGGCAAUUGUAUGGGCUAAGGUGGUUCAUUAAGUAAGUGGGCUAUUUUUAUUAAACAUUAGGCUUUUUGGUUGAGUCACUAGGCUAUUUUGAUUGGGCUAUUGGGCUAUUUUUUUCCUCUCUUGUGCUCACCCACAUGUUUGGACCAAAGAAAUGAGCUUGAGUCCUGAGGCUCCCAAGCGACCCGAGACUUUCCAUUUCUGGCCCAUCAAUGGGCCUCAUGUUGAUUUAUUACCAUCCAUACCACAACCCACUCAAGCAGGCUCCGGGCAUUUGAAUGACUUGGGCGCACUUAGGCUUGUAGUGUGGUUGGGUGCGAAAUAACGAUUUCGUGCUUGGCAUGUUUUAAUUUUAUCAUCCUUGGGAAAGGCUGCGAUGUUUGAUUUCGGCAUGGGCUUGUAGAGCUGGUAUGCUUUAUUUCAACUCCUAGCAUGACGAAUUAUUUAUUUAGCAUGGCACGUGAAUUACAACUCGCAUGUGGUGGGUUUUUGUGUACUACACCUUACGCCUCUUCUUAAUAGAACAUCGUUUUGGGCUGAUAAUUUAUUCGGGCCAAACCGUGAAUUUUUUGGGUCUCAAUAAUAACCAUCAUGAAACAUUACAUUUUGACUGACGUCAAGAAAUGGGGUAUCCCUUUCCUGAUAGUGGCAUCCAUGAUGCCUUCCAAGCAGUCAAUUAAGGGCUAUCGUGAUGCAUUUUAGUUGUCAGCAAAAGGUGUUUUUCUUGUACUGUAUUCACUCAAAGUCGUGUUUCAUUUAAGAUUAGUAGUAUGGUUGAAUACCAUUUGUUUUGUUAAAGAAUAUUAUACAUUAGGGAUUUUUGUAGAAAUGUCAUUUGAACUUAUACCUUAGUUUCAAUUUGUCACCUUGAAGAAAAAUUUAAGAGAAAUGUCACCUUAAUUUUUAAAAAUCCAUGAUUUGUCAUAUGACUUUAAAAUCAUCCAAUUUUCCAUCCAUUUUAAGGGUAUUUUAGUCUUUUCAUUUUGAAGGAAAAAAAAGAGAUGAAAAAAGAGACCUCUCUCUUACUUUGUCCCUCAACCCAACCCCACCCGCCCCCCAAAACACAUCACAUAGGAUUGCCUCCCCCUUCCCCACUUUUCUUUUUUCUUUUUGUCCUACUUUUCCACUAUGUUUAUGUUGAAGGAUCUAAAGUUUGCUUGGUCACCAUCUGUUACGUAGGCUUCCCAAUUGUUAGUUUGGGUGGGUUGUGGGAAUUUGUGUGCUCGAAACCCGAGACGAAUCUUGUGGAAUUCCCGACAUCACACCGAUGCCGGGCCCACUUCUGAACUAAAUUCUCUUUUCCAAAAUUAAGGAAAAAGAGUACGAGGCUUUCUGCCGAAAUUUCGACAGAGUAUUCCCUAUAAAUUUAACAUUUCAGCUUUGGUGGCCGUUCUCUCAUUUCAGCUUUGGUGGCCGGAUGAGAGAACGGUCGGCUAAAACGUGGCCAGCUGGCACUGCCGUCGCGAGAGAGAGAGAGAGAGAGAGAGAGAGAGAUUUUUAUCAAAUCAUUUUUGCCAAAAUUACGAUUAUGCAACUGAGGGUAUUUUGAUCGUAUCUUUUUCAUUAUAACUCUGAUUCAAGCCCACUACGUGUUUACGGACUCAUCUCGCCGUGCUCUAUGCAAUUGUAUAGUUGAAAUUCCCAAAUUCCACCCCAGUCAAAAAUUCAACUUUAAACCCUACAAAAUAUUAUAGGGGCAAAAUGGUCUUUUAUCUAAUUAAAUUAAUAAUUGAAAAUUUAUUUAGGACCGGGUUGUUACACUGUCGUUGAUGGACUGUGCGAUGACACUCACACAAAGUCCUUGAGAAUAAAACACACACACACCAUGAAGAGAGUAAAACAAAUACACAAGUACACAAAGAUUUAUAAAGGUUUGGCCUUCUGCCUACGUCCUCUUGGUGAUCCACCCGAGAAAUUCACUAGUACGUAAGAACAACUUUGGUUACAACUAAACCCCCUUAGCUUUCAUAAGAACCCUAGAUCUCUUUUCUCCCACCCUUGCUCCAACCCUUUGAUGCCCUUGUAAACACUCAAGAAUUCACCCUUGAAUUCUGUCAUGUGUUACAUCUUCUCUUCUCCCCUUUGUUAACCUAACCCUAAAAGUUAUAUUUAUAAUUCAUAGGACUUUAAGUACAAGUUAACUAGGAAUAGGAAACAUAAUAGACCUCAAAAAUUGGAGAAAAUAUGUUUAGAUCUCGUUAGGAAAUUGCACAACACGUGCGAUCCGCUCGAGCGCCUGCAAAAUGAUCCCUUUGUCGCUCAAGCUGCCGAUAGCUCAUGGGAUGGGGGAAUUAGAGAUUUUUUUUUUUUUCAAUUUUAAUUGUUUAAAAGAUAUACAAUUUUUUAAUAAUAAUUUUUCCAUUUUUAAAAUACCCUUGAAAAUAGAAAGAUUAAAAUGCCCUUAAAAAUGGAUGGAAAAUUGGAUUGCGUUAAGGUCAGUUGACAAAUCAUGGAUUUUGAAAAAUUAAGGUAACAUUUCUCUUAAAUUUUUCUUUAAAGUGACAAAUUAAAAUUGAGGUAUAAGUUCAAGUUACAUUUAUGCAAAAAUCCUUAUACAUUAUGAUAUUCUAACAAUAAAAUUGGCUAAAAUUGAUAUGUUCCCUCUUUAUUUUCUUUUUCUCUUUUCCUUUUCAUUUUAUGAUCCAAUCCUUUUCAUAUAUUUUUGUUCAAGACUUUGUUUUAGAAUGCUCUAUUACUAAUUUGGUACAGGUCCCUAAAAUCUCGGAGCCGCCUUAGUACAUUCAUAAUGUACAUGUUCAGAGUUCAAGAAUAAUGUAUAGAAUGUGAAAUUGACGAUGCCGGCCUUUAUGAGGCAACGUCUUUAUUUCUUUGGUUAUUACAGUUUAGAAUAUUUGCACAAAUGAGAUGAUUCCAAGCAUAAAGUCACAUUCGACCAAAAAGCAUGAAGUCACACACAAAAAGAACACGGACAAUUGCUAAGUUUAUCCUUGUACCCUUAUUUUAUUGAUCCGACCCAAUUGAAAAUUAAAAAAAGAUGAUAAAAAAUAUUGUUCACUACUUUAAAAUCUAUGAGUAGAGUCCUCCAUUUGAAAUUUCGUCAUUAUACAAAAUUGGAAUGAAAAAAGAAAAUCCUACAGCUAAAUUUGAUAUAUUUCCUUUUCAUUUUAUGCUGGGUGUUAGGGCUUGUCAAUGGGCCGGGCUAGGCUAGCCCGGCUCAAAUUUAAUGGGCUUGGGCUAGGCCGGGCCAAGCUUUAAAGAGGAGAGAGAAAAUAUCCGGCCGAGUUUUUUAAGAAAAUUCAAAGCCCAAGCCCGAAUCACUGCUGUCUAGCCCGGCCCAAAUUUAAUGAGCUUGGGCCAGGCCGAGCCAAGCUUUAAAGAGGAGAGAGAAAAUAUCCGGCCGAGUUUUUUAAGAAAAUUCAAAGCCCAAGCCCGAAUCACUGCUGUCAUUUCAUUGAUUUGUGACGAGCACAACCACCAAAUCAGAAUUUACUCACGAAAAUAUCAAGUAUGUCUAGCAAAUUUCAAUUUUGAAUAAUACACAAUUUCAAAAGGAGGACAUGUUGCAAGACAGCAUACCUUCUCUUGGGGUGCUUUUCAUUUUGCAACAUUUCUUUACGUGUAAUUUCCAGAGGAGGGUUUAUCAUUGUAUAUAGCUUUUCGGGUGGUUUGUCUACAAAACAAAUGUCACAAAGAAGGAGGAGAAACGGAAAAGAUUUACUUGGAAUGUCUCAAGUCUCCUUUGAGAUAAAGGCAUCGAAUGCACAACAUUGCUUUUGUGCUAUUUCAUAAUUAAAGUGUGCUUCCCAAGUCUCCUUUGUGUUUUGUAACUUGUAAUGUUUGUUUUUUUGUUUCCCCUGUUUUCCCUCUUAUAAAAGAAAUACAGGUCCAAACCACACGGAUCUACUUGCAUAAUAAUGGACCAAAUUUAUGAUUUUUAGAAAGAACCUUCUGCCGGUGGAAUCUUGGGCUACUGUUGUGGCUCUCCUCUGUGUGCCUCCUUUUUAGAACGGUAAAAUAUUCAAAAUACUAGAAAAUGUUCGUGAUUAAUAUAAAUAUUAAGAAUUGAAAUUAUUAAUUAAAUGAGGAUAAUAUGGUAAAUUCACACUUUUUUAUAUUAAAAAAAUUAAAAUUAAAAGAAAAAUCAGAUAAUUGAUAUUAUUUUUAUGGAACACAGCUACUCAUUAUCUUUUUUAAUUCUAAAAUAAAUUUAAAUUAAAGAAAAAAACCCCUCUCACAGGCACGGAAGCGCGUGCUCAGAGGCUAGUUAAAAAUAAUGAACUUUGCUUCUGAAGACGUCUAUACCAGACCCACUCAACCUGCUUUAUGAUUAUACAAAGAACAAACUCGUCCUUAGACUCAUUUGGUUAAACUUAGAAAAUAAUGAAACAAAAAUAUGCACUCCCACAAGUAACACAGCCAGGAUUGAAAACAACUGGACAAAGAAAGGCAUGUUAAAACAGAAUUUUCAACAACUCAUCACCAUUAGACAAGAAAAAGAAAAAUCAAUACAAAAACAGAAAGAACAGAGAAUAAAUGUGGUGGAAGAAAAACGUUGAAGCCAUUUGUGAAUCCAACAACACUACCACUCUGUUUCUCUCCUUUUGUUCAGGCGGAUCUGCAUAUAUCCUAAGGCGUAUUACGGAAACAACUUCUUGCCGUUAUACUUGAAUGUUGUGGAUGCUUCAACGUUGCCAUCUGGGUGGAGUGGAUUUGUCCAAUUCACCUUCACUAUGGUAUAUACGUCCAAAUUGUUGUUAUUUGAAAGGCUUCUAAAUUUUAACAUUUUGAUUUUUAAAUUUUGUUUAAAUAUUUCGGCCCACUUAGUUCUUCUCAAAAUAUGUCAUCAAUAUCGUUGAAAGGUUGAACUUAGUGAAUUAUUAUAGUGCAGUACUGUAGAAUAGACACAUGAUAUAAUUUGUCCACAUGUUAUAAUAUAAGUAAAUAUUUAUUGAUAUUAUUUCUAAAAAUAAGAAAUAUCAACCAUUAUAUCCUCCCAUAUUAUAAUACAUAUACAAAUUAUACCACAUUAUCAUACUCUAAUACCAUUUUAUAAUUUCUCGUACUUAGAGCGAGUCAAUGACAUUACAUAAUAUAUAAUUGUUCAUAUAAUGGGGCAACUAACGUGAUCAACAAGUUGUGGUGAUUAAUUUAACAUAAUAAAAAAUAUACCAUUUACUUGAGUGAUGUAACAAUUUGUUCUUUUAAAUUGGAUUGCCAUCACUUUAAUAUGAUAUGUUUCUUAUUAUAGUGUCCCAUGUUAAGUGCUUCAGCAUUGUUUGUGGUGUGUACACAAAUUUUCUUAUAAAAUGUUUUAAUGCUUCUCACAUGUAUAUCAGAUAUAGACAGUUGAUGUGACUUAGAAAUCAAAUUGUCAAUAAAGCAAAAAAAUAUAAUUGGUGAUUGAGGUCCAAUUUAAUAGAAAAUAGUCUUAACUUGUAUAUUAGAGGUUUCAGAUUCGAAUCCUCACUGCAUUAUUGUUGUAUACGUACACGAGAAAUCCUCUUCUCCAAUAAUUUAGACUAUCACUUAUACUAAAAAAAUAUAUAUAUAUAAUGACUUUUACGGAUGCAAACAUAAAAUUACACCAAACAAUAAUGGAAUAGAAAGAUGCAAGUUAUUUUUUUUUUUUUUACAUCUAAAGUAUACUUUAUAUAUAUAUUUAUUAUGGGUGUUAUAACCGUUUAAUUUUCAGUUUUUAUUUUCUAUUUAUUGUUUUAAUUUUUAUGGUUUAAUGUGUAUGAAGAUUACAAGUAUUGGAUGUCUACCACUCCUCCUUCACAUCUGAAACAAACCACCAUCUCAUUUCUGUAUUUUCAUACUUUCAUAUAUUUUCUACUUUCCAGAUUAUUAUUUUUGGGCAACGGUUCUGUGACUUGCAGAUUUCUAUCCGAUUGUUAACAUGCUCAUAGCGGACCUUGAGCUUGCGUAUUGGGGAUCGUAUCUUGGAGCCUUAUAGACCUUUAUUACCUGCAUGUAGGGAGGUUAUAAAUGCUUUAGGUCAGCAUCUUUGACGUGCUUUUGCUUUCUUUUUUUUUUUACUUAUUUCUUCGUUUCUUUAUUUUUACUUUACUUUUAAAUUUUUAUUUUAUGUAUUAUUUAUAUUUAAAAGUUUUGAAUAAGAGUUUUACAGAAAAGGAAAAACACAAUUUCAAAUAACACAAAUUUCUCGUUUUUGGUUCUUAAAAUAAAUGAAUUUUUUACUUAUUUGUGAACUGAAAUGCCUCUAAAAAAAUAAUGAUAGUUUGAAGAAUUUGAUAGAAAUUAAAAAAUAUCCUCAAAUUACUUGGAAUUGAAGACCACAUAGGCAAAAACACCAUUUUGGACAAAGGCUGGUGAUAAUAGUCGAUAUCAUCUUUAAGUACUUUAAUAUGAUAUGUUUCUUAUUAUAGUGUCCCAUGUUAAGUGUUUCAGCAUUGUUUGUGGUGUGUACACAAAUUUUCUUAUAAAAUGUUUUAAUGCUUCUCACAUGUAUAUCAGAUAUAGACAGUUGAUGUGACUUAGAAAUCAAAUUGUCAAUAAAGCAAAAAAAUAUAAUUGGUGAUCGAGGUCCAAUUUAAUAGAAAAUAGUCUUAACUUGUAUAUUAGAGGUCUCAUAUUCGAAUCCUCACUGCAUUAUUAUUGUAUGCGUACAUGAGAAAUCCUCUUUCCUAAUAAUUUAGACUAUCACUUAUACUAAAAUAUAUAUAUAAUGACUUUUACGAAUGCAAACAUAAAAUUACACCAAACAAUAAUGGAAUAGAAAGAUGGAAGUUUUUUUUUUUUUUCCUACGUCUAAAGUAUACUUUAUACAGUCCCGAUCUCUUGGACCACAGGAGUCCAAGAGAUUGUGGUCACCCACCGUUGGAUAUUAAUCCAAUGGUUCAAAAUGAUAUAUAUAAAUGCAAUAUGACAUAAAUGAUUAUUACCCGAUCCAAGUCAACCGUUGAAUUUACAUUCAACGGUGGGUGACCAUAAAUCUCUUGGACUACAGGGGUCCAAGAGAUCAGGACUGAUACUUUAUAUAUAUAUAUAUAUAUAUUUAUUUAUUAUGGGAGUUAUAACUGUUUAGUUUUCAGUUUUUAUUUUCUAUUUAUUGUUUUAAUUUUUAUGGUUUAAUGUGUAUGGAGAUUACAAAUAUUGGAUGUCUAUAAAGGGCCACUCCUCCUUCACAUCUGAAACAAACUACCAUCUCAUUUCUGUAUUUUCAUACUUUCAUAUAUUUUCUACUGUCCAGAUUAUUAUUUUUGGGCAACGGUUCUGUGACUUGGAGAUUUCUAUCCGAUUGUUAACAUGCUCAUAGCGGACCUUGAGCUUGCGUAUUAGGGAUCGUAUCUUGGAGCCUUGUAGACCUUUAUUACCUGCAUGUAGGGAGGGUACAAAUGCUUUAGGUCAGCGUCUUCGACGUACUUUUGCUUUCUUAUUUCUUCGUUUCUUUAUUUUUGCUUUACUUUUAAAUCUUUAUUUUAUGUAUUAUUUAUAUUUAAAAGUUUGAAUAAGAGUUUUACAGAAAAGGAAAAAUACAAUUUCAAAUAACACAAAUUUCUCGUUUUUUGUUCUUAAAAAAGAAGAAGCAUUGAUUGGGGAGUUAUGGUAAACUCAAUUUCAAUGGUUGCGAUGAGAGGCGGUGGCGGCGAGGAGAGGACGAAGGCUUUGCUGCCGACGGGGUGGUGUGGGUGGGUGGAGACCUCGGCUGGCUGCUUGGUCCUGGGUUCUCCUUUAAUUCUCUGUUUUCUUUUUUCUUUUUCUUUUUCUCUUAGAGUUAUUGAUGUUAAGUGAAUGGACAGAUGCCAAAAUAGGGACAGAAGUAGGGGUGGGCAUCAAUCCGGCCGAUCCGGUCAAUCCGGCCGAACCGAUUAUAUUGGAUUGGUUUGGUUUGGUUUUGACCAAAGAAAAAGUCAACAUUUUGAAAAACCGAACCGAACCGGUUUGGUUUGGUUCAGCUGUGGUUUGAGAGUUUUAAAAACUGUCCUAAACCGAACCGGACCGAUUAUAAAUCAAUUUAUUAUUUAUUUAAUUUAGUUUACAUGUGGCAAGGUUUGUGUGCGUUUUGUGAGUCCGCGUAUCUGAAUGUUGGUGCACGUUUUGAUCUUCUAAUUUGCAUAUCCCAGUUAUUUGUGUGUGCUUGUAUUUCCCUCUCUUUCUAUCUCUACUAUGUGUGUUUGCUCUUUGUGUUGUGUGGCUCUUCUUACUCUAUCUAUCUUAAUUAAUGGGUCCAUUUCAUAAUUUCAUACGCAUUCAAACUCCACCUCUGUGAUAAAAACAUUUACCUCUUUGUGAUAAAAGCUUUUCAUUUGUUUGUAUUUCUCUUUGGCUUUUUGACUCACUCACUGUCUUUCUUUCUUUUAAUGCUACUUGUGAUGAAUGCAAUGAGUAAAUUUAAUGCUACUUGGUUAAUGCAAAUUUUGUAUAUGUUUGUUUUGAUGGAAAUUGUGAACUUAGAUGCAUGCUAGACAUUGGACAACCUUUGAAUAAAUGGAAUGAUGUUGUAUUAGCCUUUGAUGGAAUGAAAUGAAAUGAUAUAAUGGCAAAAUGUUAGCAUUAUAAUGUAAGAGCAGGUUGAAAAAUGCAUGGUUUUGUGUUAGGCACAAACCGGCCGAACCAAUCCGAACCAAACCGAUUACAAGUGGUUUGGAUUGGUUCGGUUUCCAUUAUGAUUUUAGGCUAAUCCGAACCAAACCGGACCGUUAUUUUCUUAUUGGUUCAGCUGUGGUUUGAGAGUAAAACCGAACCAAUCCGGACCGUGCCCACCCCUAGACAGAAGAUGUGAACCCAAUUAUAUACAGCUGAUUACAUAAAGUAACAAAUUAAUUAAUACUUGAGUGGAGGACAGGCUUGAGUGGAAGAAUUGAUUAAGGCUUGAGUGGAAGACCAACUUCAGUGGAGGAAAGUAUAGAUAAGGAAAGCAUGCCUCGUUUAACGGCUUUAUCUAAUAAAGAUUAGUUGUUGGCACUUGGAGUUUCUUAGGAAUGCUGGUUUUGUUUCCUUGGUGGACUUGAAAGGUGGUGCGUUGGCUCGGACAUCUCCCUAGUAAUUAAUCGAAGGUGGAAUCUUACAAGACAUACAGCUGCUCAUUAGCUGAAUAUCUCGCUCUCUUUAAAGAGAUCGAAGCAAACUGCAAUUUGCAAUUUGUGUGAUUCAAGCAUGAAUAUCUGAUAUAGUAACUAUACCAUUUGUUGGUUUGAUAAGAAAAGUUUGGUUAGCGAGGAUGAAACCAUAAAGUUCUCCAAAACACACAAAAAACACGAACAAUUGCUAAGUUUAUUCUUGAGUUCACACAUAUUUGUACAAAUGAGAUUACUCCAAGCAUGACUAUACCAUUUGUUGGUUUGAUAUGAAAAGUACGGGCAACGAGGAUAAAACCAUACAAACACACACAAAGAACGUGGACAAUAUACUAAGUUUAUCUUUGCGUUAUUGAUCCGACCUAACUGUAAAAUAAAAAAGAUAAAAAUAUAUAAUGUUCACUACUUAGAUCUAUGAGCACUAAAGUCCUCCUUUUGAAAUUGCACAAAACAUCACUUUUGGUCUUUGGUAAAUUUUUAAAAUAAAUGAAUUUUUUACUUAUUUGUGAACUGAAAUGCCUCUAAAAAAAUAAUGAUAGUUUGAAGAAUUUGAUAGAAAUAAAAAAAUAUCCUCAAAUUACUUGGAAUUGAAGACCACAUAGGCAAAAACACCAAAUUGCAACCUCACUUUAAUGAUAAAAAUGGUAAACUACAAAGACAAAAAUGACGUUUUGCCUUAUACAUAAUUGGAAUUUGCUGGUGAUAAUAGUCUACCAUCUUUUGUCGAUUUGCUGGUGAUAAUAGUCUAUCAUCUUUUGUCGGUCCGACCUAAAAAGAAGAAAAAGUUGAUGGCAUCUUGUACCAUUUUUGCCAAUGUGGGCCCAAACAAUUUGAAGAAGUCCACCGGCAAUUUCUCAAAAGCUAUUGUGUGAGUGUGAAGCUAAACCAAUAUUAUUUUGCAUAUACGACUCCACAUCCCCAUGUGAUGUGAGGCUACAAAAGUGUUUCCAAAACGAAAUAUGAUAUUUCAAAACGAAGCUAUGUAUAGAGUCAUUUGUAUUUGCUUUCACAAUAACAUUUGAUUUGUGAAAGCAUUUUAUAUUUAUACAUUCUGAUAUUCUAACAAAUAAAUUGACUAAAUUUGGCCAACAGGAUUUAGCCGAAUAGAAAAGUCCUUAUUUAUAGACUAGUGGUUUCAAAUUUAAAGUUUAGACUAUCGCAUGUAUUUAAAAAAAAAAAAACAAUUGGCUUAAUUUGAUAUAUUUCCUUUUUUUCCUUUUUCAUUUUAUACUGGGUGCCGUUAUUAAGUUUUAUCCUUAUUUUUUGUUGAAAAGAAAAUUGAAAAAAAAUAAUAAUUCCUACAGCUAGCAACUUCUCCACCUUCCCUUCUUCGCAACUAGGGAUGCCAUUGCAAGGUCACCAUCUCAGAUUAAGUCCUCCUUUUAAAAUUGUGUCGUUAUUCAGAAUUGGAAUAUAAUCCUGUACCACUUUGGCCACUUUUGAAGAUGUUCACCGACAAUUUCUCAAAAGCUAUUAAGCUGUACAUCCACAAUAUUAUUGCAUCCAUCCCCAUGUGAGGCUACAGAAAAAUUUUGAAAACGAAACUGGAUAUUUUAUCUCUAACAACAGCUUUCAUACUUCGUUUACCCUGUGUUUCCAAGUUGUGCUAGCUAUUUGCAAACCUUGGAAUAUUACUUCAUCCAAAUCCCUUGCAGAGAAGAGCAAGAUAUGGCUUUGAUCGGAGAAGCCCUCAUCUCCGCUACCAUCCAGACGUUUUGUGACAAAAUUGCUUCGCCUGAGUUCACCGACUUAUUUCGGCAGAAAAAGCUCGAUGAACAACUCCUCAACAAGCUGAAGACGACGCUGUUGACCUUGUCCGUAGUGCUUAAUGAUGCAGAGGAGAAGCAAAUUAAGGAACCUUUAGUGAGAGACUGGCUUGACAAUCUCAGACAUAAUGUCUUGGCUGCGGAGGACUUACUGGAUGAGAUCGACACUGAAGCUUUGCGAUGCAAGCUGGAAGAAGGUGAAGGUCAAACCCACAAUUUAACCAAGAAGGUACGUGAUUUUUAUCAACGCAUGAAUGUUGAGAUGAAAGAUUUAUUAGAAAGAUUAGAACAAUUUGUACAAGAGAAAAGUGCUCUUGGUUUGAGAGAAGGUGCUGGGAGGAAGGUUUCACAAAGAAGAACAACUUCCUUGGUUCAUGAACCUUGUGUCUAUGGUAGAGAUGAAGUCAAAGAAAAUCUGUUACAAAGAAGAGGAUUUGCCGUCAUCUCUUUCUCAUCUGAGUAUCUCGCGGUGUCCUGCCCUGGAGAAAAGGUAUAAGAAUAAGACGGGACAAGAUUGGGCAAAGAUAUCUCACAUUCCUUGCAUCAAGAUAGGAUACGAACUGAUCAUAUAAUAUGAGCUAUUCCAUAUUUCACUCUCAACCCUCAACUCUCAAAUCAAAGUCAGGUGAGGUAUGUGCCUUCUCUUACUUUAAAAAACUGCUUCUCUUCUUCUAAUUGAAUACAAAAACCAAAACACAUAUUCUCUUUCUCUUCCAAAAACCCAAAUACAUGUUGAACAUUGCCAAAUUUGAUCUCCAAAUUCCUAAUUAUUUCACGCUUUUUGUUAUUUUGUUGCUUAGUAAAUUAUGGUUGCUGGUCACAAAUUAUAGUCUGUUAAUAGGUUCAUGCCAUGAAUUAAUCUUUGGACUUUCCCAGGUACUGCAGGUUUGUUAUUAAUGUUGUGGCCUGAUAUUCGUCGUAUCAAUAGGUUGUCUUACGUUGAGGAGAGAGAUCGAUCAGCAAUUACAAAAUUGUUAGUGAAUUUAGCUUGUUUAUCAUCUCUCUCCUUUUGUUUGUUAAGUUUGGUUGUUCUAGGUUAAACCCUUGUCCCCGCAUUUCACAGCAACUCUAUGUUAUUCCACUCUGUUUAGUUUCAUUUAUGUUGUGAUUCGACUGCUGCUGUAUUUUAGAUUUCGUUCAUGUAAUGCUAGGAUGUUUAAUCUCUUAUCUGUGGUGGUAGUUGAGUAGUCUAGCUAAUCCAAUGAUAACUUGUCCCCUGUUUUGUAUUGUUUUUAUUUCUCUGGUAAUGAAAGCACGUUUCUUAUAAAUAAAUAAAAAAUAUUUCAUUGAUAUUCAUUGCUUAUUUUGAACUGCAGAAGCCUACUUUUGUCAGAGUCAGUAGAUGCCAGAAUGAAGUCAUUGCCUAAACACAUUGGCACCCUCACAGCCUUCGACAUUUUGGGAUAUAUGAUCUUCAAAAUCUUGUGUCAUUUGCCUCCCAACCUGCAAUAUUUUCAUAUUUUAAAUUGUGACAGACUGAGCCCUUUGGUGGGAGAUUACUGGGGUUUGCAAGGACUUGGUGGCAAUAUCUUGUAGACGUUUCUCAAGGAACAGCUGCUCAAUACCACUCUUCACACUCUAUAUAUUAUGGCCUGUCAGUCUAUAAUUCCUGCCAGGAGAGGAACUUGAACGCCUCUCUUCGCUGCAAAGGCUACAUAUUUGUGGGUGUGACAAUAUCCAAUUCCUGCCAGAAGAGUGUUUGCUGCCAUCUCUUUCUUAUCUGUGCAUCAACCAUUGUUUUGCCAUGUAGAAAAGGUAUCUCACAUUCCUUGCGUCAAGAUAGGCGAAGAAGUGAUCAUAAGAUAUGAGCUCUCUCUCCCUCUCGCUCACAUACAAUGUACUUAACACAAACACUCAAUCUGAUUUCUAUUAUUAUUUUGCUCAGUAAAUUUUGUUUAAAUUUGCUUUAUUUCUCAUUGCACUUGUUCUGCUGAUCACAACUUAUAUCCUAUUUAAAUCUCAAAUGCUGAAUAAUGAGCAGUCUUUUCGCAGGACAACAUAUCUUCUCUUGGAGAGCUAUUCAUUUGCAAGGUUUCUUUAUGGGUCAUUUCCAGAGGAGGGUUUACUAUUUAAUAGAAAGGUUCACCUGGAAUAUCUCAACUGACACAUUCCCAAAUACAGGCAUUGAAUGCACAACAUUUUGAGGUACUAUUUUUGUAAUAAAAAUGUACUUGAGUCUCAUUUGAGCUAGUUUAAAUUGUAUUCAAUGUCUAUGGAUAACCUGUGAGCUUAAGUUGUAAGAUAAAACUCACAGUAUAUUAUUAGGGUUUAGGGUUCAACUGUUCAACAGGUGAGCUUAAGUUGUACUUUCCUAGGUACUGCAUGUAUAUAAUCUUAGUAUCAACACUUGGUCUUAUGUGGACAAGAGAGAACAUUUGAGGAAUUACAAAAUCUUCUUAGUGAAUUAAUGUUGUUUCAGCUCUGUUUGUCAUCCCUCACAUUUUCUUUGUUAAGCCUUGAUUUUUUAUUAGACAUAAGAAAAAAUGCUUUUAUAAGACAGGAGAUGAAUGCUUUUAUAUGUUGAUGUCGUAGUCAGUCUUCAACCACACUCUGUUUUUAGAAUUCAUUUAUGUUACUAGUUGAGUGCUGCUGUAUUUUAUAUUUCGUUCCUGUAAUGUUUGGAUGUUUAGCUUGAGCAGUCUAGCUUAUCCAGUAGAUAACUUGUUCCCUGUUUUGUAAUGUUUUUGUUUCCUCUAAUGAAAGCAGGUUUUACUUAUCUUGAACUGCAGAAGCCUACUUUUUGACAUAGGUGGCAUGGCACAAACUCGCAUCCGCAUUUCCUUCCCCAUUGGCAUGCUGUCUCAUCUUUUGUAUUCUGUUACCAGCUUGAAGCUUGUGUAGACAUGUUAUGCUCUUGUAAUUCUGAUCACAAACAUCACUUGACAAAUGGAAAGUCACAAUCAGAUCUUUCAGGUGAUCGGGAGGUUUACUUUCUAACAUUUGUUUUCAUUGGGGGGAGGACAACAAUACAGAAUUUAAAAUUUCUGAUAAUCAAUAGUAGUUUGCAUAUAUCAGCUGGGACCUGUAUGACUGUAUUAUGUAAUUAAUUAUUUCUCUUAUUGUUUUGGUACUGUUAAAAGGAGUUAGCCACAAAAUAAAAAAGGAGGCCUCUUAUUUCAUACAAUUUUUCAAAAGUGAUCAUUCAUCCGUUUCUUUUUCAACAAUAGAGGAAUGUAUACUAAUCGUCUGGUCCAUCUGCUGCUUCACUCCCUAGUAGCUUCAUCUCCUGUCCUUUGCUUUAUUUCUGUUGAUGAAUGUUUUGUCUGGGUUAUUUAUUUUCAUUUCAUGUCCAUUGCUUCAUUUCUGUUUGGAUUCUGUCCUGGACUUGAACAAGGGUUAGGUUAGCUGUAUAAUUUGCGGUUUUAUAUACACAACUGUCUACAUUGAUUAAAACCAGCAUUAUUCUAAGGUUCAUUUAGAAUGUAUUAUCACCAAAAUUAUAAAGUAUACUUCUAUUACAAUUAAUUUGUUGAUUCUAAUUUGGACUUGUAGGAACAGACCAAACAUGUUCAUACGUGGCAUUGCUCAAGUCAUCAUCAUUCGGGACAGAGAAUAAGCCUUCAAAUGUCUGCUGAGUCAAUGAACCUUUCUAGAUAUCUCAAGUGUAGUGGAAAUUGAUGAGUUACAAAGGAUUUUUAAACAUUUUCUACUGGAGGCUAGAAAUGCUUCAAAUAAAUGACUGUGUUGCAAUUAUUUUGUAGGAUCAAAGACUCUGCAAAGAGGUAAGAAAGUCAUCAUCAAGUAACUUUGCUCUUCAAACUUUUUAAUUUUAUUUUUAAAUAUCAGUAAUAACUGGGAAAGUUUGCAUUUCCUUAAAUUGCUCAUUCUUACAUCUUUUAUAGUUUGUUGAUCUUGGGCAAGUGGAGAGAGAGGCGUCAAGUGAUACACAACAACCAUUUUCUGUGAGCUGAUUUGAUAAAGAGAAAUGGUAUGCUUUCUUGUCUUAAGCGGUGUGUUCUGCAAUUAUUUGAAACAAAGGAUGCCGCACUUCAAGUUCGAGAAAAUCAGGUAUUUUAGUAUUUUAUUCUGGAGAAAUUUGAUUUAUGUAGAAACUUGAACAUGUAAAUGAGAGAAAAAAAAAUUUAUAUAUAUAUAUAUUAUAUUGUAUAUGCUCUUAAUGAGUUAAUAUGGUGCUUGCUCCUGGUUGGAAAUUUAUGUAGUCAUCUACCUAUGAUCAAAUAAAGAUGAAAAAUAAAAUAAAAUUGAGAGCAUCUUCCUCUCCCCUGCUUUGCUCAUCCCUUGUUCUUCCACUUCAGCCCCACUAUUACACCAUUUUUUCAGCCACAAUUAUAAUAGCUCCAUGAGCAUUAAGUCCUUUUCAAAUUCUGCUGACAUUCAAAAUUGGAAUUGCUGGUGAUAUAUGAUAGCAUCCUUGUCCGACCAAAAAGAAAAAAAAAAAAAGUUGAUAGCAUAUUGUACCAUUUUGGCCAGUGUACGCAAUAUUAUUGCAUCCAACUUUGCAUAUUAACAUCAGUGGCCACAGUUCCAUGAUUUGAGUGCACAGAAAGGUUUCAAAAGUUGUCCCACAAAGAACAGUCGUUCAAAGUGAAAGAGAGUUUUCAAAGCUUAGUUACAAGUUCAUGUUAUUUACAAUAUCAAAAAGCUUUCAUACUUGCUUACAAACCUGUAUUUCCAAGUUCUGCAAACCUUGGAAUAUCACUUCAUCCAAAUCCCCUUCCAAAGCAGGAAAAAUGGCAGCAGCUUUGAUUGGAGAGGCUCUCAUCUCUGCUUCUAUCGAGUUGUUGUGUGACAGAGUUACUUCAGCCGAGUUCAUAGACUUAUUUCAGCAGAAGAAACUUGAUGAAACACUCCUCAUGAACCUGAAGACGACACUGUUGAUUUUGUUUGCGGUGCUCAAUGAUUCAGAGGAGAAGCAAAUUGUGAACCCUGCUGUGAGAGAGUGGCUUAACAGCUCAAGCAUGCUGUCUUUGAUGCAGAGGACUUACUUGAUGAGAUUGACACUGAAGCUUUGCGAUGCAAGCUGGAAGGUGAGGAUGAAACCCACAAUAAUUAACCAAAAAGGAUCUUUUUGAUUGUUUGAAAGGAGGGUCUUGAUGAUUUGAAAGGAGAGGGUUGCUUUAUUUCUGUUGGAUGCUUAAUUAAAUCUUAUUUGGAGUUGAACAAGGAUUAGGUUAGCUGUAUAAUUAGUGGUAAACGCCUUUUUCUAAGGGUCAUUUAGACUCAUAUUACGAUUAAUUUGUUGUUUCUAAUUUGGACUUGUAGGAACAGACCAAAUAUGUUCACACGUGGCAUCGCUCAAGUCAUCAUCAUUUCAGACUGAAAAUCAGCCUUCAAGUGUCUGUUGAGUCAAUAAAACUUUCUAGAUAUAUCAAGUGCAAUGGAAAUUCAUGAGUUACAUAGAGAUUUGUAAACAUUUUGAAGAUUGCAACACCUGCAAGUGAGAUAGGCGGUGACGAAAUCAGAGAUGAAGCCUCUGAUGCCCCUGUUGUUGCAAGUUGCACCUGAGAACAUGUUUUUUUUUCUUCUUUGGGGUAAAAAACUGGCAACAUGUUCGGAGCUGACAAUUCAAUCCCUGAUGAACUAGAGAAGCAAAGCUCCGGUAAGGAAAUUGGUCAAGGUUGUGACAGGGAUGAUUGAUGGUGAAAUGGAUGCUAUUUCUUAUUGCAGCCUGUUCUUAAAGUUCUUGUUGGCAAAUGCAAGAGAUGGAGUAUUUUGAUUGGGAGGAGAGAUAAUGACAUGGCUUGACAAUUCUAGAACAGCCCAUCAUUAAUCCCAGAAAAAAUCCAGUUUCUGCUAAACAAUCACUUAUGGCAAGGCCAACUCUGUAAAUGGAAUUUGUGAUCCCUUCAAAUUGUACACAUUUUUUCUUUUUGAGGAAUUUAAUCAAACAGUAUUCUAAUGCAUUAUGAUGGCACUACACGCUUUUGUUGUAACAAAUUACAAGGAGGAAUUUGGAUUGAGUUUCUUGUAUAAGCACACCUUACACAAAUUUCGUAUAUUUUCUUCCAGCAAGUCUGUCUAUUAAACCCCUUAUUUGAAAUUAAUUGUUAUAAGUUUUGAUUCAUCUUUAAUCAGUGUCUUCCCCUUGUUGAAUAACACUCCUCUUUCUAAUUUAUAUUUGAAGUUUGAGGUUUCAAUUUCAAUUGUGGGUUUUGAUUUUACAGAUUUUGUUUGUCAAUUUCAGUUUGGACAAAGCAUAUGCAAUCAAAGUAAGCAUUUUAUGUUAUACUUUUGAACUAGGUGUUGAUUUGAUUUAAUCAUAAGUUUUGCUGGUGCAUUUACUAGGCUAAUCAUUCAAUACUUUUGAUCAUAGAACUUCUUUGGUUGAUAUUAUCUUUGUUAAGUUUAACCAUAACUUUAGAGAGGGGACUUAACAGAUUUAUAAUCUCAUCAUUAUAGUAUUAAAAAUUAGAGAUUAUUUAAGGCAUUGUCUAUUAUCUGAAUUCUGCUUACUUUUAGUUCAUAUGUUUACAUCUUAGCAUAUUCAUGUGAUUAGUGCGGCUCAUACCACAAAGGCAAUUUUAGGCUCAUCAAGUGCUAAGCAAUGUCAAGCUUCCAAGUGACAAGUUCUCUACAUAGUUUGAGACCUACACUUACUAGAUAUUAGAUCAUUUGGAUCAUUUCCAUAUGUGUAUAUGUAAUUGACAUGUUAUAACAUUUUUGUAGCGUUAUAUAAUUAUUUAGCAAUUUAAUUAUUUCUUUGCAACUUUAUUUUUUUUGUCAGUCAUACUAUUGUUGACUGCUAAAAACCAUCAAGAAAUAGUUCUUAAGUUAUAAAAAAAAAUUAUAAAAAAAAAGAUUUGUUGAUGCUUAAAAAGCAUCAAGAACAGAUAGUUUCUUGACGGUUUUGUGACGUUUCAUAACUGUAAGGGGCUUUUUCUUUCGACAGCUGUAAAUGGGCUGGGCUGCCGUAAAGGUCAAGACUGAUGAAAUUGUCCCUUUUUGUCUGAGCUCGAAAAUUAUGCCCCAAAAUACUUUGAAAGGGCAGCAGAGCCUUAGGAAGUAUUUUGGUUACCCUCACCAACUAAAACAACAACAACUUACAGGUAAUUUCUUAAUGCUUACAGAUGAACUCUUGUGCUUGGCAUGAGUGACAUGUGGCAUGGAAGCAAAAUCAACAUGAGUUUAGCACUGAGGCGAAAUUUAGGCUCUCUUGGGGGAAAAAGGGAAGUGUUAAGGUGAGAGAGGAGAAGUUUGUAGGAGAUUUAGCUAAGAAAGGAGAAAUAUAGAACAAUGCUCUUCUGGCAACUUGACAGAUGCUCUGUCUGCCAAAAAAGGAAGAUGGAGAAGAAAUGUGAAUAGUGCACGAAUUUGCUAGAUUUUUGCAGGUAAGAGAGGAAGCUUGCCCUAUGGGUCUGAGUUGAGUUUUGUUGGGUGGAAGAGACCUCAUUUUAUAGCCCCUGGAAACCAUCACUUCCCAAGAAACCCUAAUGGCUUCUACCUAUUUUGGCCAAGCUUUUCCCUUCCUUUCUCAUUUCCUUCCUUGAGUUUACCCCUUUUGAUGAAAUCCCAUCUGCCUAUUUGCACCAGAUCAAAGUUUUUUGAAGCUCAAGGCCCCCAUUUUCUUGCAGUUGUCUCAAUGGGAGACUUCCAUUCCCAGUCAUUCUCCUUUAUUGCUUUCCUUUCUUUUUUUCAUGGCCUAGUCUGGUGGGGAAAGGAGUUGGGAUAUAUAUGCUGGUUUGAAGGGUGCUUCUCUUCCUGACAUCUUACACACUAAUACCCCUUGGUUCCUUGAAUGUUUUGGCUUUGAAACUUGCUCCCCCCCUCCCCCCAUGUACUGGAACCUCCCAGCAGCUCUGUUCAAUGAAUUUUCAGACCUUUUCUUCAUGGCUUUUAUUUUUUUAUUAACUGGCUGGAGCUUUUGUGGCUCAUUGUGGCAAUUGUAUGGGCUAAGGUGGUUCAUUAAGUAAGUGAGCUAUUUUUAUUAAACAUUGGGCUUUUUGGUUGAGUCACUAGGCUAUUUUGAUUGGGCUAUUGGGCUAUUUUUUCCUUUCUUGUACUCACCCACAUGUUUGGACCAAAGAAAUGAGCUUGAGUCCUGAGGCUCCCAAGCGACCCGAGACUUUCCAUUUCUCGGCCCAUCAAUGGGCCUCAUGUUGAUUUAUUACCAUCCAUACCACAACCCACUCAAGCAAGCCCCGGGCAUUUGAGUGGCUUGGGCCCACUUAGGCUUGUAGUGUGGUUGGGUGCGAAAUGACGAUUUCGUGCUUGGCAUGUUUUAAUUUUAUCAUCCUUGGGAAAGGCUGCGAUGUUUGAUUUCGGCAUGGGCUUGUAGAGCUGGUAUGCUUUAUUUCAACUCUAGCAUGACGAAUUAUUUAUUUAGCAUGGCACGUGAAUUACAACUCGCAUGGGGUGGGUUUUUGUGUACUACACCUUACGCCUCUUCUUAAUAGAACAUCGUUUUGGGCUGAUAAUUUAUUCGGGCCCAACUGUGAAUUUUUUGGGUCUCAAUAAUAACCAUCAUAAAAUAUUACAUUUUGACUGACGUCAAGAAAUGGGGUAUCCCUUUCCUGAUAGUGGCAUCCAUGAUGCCUUCCAAGCCGUCAAUUAAGGGCUAUCGUGAUGCAUUUUAGUUGUCAGCAAAAGGUGUUUUUCUUGUAUUGUAUUCACUCAAAAUCAUGUUUCAUUUAAGACUAGUAGUAUGGUUGAAUACCAUUUGUUUUGUUAAAGAAUAUUAUACAUUAGGGAUUUUUGUAGAAAUGUCAUUUGAACUUAUACCUUAGUUUCAAUUUGUUACCUUGAAGAAAAAUUUAAGAGAAAUGUCACCUUAAUUUUUAAAAAUCCAUGAUUUGUUAUAUGACUUUAAGAUCAUCCAAUUUUCCAUCCAUUUUAAGGGGAUUUUAGUCUUUUCAUUUUCAAGGAAAAAAAAGAGAUGAAAAAAGAGACAUCUCUCUUACUUUGUUGCCCAACCCAACCCAACCCCACCCGCCCCCCAAAACCACAUAGGAUUGCCUCCCCUUUCCCCACUUUUCUUUUUUCUUUUUGUCCUACUUUUCCACUGUGUUUAUGUUGAAGGAUCUAAAGUUUGCUUGGUCACCAUCUGUUACGUAGGCUUCCCAAUUGUUGGUUUGGGUGGGUUGUGGGAAUUUGUGUGUGGAGGGCAAGACCCUAUCUGACAGGACCUGCCUCGAAUUCCUCGAAACCCGAGACGAAUCUUGUGGAAUUCCCGACAUUACACCGAUGUCGGGCCCACUUAUGAACUAAAUCCUCCUUUCCAAAAUUAAGGAAAAAGAGUACGAGGCUUUCUGCCGAAAUUGCGGCAGUGUCUUCCUUAUAAAUUUAACAUUUCAGCUUUGGUGGCCAUUCUCUCAUUUUAGCUUUGGUGGCCGGAUGAGAGAACGGCCGGCUAAAACGUGGCCAACUGGCAUUGCCGUCGCGAGAGAGGAGAGAGAGAGAGAGAUUUUUAUCAAACCAUUUUUGCCAAAAUUACGAUUAUGCAACUGAGGGUAUUUUGAUCGUAUCUUUUUUGUUAUAACUCCGAUUCAAGCUCACUACAUGCCUAUGGAUUCAUCUCGCCGUGCUUUAUGCAAUUGUAUAGUUGAAAUUCCCAAAUUCCAUCCCAGUCAAAAGUCAACUUUAAACCCUAUAAAAUAUUCUAGGGGAAGAAUGGUCUUUUAUCUAAUUAAAUUAAUAAUUGAAAAUUUAUUUAGGAUCGGGUCGUUACACUGUCGUUGAUGGACUGUGCGAUGACACUCACACAAAGUCCUUGAGAAUAAAACACACACACACCGUGAAGAGAGUAAAACAAAUACACAAGUACACAAAGAUUUAUAAAGGUUUGGCCUCCUGCCUACGUCCUUUUGGUGAUCCACCCGAGAAAUUCACUAGUAUGUAAGAACAACUUUGGUUACAACUAAACCCCCUUAGCUUUCAUAAGAACCCUAGAUCUCUUUUCUCCCACCCUUGCUCCAACCCUUUGAUGCCCUUGUAAACACUCAAGAAUUCACCCUUGAAUUCUGUCAUGUGUUACAUCUUCUCUUCUCCCCUUUGUUAACCUAACCCUAAAAGUUAUAUUUAUAAUUCAUAGGACUUUAAGUACAAGUUAACUAGGAAUAGGAAACAUAAAAGACCCCCAAAAUUGGAGAAAAUAUGUCUAGAUCUCGUUAGGAAAUUGCACAACACGUGCGAUCCGCUCGAGCGCCUGCAAAAUCAUCCCUUUGCCGCUCGAUCUGCCGAUAGCUCAUGGGAUGGGGGAAUUAGAGAUUUUUUUUUUUUCAAUUUUAAUUGUUUAAAAGAUAUACAAUUUUUUAAUAAUAAUUUUUCCAUUUUUAAAAUACCCUUGAAAAUAGAAAGAUUAAAAUGCCCUUAAAAAUGGAUGGAAAAUUGGAUGGUGUUAAGAUCAGAUGACAAAUCAUGGAUUUUGAAAAAUUAAGGUAACAUUUCUCUUAAAUUUUUCUUUAAAGUGACAAAUUGAAAUUGAGGUAUAAGUUCAAGUUACAUUUCUGCAAAAAUCCUUAUACAUUAUGAUAUUCUAACAAUAAAAUUGGCUAAAAUUGAUAUGUUCCCUCUUUUAUUUUCUUUUUCUCUUUUCCUUUUCAUUUUAUGAUCCAAUCCUUUUCAUAUAUUUUUGUUCAAGACUUUGUUUUAGAAUGCUCUAUUACUAAUUUGGUACAGGUCCCUAAAAUCUCAGAGCCGCCUUAGUACAUUCAUAACGUACAUGUUCAGAGUUCAAGAAUAAUGUAUAGAAUGUGAAAUUGACGAUGCCGGCCUUUAUGAGGCAACGUCUUUAUUUCUUUGGUUAUUCCAGUUUAGAAUAUUUGCACAAAUGAGAUGACUCCAAGCAUAAAGUCACAUUCGACCAAAAAGCAUGAAGUCACACACAAAAAGAACACGGACAAUUGCUAAGUUUAUCCUUGUACCCUUAUUAUCCGACCCAAUUGAAAAAUAAAAAAAGAUGAUAAAAAAUAUUGUUCACUGCUUUAAAAUCUAUGAGUAGAGUCCUCCAUUUGAAAUUUCGUCAUUAUACAAAAUUGGAAUGAAAAAAGAAAAUCCUACAGCUAAAUUUGAUAUAUUUCCUUUUCAUUUUAUGCUGGGUGUUAGGGCUCGUCAAUGGGCCGGGCCAGGCUAGCCCGGCCCAAAUUUAAUGGGCUUGGGCCAGGCUGGGCCAGGCUUUAAAGAGGAGAGAGAAAAUAUCAGGCCGAGUUUUUUAAGAAAAUUCAAAGCCCAAGCCCGACCCAUGAGCCCGGCUUGAGAAAGCCCAUCGGGCCGGCCCGGGCCUAAACAGGCCCUACUUCGUUAAAAAAAAAUCAUAAACUUAAUCAUAAGGUCAUUUUAGUCCAAAUUUGAGAUUAAACUCACUUAAUUCCAAUAUUUUCACUUCAAACCAAAUUCAUAAAACACCCAAUAAAGUCACACAGCUUGUAAGAUUUUCCACAAAAAUAAUAAAACCAAGUACUAUUUUUGAGGUUAUUACAUAAUUAGAUCGUAAUAUGUUUUAAGAAAUAAUUUUAAAAAAUAAUAUUAAUAAGUAUCAAAAAAAUAAUUUUUUAAAGGAUGGUAUGAAUAAAUAUGCAAAUAUUUGGUGAUGUGUUCAAGAAAAGGAUGAUUAUAUUUGGUGGUACGAUUAUGUUUCGUGAUAUGAUUAUAAUUAGUGAUGUGAUAUGUUGUUCAUCUUAUAUAUAUAUAUAAUUGUUGAAUUAAUAAUUGACACAAAUUAAUGUGUUAAUCAUCCAAUUAUAAACUAGGAAUGAAUAAAGAAAAGUAAAUGAAAUGAAACAAAUUAUAUAUGUGAUUUAAGUGAUAUAAUCCUAAACCUAAACUCUUAUUUAUACAUAAUUAUAUAUGUAUGCGGGCCUAACGAGCCGGACUUUUGUGGGCGGGUAGGGCCGGGCUUUAUUGGGCUUAAUCGGGCUUUAUUGGACUUAAUCGGGCUGGGCCUAUAGGUCGGACCGAGCUUCAGACAUCCAAGCCCACGCCUAGCCUCGCCCGCCUUGGGCCGGGCCAUUCUUUUUUUGGGGUUCUAUUUCUCUUUGAAUUAACUGCUGAGUUUCAUGAACAUGUCCUCCUUUUGAAAUUGUGUAUUAUUCAAAAUUGGAAUUUGCUGGACAUACUUGAUAUUUUCGUGAGUAAAUUCUGAUUUGGUGGUUGUGCUCGUCACAAAUCAAUGAAAUGACAGCAGUGAUUUUGCAAGACAGCGUACCUUCUCUUGGGGUGCUUUUCAUUUUGCAACAUUUCUUUACGUGUAAUUUCCAGAGGAGGGUUUAUCAUUGUAUACAGCUCUUCGGGUGGUUUUUCUACAAAACAAAUGUCACAAAGAAGGAGGAGAAGCGGAAAAGAUUUACUUGGAAUGUCUCAAGUCUCCUUUGAGAUAAAGGCAUCGAAUGCACAACAUUGUUUUUGUGCUAUUUCAUAAUUAAAGUGUGCUUCCCAAGUCUCCUUUGUGUUUUGUAACUUGUAAUGUUUGUUUUUUUGUUUCCCAUGUUUUGUCUCUUAUAAAAGAAAGGCUUUUUAUCACAAAUGGUCCUUCAGGUUUACAAAAUUAUCACAAAUCGUCCUUCAAGUUUUUUUGUGACACUAAUAGUCCUUCAGGUUAUCAUUUACCCAUCAAAAUGGUCCUUCUGUCAGUUUCUGUCAAAACUGACGUUAAAUUCCUGUGCUCAGCCUGCUUUUGAAAUGAUAAUCUCAUCUUUUCCACUCAACCUUCAACCAAACUCAACUGUCAGAACCCUUUCCCUCCAUUUCCUCAUGGUCCUUCCAGUUUGGCGCCCCUGUAAUAUAUAACCAAUCUUAAAAAUUAAACUUCUGAAGAAAUUGAAACAAUCCAAGCUCAAGAGAAAGACCAACAAUUGAGAACUGCAGAGAAAGAUCAAACUCAUGGAUCAAUAUGGUAAAGCCAAAUUGAAAAACAUAAUUUGCUAAAGAUAAAGCCAAACUGAAAAACCAAACUGAAAAACAUAAAGAUAUCAUUGACAAAUAUAAAAAGUUAAAAAAUAUUGCACAAUCAAAAUACAACCACAUGUUUCACAAAACAAAACAAAACAACCACAUUUGCAGACAAGCUGUAGUUUACACUUUAACAAAGAUUAAAAAACUAACCUGUAUACUUUGGUUGUUUCCCCCCCUUUCGAAAGAACUCCUCGGACUCAUCCAUCUAGUCACUUUUGUAAGAAGAAUAAUGCGUAUUUGACUCUUACGAACCCAGAUAUUCCUUUUGCAGACCAGCUUUAUCAAUUAAAAACCCAAAAAACCUUAAUUGUGCAGGGCCCGAGGAUGAAAUGGAGGGAAAAGGUUAUAUAUGCGGUUUAGAGCGCCAAAAUGGAAGGCCCGAUGAAGAAAUGGAGGGAAAGGGUUAUUUCAGUUGGGUUUGGUCGAAGGUUGAGUGGAAUGAUGCGAUUAUCAUUUCAAAAGGCAGGCUGAGCACGCGACUUUAACGUCAGUUUUGACAGAAACUAACAGAAGGACUAUUUUGAUGGAUAGAUGUUAAACUAAAGGACUAUUAGUGACACAAAAAAACCUAAAGGAUGAUUUGUGAUAAUUUUGUAAACCUGAAGGACCAUUUGUGAUAAAAAGCCUAAAAGAAAUACAGGUCCAAACCACACGGAUCUACUUGCAUAAUAAUGGACCAAAUUUAUGAUUUUUAGAAAGAACCUUCUACUGGUGGAAUCUUGGGCUACUGUUGUGGCUCUCCUCUGUGUGCCUCCUUUUUAGAACGAUAAAAUAUUCAAAAUACCAGAAAAUGUUCAUGAUUAAUGCAAAUAUUAAGAAUUGAAAUUAUUAAUUAAAUGAAGAUAAUAUGGUAAAUUCACACUUUUUCAUAUUAAAAAAAUUAAAAUUAAAAGAAAUAUCAGAUAAUUACUCUUAUUUUUAUGGAACACAGCUACCCAUUAUCUUUUUUAAUUAUAAAAUAAAUUUAAAUUAAAAAAAAAAUCUCUCUCACAGACACGGAAGCGCGUGCUCAGAGGCUAGUUAAAAAUAAUGAACUUUGCUUUUGAAGACGUCUAUACCAGACCCACUCAACCUGCUUUAUGAUUAUGCAAAGAACAAACUCGUCCUUAGACUCAUUUGGUUAAACUUAGAAAAUAAUGAAACAAAAAUAUACACACCCACAAGUAACACAGCCAGGAUUGAAAACAACUGGAAAAAGAAAGGCAUGUCAAAACAAAAUUUUCAACAACUCAUCACCAUUAGACAAGAAAAAGAAAAAUCAAUACAGAAACAGAAAGAACAGAGAAUAAAUGUGGUGGAAGAAAAACGUUGAAGCCAUUUGUGAAUCCAACAACACUACCACUCUGUUUCUCUCCUUUUGUUCAGGCGGAUCUGCAUAUAUCCUAAGGCGUAUUACGGAAACAACUUCUUGCGGUUAUACUUGAAUGUUGUGGAUGCUUCAACGUUGCCAUCUGGGUGGAGUGGAUUUGUCCAAUUCACCUUCACUAUGGUUAAUCAACUAGACAGACAUAAGUCAGAAACAAUAGGUAUAUACGUCCAAAUUGUUGUUAUUUGAAAGGUUCUAAAUUUUAACAUUUUGUUGUAAAUGUGGAGAGAAAAAGUAGAGAAUUGGAAUAGAGAGGAGAGACUGAUUUUCUCAUUCAUAUGUUCAGAUGAAUGUCUUCAGUGUAUAUUUUACAAGUAGGGGGAGGUAUCUAUUUAUAGGCUAAGGUUUUGGUAAAAUACAGGGAAGGAAAGUUCCUGGAAGAUGCAAGGAAACUUCCUCUGUGGGCUCCACCUUCAAACUUUUACAACACUCCCCCUUGGAGACCACAAAUGAUAUGGAAUAUGCCUCGUUAAAAACCUUGCCAGUAAAAACCCAGUGGGACAAAAACUGGUCAAAGGGAAAAAGAGUACAUAAUGAUGUGUAACAUAAAAUUCUGUGUAUAUUGACGCGCGUGCGACACUGCCUCGUUAAAACCUUGCCAGGAAAAACCCAGUGGGAUGAAAACCUGGACGAAGGAAAAAGAGUACAGUGUUUGAAGAUCUUUAUUGAUAGCAUGCUCCCCCUGAUGCUUGGUAAAAUAUCUUUAAGUCAUACUGUUGAUCACCUUUCUGAAUAUCGUAGUUGACACUGCUGCUGUGAGUCAAUCUUGAGCGACACUGCCUCGUUAAAACCUUACCAGGAAAAACCCAGUGGGAUAAAAACCUGGAUGAAGGAAAAAGAGUACAGUGUAUGGAGGUCUUUAUGAAAAACCACGCUCCCCCUGAAAAAUAUCUCCCCCUAAAAAAUUUCAUGACUAGCUUUUCCAGUAUGCGACCAUAGAAAUUUUCAUAGUAUACUCUAAACCCUUGAGCGACACUGCCUCGUUAAAACCUUACCAGGUAAAACCCAAUGGGAUAAAAACCUGGAUGAAGGAAAAAGAGUACAGUGUGGAGCUGACCUCUAUCUGGUCUAGUAUACUUCCGGAAAAACAUUUAAGGUGUCCAACGGAUAAUCCUCAUAAAAAUGCUUCAAUACUUUCUUAGUAUAAGCAAGAAUCUCGUUGGCAUAAUGCUCGAUCUUUAAGUCGAGACAAAUAUUUCGUGACUUCUGCAGAAGCUUUAAUGUGUUGCAAACACAUUAUAAACAAUGUACUCACUGAGGUAAUUUAUGCAUAUUAAUAUUGAGUACAAAUUUUGUGCUUCAAGCACAUGUCCUUUAGGGACUUGCUUUAUGCAAUGUCAAUCCUCUCAACGGAUUUUGUUUAAAAGGGGAUUAAACUUUAUGACACAUUAUAUAGCUUUAACCCAGCUAUUUAUACAUCUUUAGGGAAUCACUUCAAGUGAUAUGCUCUGUGCAUUUAAUAACCCUUAAAGAUAACAUGUUGGUCUCCGUAAUUGUGCAGUAAGGGGGGAGGCACAAUUGAAUCUGUAAAUAUGGAAAAGACCCAACAUUCAUUGUUUCUGCCAGAAACAUUGUGUCAUACAAAGUAGGUAUAUUCCCUUUUAUUCCGAACACCCAAGUAUAAGUUUCAAUAUUAACAUCUUUUGGGGUUCGUACUGUGGGUUUGUUCUUUCACGUUCAUUCUCAUCUAUAAUGGAAUUACCUCUUUCCAUUUUGGCCAAUGAUAUUGUCGACAUCUAAUAAUUGAACGUGGUUCCAAUCAACACAGCCCAUUGAUGAUUUGAGUAGCUACUCCAAAACCAAAAAUUGUCAUUCAUCAAUUCAUUAUCCCACCAUUCUCAUGUGCAUGCGCAUGCAUCAAUUAUAAGCAUUUCUUUGCUUUUGGGUACCCAAGCCACUUCAGGGGGCUUUUAUUAUGUGAGAAUGUGGAUUAUAACCUCCAAUGGAGCGUUAUUUUGCAGUAGGGCGUGGAUAAUCUCCAUUUAGGGAGUUGGAACAUUUAGAACCCAUAUAUCUGUCAUGCUGCAGGCAUGCCACAGAUUAAUACAUACAUGUCAAUUAGUUUAUGGGACUUUAACCCAUAUGAUGGGACUUUAACCCAUGUAAUUUGCUACGCAUUCGGCGUGCAUAAUCUCAAUAUUGACAUGUCAAAGGAUUGUCCAUUCGGGACUUCAAUCCACAUCAUUUGCUACGCAAUAGGCGUGCAUCAUAUUGAUCACUGCUAUACCCAUAUUCUGUUCUUAUGGGACUUUAAUCUGUGCAAUGUAUUAUCAAUGUAUCCAACUUGCAAUCUGUAAAAUUUGCAUUAAUAAUACAUGGAUACAUACAAGCCAUUCUUUUGGGACGGACUUAUCUCCCCAUUUGGUUACCUUUCAAUAUAAAAUAUCAAAUAGGUAUAUAAGCAUAAAAUAACACAAGUAUUGCUUACAUCCUUAGGUGGGAGAAACUUUUCUCAAGUAUCGCUUGAUGAUCUUGUUAUAUCCUGCAAGAGCAAAAAUCACAAUUCCUUUCUCUGUCAAAAACAAAUAAGAGGAAUAGGUAGAACCGGUGAAUUUCAAAUUAACCAUAGGAAAAUUGCGAGAUUCUCGGGAUGCUUUUGAAAAAGUAGCUCCGUGAAAUCCGUAAAGCAAGAUUGGCUUUGAAAAUAAUACUUGAAAACGCCGAAAGUGCCGACAGGCAUUAUUAGAGGCCACGUGAAGUUUUGGACUUCUAGGAAAGAAAAAGAUAAUAUGGGGAUUCGAGAAGAUAUUGGGGUCUUGAAAAACAGUAGCCAUAUUUCCUCCUAUAGAUAUGGCCUUUGCAACAAUUGCGCACCUUCUUAAACUUGCACCUGUGGUUUUUACGCCUUUUCAAAAUGACGGUUUGGAACCUUGUGCCUUAUAGGUUCAAAUAACCACAUUGUUUCUCCCAAAUUUCAUAUUUUAUCGCAUGGUAGCCCGAAACUUUUGGCCUGGGCACAAAUUCAGAAUUUAUUUGCCCUUUUCAAAUGGACAUGAAAUAUGAAUUGAGUAAAAGCCAUGAUAAUAUCGCAAUAUAGUAGUGAAGAGCAUUAACUACUAUAUACCCACAACUUCAAGUUCAGGAUCUCUCAUAUAUUUGGAUCCAUGGGUUUCCGGCCCAGAUAUAACAAAAUAUGUGGGGAGCCUCAAUUCAUCAUUUGAGGUUCAUACUGAUAUUAUCCAUUUCACGGUGUAUUCUUGACAACCGGAAUUCACAAAAUAUAUUUCUUCCUUGAAGUGUCGAUUAUAACAAAAUCGAACUUUAAAUUCAUCAUCUUCUUAUGCCAAAGAAAUAUGUGGCAUACCACAAUUUGCAAUAAUACCUCAAGGGUUGUCCAUUUAAUUGUUGGAACUUCAGGUUCUCAACACUGUUAGAUUUUGAACUUCUGGCCAAAAUCACAUAUUCUCAUGGUAUGGACAUUCAAUCCCCUUAGAUUUUGAACUUCGGGCCAAAAUCACAUAUUCUCAUGGUAUGGACAUUUUUACAAUUUUCUGUACAUAUUUCUGGACUUCAAGCCCUUACAUAAUUGUCCAUAUUUUGAGGAACUUCUGGCAUCUCAUUUAAUUGCUCAUCCAUGAGUUUAAGGAACUGCAGGUUCCCUUUUGAAUGGUGAUGGUUUACCCAAAAUGGUAAAUACUUAUGCAUACAUCACUAUUCAUGUAUACGGCACUAUUUAUGUAUACAGUACAUUUGCCAGUACAGUUAUCAUCCAUGUGUACGGCAUUAUGAACAAAUACGGUACUGUUACAUCAUUAAGGAACCCCAUGUCCUUAUUUACAUGUCAGGGAUCAAGGACCCUCAAGUCCGAUCACAUGUUUACAAAUAUAGUACCGGAGAGACUGCCAGCUCUCAUAUUAACAUCAUCAUCAAGGAUCUUCAAGUCCUGAUGUAAUUGUAUGAUGAGGAUCAAAGAACUUCUGGUCCUGAUCUGUAUACUGUAAAAACUCAUCAUACAGCACAUUUAAUCCAUAGAAUAAAUUGCUGGUAAAUAAAUUACUGGUAUGGACGAUAAACUCGCACCAUACUUUAAAUAAAUAUUGCCUUACAUACACUUACAGCAUCAAUAAUUGAUAUCCAUCCAUGAUCCACCUGUAUAAAUGUAUAUAUAUAUAUGUAUAUAUAUAUAUAUUAUUUUUAUUUGGACUUAAACAGAAACAGGCAUUUUCUAUAGCUGUAAGUAUAAUUGUACCUGCCUACGCUGAAGAUUCCUUUCAUUGUUGCAGGAUGGUGGGCAUUCAGUUUAAAUAAAGCAAACACACACAUUUCAAAUUUUAAUUGAAUUUCAAAUUAGCAGUUUACUUACAUGCCCAUCCAUGACGUAAAAAGCAGAGACAAGUGAUUGUCUUUCGACAAUGACAUGAUAUCACAGUAGUGGGGAUAACGCUAUGAUAUUGGCCGAUCGGCUUCGCUGUAUCCCUGCACACCUUUAAUAAUUAUAUAAUAUUAAAAUAAUAUAAUUAUGUACCUGCACUAUAGACCUGCAUCUUAAGCUUCUUCCCUUUAUGGGGUCUGCCGCUUUGCCUUUUGUUUCCUUUGCUUUGCUUUCCACUGAAGCAAGUUGGCCAGCACCAAUAAUGCCGCCCACAAUGCAAAAAUCAAGUUGGCCAGCACCAAUAAUGCCGCCCACAAUGCAAAAAUCAAGUUGGCUACUUUUGCCUGUUGCUUUCUCAAUUUCCUCCACCCUUUCAUUGUCUUUUCUUCUUUCACUACUUCUCAUCUUCUGCCUCUCUCUUGCCUUUUUUUUUUCUUUUUUUUUUUUUGUAUUCGAUUUUCUGGCAAGCCUCCAAAGACAGCAACGACCAAGUUGCCUUGUCAUGGCUGGCGGCCAUUGCAAAAGCCUUUUCCAUGAAGAAAUGGACUUGGACACGAGGCUGGUUGAUUAUGUAGUUGGAGAUGAAGAAAGCAGCUGACAGUCUAGGGAGGGAGCGAACCAGAGAGUUUGUUACUCCACUGGUGUGGUUGGGAGGUAGGGAUCGUCUGUGGUUGGUACAGAGUUUUCUUCCUCAGCUCAAGCAAGGCAAUAGAGGUAGGUUUGUUUGCUCAGCUCAGCUCAACCUGUGCUCUCUGUGUUUGUUUGCUGGGUUAUCUGGGAGAGUAAUUUUCUUCGGGUUCGGUUCUGGUAUGCUUUUGCAUAUAGAAAACAGAGAACCCAGAAAGGAAAUCCAAGAGAGAGACUUUGGUUGAGAAAAUGGCAAUUUUUGAGAAAAAUGGAGAUGCUGAGGUUGGUUGGACAACACCGAAUGGAAGUUGUUGGGCUCGGAGCAGAGAAUUGGUUCUCUAGAUCGGAGGUUUUGUGUGAAAUUUUACUGGCAAGCAAUCCGUGUGGCUCUGUACAAAACUGGGUUGGUUUUGGGUGGGCAAUCUGGGCUUGGUUUCGAACUGGGUGUCUUGAUCAAUUUCUGGGAUCAAGAAAUCAGAGAUUUCAGCCGGUUAAAGACUCGUGCUGAUAUCGUGUUGUAAAUGUGGAGAGAAAAAGUAGAGAAUUGGAAUAGAGAGGAGAGACUGAUUUUCUCAUUCAUAUGUUCUGAUGAAUGUCUUCAGUGUAUAUUUUACAAGUAGGGGGAGGUAUCUAUUUAUAGGCUAAGGUUUUGGUAAAAUACAGGGAAGGAAAGUUCCUGGAAGAUGCAAGGAAACUUCCUCUGUGGGCUCCACCUUCAAACUUUUACAACACAUUUUGAUUUUUAAAUUUUGUUUUAAUAUUUCGGCCCACUUAGUUCUUCUCAAAAUAUGUCAUCAAUAUCGUUGAAAGGUUGAACUUAGUGAAUUAUUAUAGUGCAGUACGGUAGAAUAAGCACAUGAUAUAAUUUGUCCACAUGUUAUAAUAUAAGUGAAUAUUUAUUGAUAUUAUUUCCAAAAAUAAGAAAUAUCAACAAUUAUAUCCUCCUAUAUUAUAAUACAUAUACAAAUUAUACCACAUUAUCAUACUCUAAUACCAUUUUAUAAUUUCUCGUACUUAGGAGGUAUAGAGCGAGUCAAUGACAUUACAUAAUAUAUAAUUGUUCAUAUAAUGGGGCAACUAACGUGAUCAACAAGUUGUGGUGAUUAAUUUAACAUAAUAAAAAAUAUACCAUUUACUUGAGUGAUGUAACAAUUUGUUCUUUUAAAUUGGAUUGCCAUCACUUUAAUAUGUUAUGUUUCUUAUUAUAGUCUCCCAUGUUAAGUGCUUCAGCAUUGUUUGUGGUGUGUACACAAAUUUUCUUAUAAAAUGUUUUAAUGCUUCUCACAUGUAUAUCAGAUAUAGACAGUUGAUGUGACUUAGAAAUCAAAUUGUCAAUAAAACAAAAAAAUAUAAUUGGUGAUCGAGGUCCAAUUUAAUAGAAAAUAGUCUUAACUUGCAUAUUAAAGGUCUUAUAUUCGAAUCCUCACUGCAUUAUUGUUGUAUGCGUACACAAGAAAUUCUCUUCCCCAAUAAUUUAGACUAUCACUUAUACUAAAAAUAUAUAUAUAUAAUGACUUUUACGAAUGCAAACAUAAAAUUACAUCAAACAAUAAUCACUACUACAAAAAAGCAAAAAGACGACGGUAAAUCACCGUCGUGUAUUGGGGUUUUCAAUGGUCGUGGAAUCCACCGUCAUCUUUUCCCUCAUAAACCACGACGCUAAAUAACCGUCGUUGUUAAAAUAUACAACGUCAUCAACAAAUACAAAACGACGUCUUUGUACUGCAAAAAGAUCUAAAAAAAGCAAUCGAGGAUGAUAAUAGACGACCAACUCUCUAAAAAAACCGUCGUUAAAAAGAAAAAAUAUGACACAUAUUAAGAGAACAAGGCCGCAAGAUAGACAUACAACGACGAAAAUAAAAAUACGACGACGUUAAAUAUAAUUUUCACGACAAUAAAAAAUAUGACGUCUUUAAAUACAUUAGAAGACGACGUUAUUGAUACAUACUACGUCGCAUAUAUAAAAACAACCGUCGUAAAAUUAAUUUUCCACUUCGAUUUUUCGAUAAAAGAUGACGUGGAAAUAGUUGUCAGUGUCAUUAUUUACGACGUAUGUGUUUAUAGAUUAGACGUUGAAAAACUAAACAACGUCGGUUACAAAUAUAUGAGAGUCGUAUUACAAAAUUUAUACGUCCUAUUUUCAGAAACAAACAACGACGAUAAAUAUUAGACGUUGUUAAACAAAACAACGUCGGAAAAAUAAAAACAGACGUGUUUAGUCUGCUAAAGUUCUAGAAAAUAGUCGAGGAUGAGAAUAGACAACCAACUCAAAAAAAUCACCGUCGUUAAAAAGGAAAAAUCUGACACAUAUUAAAAGAACAAGGCCGCAAGAUAUACAUACAACGACGACAACUAAAAUACUACGCCGUUAAAUAUAAUUUACACGACAAGAAAAAAUAUGACGUCUUUAAAUACAUGAGAAGACGACGUUAUUGAAAUCUACUACGUCUCUUAUUUACAAAAAACCGUCGUGAAAUAAAUUUUCCACUUCGAUUUUUCUAAAAAAGAUGACGUGGAAAUAGUUGUCAGUGUCAUUAUUUACGACGUACACAUUUAUAUAGUCGACGUUGUAUUUAUAUGUAUUCAUUACUCACGACGCACUUAAUAAUAUAGACGACGUUGAACUUCUAAACAACGUCGGUUCCAAAUAAAUGAGAGCCGUAUUACAGAACAUAUAGACGGCGUAGAUUAUGAUGAGAGCCGUAUUACAAAUAACGUCGUUUAAUUGUUAUUAGACGGCGGUUAUAAUGAAUUUCCGUCGGAAUUCAUUUCGUUCCUCUUCGUUUAUAAAAGAACUUGCGACGUGGAAAAUGUAUGAUGACGUCGUAUUUUUUAACGUUCAGAUUAUAUAUCUCGUUUUUAGACGUCGGUAUUAUGGGAUUGGAGUCGUGUUAUUUUGAAUUACAUGGCGGUUCUUAAUCCUUCACCGACGUGAUAUCCUGAAUAAUUGCUUCACAAUAGCGUCGUGGUUCUUCAUUGUUACGUUGCUUUAAGACGUCGGUAAAUAUGCUGAAUAACUGAUUCACAAUAACGUCGUGUUUUAUUUGAACGUAGAAAGUGAAGAAAUCACAUUACAAUAUAUUACAAAAUUAAUGUCAUACACUGCCAAUUACAUAAGCAUCAUUCAAUCCAUAUAUCUUCACACCCAUCUCGAAUAUUUUGACCGCCUAACUCACCCACCAGUUCAUCAAAUGUGUCAACAUUUGGCAUCCCUCUAGUAAAUGGCUCACACUCAAUUAUCACAUCACCUAAGACUUCAUCACCAAUAACAUCAUUAUAUUCUCUAUUAGGCAUUGAUAACACUACCGACCAACCACGAUGCAUCGGGUCGUCAACAAAAAAUAUUUGUUUGACUUGAGAAGCCAAAACAAAUUGGUCAUUCCUAUGUCCAAUUUUACUCAAAUCUACAAGGGUAAAUCCAAGUUCGUCGACUACAAGACCAGAACUAUCUAUCCAAUCACACCUAAAGACUGGGAUUGUAAACUUUUGGUAGUCAAGGUCCCAAAUUUCUUGAAUGACACCAUAGAAACCCAUAUUUGAGAGAAUUGGGUUUUUAUCCUUGGCACUAGCAACUUGCAUGGUAUGUGCAAGUAAAUAAACUCCACUAUUUUGAGUUGUCCGCACAUCAUCUUGUGCCUUGAUAUUGAAUUUAAUACCUUUAAUAAGAUAGCUCCUAUAUAAUGGCACUGACAUGUUUGGACCAGCUGCUAGCCACCUUAAAUUUUCUGAUACGCCAUGAUUGUCUUCCUCAAGUUCACUUUGAACCUGCAAAUUAAUCAUAUCUUAAUUCAAUCUAACAUAUAAAUAAGAAGAAAAUUAAAAGAGAAAUAUGUUAUUCAACAACAUAUACCUUGAAGCGUAGCCAUUGAAUGAAAGUGCUAUUGUGCUUAUCCUGCAGCCACUUUGUUCUCUUUCUAAAUUUUGGAUAAGCAGUCUUGAUGUGGAUCAUAUGUUGCCCACAUGACACGAAAAAUUCAAGCAUUACGAUCCUAAAUAUAGAAGAUAAACAUAAGAAAUAAUUUAAAAUGGAAACUUAAAGAAUAAAGCUCAUACGUACUCGAUAUAAGGUAGGACUUCCUCCGUAUUCUCCAAGACAUAUAGAUGUGCUUGAUUCAACAGGUCCUGAUCAACUACGCUCACUGUGCAACCUGAUAAUGGCUUUGAAAGCCCCAUCUUUUGGCUUGAAGGCACUCCAACUGUACUAACAUCAGAUAAAUGCUGAGUACAACACUCUACCGCUUCUUCAGCUAUAUACCGCUCAGCAAUGCAACCUUCGGGACGAGUACGAUUCUGAACAUACCCCUUCAGCACUUUCAUAUAUCUUUCAAACGGAUACAUCCACCGAAAAUAUACUGGCCCACAUAGACGAACUUCUCUGACAAGAUGUACUACUAGAUGAACCAUGAUAUCAAAGAAUGAAGGGGGAAAGUACUUCUCAAGCAAACACAGAGUAACUACUACAUCUUCUUCCAACUUAUCUAGCUUGGAAACAUCAACAGUCUUUGCACAUAUAGCAUUGAAGAAGAAGCACAAACGAGUUAUUGCAUACCUUGCAGGCUUCUCCAAAACAGAACGAAUUGCCACAGGGAGCAAUUGUUGCAUUAAGGUAUGACAAUCAUGUGAUUUAAGGCCAAGAAGUCUUGAAUCUUGUAAAGAUACAAGAUUUUUAAUAUUUGAAGAAUAACCUUCAGGGACCUUCAUACCAUAGAAAGAAUUGCAAACCUCUCUCUUCUCUACUCUUGACAAAUUCCAAGGCCCAGGAGGCAAACGAGUACGUCUUUCUCCAUACUCGGGUUGCAAAUCAGUUUUGACCCCCAUGUUCAAUAAAUCUAAUCGAGCAGCAAUCCCAUCUUUAUUUUUUCCAGGGAUCUCCAGCAAUGUACCAAUGAUACUAUCACAAACAUUCUUCUCAAUGUGCAUAACAUCUAGGGCAUGCCUUACAGGAAGGUAUUUCCAAUACUCGAGAUCAAAGAAUAUUGAUUUCUUCUUCCAACAAACUCUGUCACCAUUUUCAACCAUAUGCAGCACUUCUUCUCCGGUUAAUGGCUCGGGAGGUAUGCCAUAUUCAGGUUUCCCAUUAAAAGCUGCACGUUGCCUCCUAUAUGGAUGAUUGAUUGGUAACCAUUUUCUAUGCCCAAUGUAACAAAUUUUGUGGCCAUUUUUCAACCUGUGACUAGGUGUAUCAUCGCCGCAUAUUGGACAAGCUUUAUAUCCUUUAACAACACAACCAGAUAAGUUUCCAUAGGCGGGGAAAUCAUUAAUUGUCCACAUUAAUGCAGCUCUGAGUGUAAAGUAUUCUCCAUUAUGUGCAUCAUACACUCCUCUAAUCCCAUCCCACAAAGAUUUUAAAUCAUCAAUCAAAGGCUCCAAGUAGACGUCUAUAUCAUUUCCGGGUUGUUUAGGACCGAAAAUCAAUAAGGUUAACAUCAUGAACUUUCGUUUCAUGCACAGCCAUGGAGGGAGAUUAUAUGUAACUAAGAUAACCGGCCAACAACUAUAUCUGCUACUUAGAGAACUGUGGGGAUUGAAUCCAUCAGAUGAAAGAGCCAAUCUCAAGUUUCUCGGCUCAUUACCAAACUCAGGCCAUUUAUCAUCAAGAAGUUUCCAAGACGGGGAAUCCGCCGGAUGAGACAUCUGACCGUCAAUUGAUUUUCUAGGAGCAUGCCAAGUCAAACUCUUAGCUGUCUCAUGUGAUUGAAACAUCCUUUUAAACCUUGGAAUUGGAGGAAAAUACCACACCACCUUCGCUGGCACACCCUCUUUCAAGAUUGAAUCUUUGCCUUCCUUCCACCUUGAGAUACCACAAGUAGGACAAUUAGUUGAAUCCUCAUACUCCUUCCUAUACAAGAUGCAAUCAUUGGGGCAUGCGUGCAUUUUCUCAUAACUCAGCCCCAAUGCACACAAAGUCUUUUUAGCCUCAUACAUAGAGGUUGGUAUUGUAUUUCCUUAUGGAAGCAAAUCGCCUUGAAGUAUCAAUAAUUCUGUAAAACAGACAUCACUCAUCCCAUGUUUUGCCUUCAAAUUAUACAACUUCACUAAUGCCGAUAACUUCGUGUACUUUCUACAACCAGGGUACACUGGUUGAUCUCCAUCCCCAAUCACAUUGGCAAACUCAUACGGAUCGGAACCAAAAUCAUUAUCAUCCAUAUCAAUUUCUUCAGACACAAAACUGUACCUACUAUGGCCAUCAUCUUCUUCAACAUUUCUACUAGCAUUAGUAGUUGCUUCCCAAGGUUCUCCGUGAAAUGUCCAAUUCUUAUAGCUUUGGUCAAUUCCAUUAAAGUAUAAGUGAUCCCUUAUAAUUCCAACCCCAAACAACUUCAAAUUAACACAUUUAACACAUGGACAACGGAUAUGUGUUGUAGUUAGAAGAUUUUCUACAGCAAAGUUCAAAAAUGCUUCCACCCCAAACUCAUAUGCCUUCGAUCUUCUAUCCGAGUGCAUCAUUGACUUAUCCAUCUCCGACACUAUAACCUAUUAUCUAUAAUAAAGUGAAAAUACAGGCAAUGACCAUCACUAUAGCAGAUUAUACAAAGAUCUAAUAGCAAGUAAUACACAACAAAGACGACGGGUUUUAAACAAAAACAGACGUAUUUGGCAUAUAUAGACGACGGAUUUUCAACAGACGUCGUCUAAUAUAAGUAAUACAAACGACGGUUUAUGAAAAAACCGUCGUGUAUAAGUAAUACAACGACGGUUUUUUCAUAAACCGUCGUGUAAUCGUCGGCGUAUGCCUAAAAAGGCGUCGUGUCUCAGUUUAUUUUCAAGAACCCAAAACCCAUUAAGAACACAACAUAUAUAUGAAACCAAGCAAGAAAACAACAUAUACAUGAAACCAAGCAUGAAAACAAUAAAUCCAUUCCCAAUUCAACAUAACAUAGGGUGAUUAAAAGAUCCGACAAAAUUAAAUCCAUUCCCAAUUCAACAUAACAGAUAAUGUAAUCCAUGAACCCAUUAAACAGAAAAUCCAUGAACCCAUACUUAUAAGCACAUUAUUAACAGAUCGCAAAGCAUAUACCUAAAACCCUUUAACAAAACAACCUAAUAUCAUUCAAUGAAUUUACAAGGGGAAGAUAGGGUUUGUACUUACAGGUUGGACGAGCUCACAGAUUCGACGGAGCAGAAGUGAGAGAGCAACUUUUAAUUAGAGCAGAAGUGAGAGAGCGAAAUGUUAUGUUGCGCGAAAUCUGAAAAUUUUAGGGUUCAGGGUUAGAAGAAUAAGAAUAAGAGCCAAAUAUAAAAAAAUUUAGGACGCGUGAAAAUUUUUAGAGCGCGCGCUCUUUAAAACUUCGAAAGAAAAACCAUGGCGAAAGUUCUACAAGAACCGACAUAAAUGUAAUAUUCCACGACGGAAACACUGAACGUAACGCCGUUUAUUUUGACGCUUCAUUUUUCGGAUUAAUUUUAAAUUUAUUUUCAAUAUUUUGAUAUAAAGACGACUGAAAAACCACGUCGGGGUUAAGAAAUUGAAAACGUUGUAAAUUAUAAUAGACGACUUACAUAUUAAAAUGACGUCGUUUAAAGUAGAAACUAUGUCGGAUAAUUUACUGCACGACGUAACAUAUGUAUUCCACGACUCAACCACCGUCGUUAACAAUUAAUACCCUAAACCCUUAAAACUAAAUUAUAUAAUUUUAAAAAUUAACUUUAUAAAAGGGUUUAUGGUUUUACAGCCUAAUAUAUACCCUAGACUACCCAAAAAUUAUACUUUAAAAAUAAACCCCAAUAAAUAACAACCCUAAUCUCUAAACCCUAGACUCUAAACCCUAAACCAUAAAACUAGAAGUGAUUUUAUGACUCAUCAAAACAAUUUUGUUUUGGAUGUUCAUUUUAAAUUUUUGUAAUUCAAAAUGAAUUUUUUCAAGGUUUAGGGGGAAGAAAAUAUAUCAAUGACUUCAUAGGAGUUGACUUUGCAUUUUUCUGAUUUAUUUUAAAUUUAUUUUGAAUAUUUUGAUAUAAAAAUAAUAAAAUAUUCUUAUCACAACAACAAACCACGUCGGUGUUGAUAAAUUGUAGACGUUGUAAAUUGUAAUAGACGACUAAGUUGUUAAAAUGACGUCGUUUAAAUGAGAAACGAUGGCGGAUAUUUAACUAUCCGACGUAAAAUAUAUAUUCCUCGACUUAACCACUGUCGUUACAAAGUACUACCCUGAACCCUUAAGAAAUUGAAGACGUUGUAAACCAUAAACGACUCCAUUGUUCAAAGAACGUCGUCUAAAUAUCCUUUUACGCCGGAUUUGUUUAAAACGAAACCACAAAAAACGACGGCUUUUGACUUUAUUACGUCGUUGGAAAAUUAUUACACGUCGGUUACGCAUUUUGUAUGUUUGUUUUUGUUUUUACUUUAAGAAAACCUCAACAAAUUUUUACAUUAUAUAUUAUAGACAAAAUUUGUACAUUAUACAUAAAUAUCAAGUGUUCAAUAAUUCCCCUAUUCCAGUUGAAUGCAAACAAACUCUGCCCAUUCAUUCCGGACUUCAUCAAUUGCUUCUUGGGGGUAUGGCUCUUCCUGUUUUCCCUUCGCAUACUGCAUAAAAACAAUGACUAUUAGGGUUUAUAAAUAAAAGGAAAUUCAAUCACAGACGACCAUAACCGACGUAGUAUAUCUAUUCAACGACGGUAAUUUUACAUGACCGUCGUUGAUAAUACAAAAAACGACGUAAAAUGUUUGAAGGUUAUUUCUUCUUACCUUCUUCUCAAACCCCAAGGAAGGAUCCAUGAUGAUGUCCUUCAUGAAGCGCAUCACGUAAUACCCGCAUUCGACAUUGCUGGGUUGCUUUGGUGUGCCUGACAGGGUUUUCCAAAUGACUGCCUUACGGCCUGAUCUGGCUAUGUGGGAAUUAUAAAUUUUUAUGGCACUGUUCACGAUGUCUUUGGCCUCUUCAUCGACCACACGAUUUCCUGGCAGAGGAUCCAGAAAAUAGACUGUUUCCCUCUUUGCUCUUACAAUCAGCAAGAUCCAAUGACGGCUGCACAAAAUUAAUAUAAAAACGACGGUUAUUUACAAAAACGACGUAUUAUAAUAUUUCACACGACGAAAUAAAGUAGCAAUCGACGACAUUAUAUAUUUAUAACGACGAUAAAUAACUACCGACGUGGUUAGUCGUUUCAAACGACUCAAUAAAAUAAAACACCGACGUGGUUAGUUUAUACGCUGUCAUUUAUUGAAAAUCAUAAAAACAAAAUCCUGUUAAGGAGACUAACCCUGGAUUGUAAGGCAUGAGGAAAAUCUGUUCACCGUCAGUCUUCUGAAGUCGUGAUGCUACAAGCCGUGAUCUGUCAGCUAUUGUGCCAGAGCUGGCACUAACUGUAGCAGGGUCGAUAAAGCCAACCAUUGUGCACAUAUUUGCUUGUUUUAAAACAUCGUGUAAGUACCUAAAUAUAUAAAAUAAUAUAAACAAGUCAGCGCAAAAAAAACACACGACGGUUAUGUAUAACAAAACGACGUAUUAUAAGGUUUCACACGACGUACUGAAAUAGACAACGACGUUAUAAUAAAUUUAUCACGACGGUACAUACUAACGACGUGGUUAGUUAGUUAAGACGACGCAAUAAAUAAACCAACGACGUAUUAUUUUAGAAUGACAAACCUCAUAUAUACAGCAAUGACUGUAGCUCCUAUUUCCUCCAUGCCUGCAAAUUGUGUAAUAUCUUCAGGCAGGAGGAAGGUAUCGCGCUCUAGACCAAACACCUCCUUAUCAAUUGUAAAGUGCAGGGUCUUAUCUUGAGUUACGAGUGUCGUUUCCACAUAACGACAAAGGGUUUGUAAAGAAGAUGGCGCCUCCAUAUUUGAAUAAUCAACAACUUUAGUAACCUGUUUAAAGAAAUAAAAAAAUGACGUGGUAAUUCAAUAAAAACGACGGUUUAAGGAAUAAAAUGUCGUUUGAAAACAAUUUAAACGACGGUGAAAAAACCGUCGUGGUGAAUUAUUUAUUACGUCUUAGAAAACAAUUCCGCCGUCUAAGUUGUAAACAAACGACGGUUUAAAGAAAAAUAUCGACGUCUGGAAUUUUGAAAACAAAUAAAAAAGGUAAAGUUAUGUGAACAUACCUGGUCGUCAUCUUCUUUCUCCUUUUCAUCUUGUUUUUCUUCCUUAUUCUCUUCAUAUAUGACGUCGGGAAUGAUUAACUCCGUCAUCUAAAAACCACAAAGUUUUAAAAAUAACGACGUUUAAUGGCGUGUAAAACAAGUAAACUAAAUACGACGUGGUAUUGAAAUACAAACGACGGUUUAUUUUUAAAAUCGUCGUGGUAUGUAUUUCAAACGACGGUUUUAUUAAAAAUAACGACGUCUAAUGGUUUUUAAAAAAACAGAGAAUUCAAAGUUCAGAUAUGUUACCUUUUCUUCCUGAUGUUUCCCAUUUUUGGCAGUAUCAUCCUCAAAAUGCUGGGAUCUCACAUCACCUCCAGAGCAGCUUGCUUUGUCAGACAUUGGAUUUUUGGGACUUUGGCUAAUUCUGGGUUUAAGCAUGCUUGGAUCAAAAUUGGGAAUUAAUUGGGAAAGCUGACUCAGGAAAUGCUCCCUCUCAGCCUCUACCAAUUGUUUCGUUCUAGCCUCCAUUCUUAAAGCCUCUUCCCUUGCCUUAGCCUCCAUCUUUUUAGUCUCUUCUUGAAGGAGAACUCUUAAACUGUCCUUCAAACGGUCGUCAAAGCUCACUCUCUGUGGUUUGGGUAAAUUGAAAUAUUGCUUUGGUGAGAUCCCAGCACCUACUCCUCUGACUCUGCCUGGAUGCUCGGGGCCCAAAGCCAUGGUCAGCACAUCAUUGCUGCCAGAGACGGUGACUUUGCCUUCCGAGACUUGUUUUUGCAAAUCAUCCUAAAACAAAGAUAUAUAAAAAAGUAAGAACAAAAACACACGACGGUUAUUUAUAUACAAACGACGUAUUAUAUAAUUUCACACGACUCAAUAACAUAUAAAUCGACGUUAUUAUAAUUUAUCACGACGGUAGUUAUACCGACGUGGUUAGUUCUUUAAAACGACGAAAUUAAUAAACCACCAACGUCUUAUGUAACAGAGGGAUGAUUCAAUAUUCACACCUUUAACGACGUUGUUUAAAACAUUUCGACGUAGUAAUUUAAUACAGACGACGCGAAAUUGAACCACCGACAUCUUAUGCUAUAAUUACAGAAAACAGAGUUCUGAUUCCUAUUUAGACCUUUAACGACGUGUUUUAAAAAAUGUCGACGUGGUAAUAUCAUUCACACGACGCAAAAUAUAACAUAAGACGUAAUAAGAAUUAUUCACAGUUUAAUAAAAAUUUAAAACAGAGUGAGUAGGCUUACAAUUAAUUUUGCUUUCUCUGCCACCUUUGGAUCAGGGAUGUUACCAUGUUUGUCAUGUCUAGCUCUCUUCCAUAAGGUAGAUCGAUCAAUUUCUACCCCAGGCAUGGUUUCCUCUAAUUGAUCCUCCAAACCGGCAUAUCCUUUUCGAGACAAUCGAUGAUUGUACUCGAGUUUCUCCCUAAUCUGUGCAUGUUGAGAAUGCACAGACUCAAAAUCUUUGGAUAGCCUUGAAGCUACAAAGGCAUCCCAUUGUGCUUUCUCUAUGAAUUUAUAUGUUUCAGGGGGUUGGCUUAAUCUCUCCCUGUCAUUGGUGUAUGGAAGGAUAUAAUGCCUCGUUAGUGUAGACUUGAAAUCCUUCCAUUUCUUGGCAGCAGAAGCUAAGACAGAGUUCUUGCCCCCUUGACCUACUACAAAAGCAAUGUCAACUGCUUCCCAAAUCUGCUCCUUUAUAUCCUUGGGGAUUUGAGCCCAUUUCAAGUCCACAAGUGGAACUCUGGAGCGUGCCAACACACCAAUAUAGGACUGCAUCUCACUAUGAGCUUGGCCAAUUCCUUUCCCCCUUUUAUUGUACUCAACAAUUGGCCUCAGUUUCUGCAGUUUUCUCUUCACAACACGAGGCAUUGUGCUCAUACCUCGACCAGCCUUUGAAUCAUCAGAUAUUGUUGUCCCGCUGGUUGGUUCUGUAUCAGCAGAUGAUGAAGCAAACUUCAUCUUCUUCGAAGACUUCAUUAUCUUCGAAGACUUCUCUUGAGGAGGUACUUGCUCCUCACCUCCAUUUUUCUUGGAGCCAGAAUCCUUACUUUAGUCUUGUUGAGAAACCAUUUUUACAGACAAAACUGCAAGUGAAAAUAUUUCAAGAAAAGAUUAAGAACACAAACGACGGUUAUUAAUAAAAUACGACGUAUGAUAUGAUUUUAAACGACGCAAUGAAAUAAUAUCAGACGUAAUAAAUUUUUAAAACGAAGGUAAUUAAACAACGACGAAAUAAUUGACUACAAACGACGAGAUAAUUAACUAUAAACGACGGAAUAUUUAUAUAACGUCGUGGUAUUGAUGUUCACACGACGUCAGUAGUAAUAUACCGUCGUCUAUAUAAGGAUCCAAAACCCUUCUUUCUUUCUCUGUGAAUGUUUGAUUGCAGAUUUGAUUUUUCUGAACCAUGGUUUUUGUUUUCUAAUUUGAUAAAAUACAAGGCCAAGAAAGAAAGUUUUGGAAUCUUAUAUAGACGACGGUAUUUUAAUAUGACGUCGUGGUAUUAACAUUCACACGACGUAAAACAAUAAGAUACUGUCGUCUAUAUUAGAUACCAACCCUAAUUUCUUUUUCUUUAUAUUUUAUCAAAUUAGGGAAAAACAAAAACCAUUGUUCAGAAAAAUCAAACCUGCAAUUAAACAAGCAAAUAAAAAAAAGACUAAAAUUUUAAAAACAACUUUGUCAAUUUUCAGACGACGCUAGAACGACUGACGAACCGUCGUGGUCUACAUAUUUAACCACGUAAAUAAGAAGCUACCGUCGUCUUAUUUAGUUAAGGUAGUUGUCUUCAAAGUUGGAAACUUUCCCUCUUUGUCUGUAUAUUUUAUCGAACUUGGAAAGAAGUAAAAUGAUUUUGGCCAGAAAAAAGGUAAAAAGAUUUUUCAAACAAAAAACGUAUGAGCAUGCAAAACAGCAACCAAAAUAGUGAAAAUGAAAGCUUACCUUUUGUGUGCAAUGAAAGCAAGAGGAAGACGAUCGAUGUUUAAAUUCAGAGACGACGAAGAAGACGAGAGGAAGACGAUGAGAUACUCUGAAAGUGCUCUGACAAGGAAAAAAGUCUAAAAGUUUUCUCUGGGAGAUUGAAAUUUUUAAUCGGGUUUGGAAAAAGUGCAUGUGUAAGUCAGGUAGACGAAAAGUUGCUUAUAUAUAAAACCAUUUCAAAAAAAUAAUACGGCGGUUACAUAUAACUACGACGUAUAAAUUACAAAAUACGACAGUACGUUUAACUUCGGACGUGGUAAAUAAUUACGACAGUAGUGUUAUAGGUACCGUCGUAGUAAACUCAAAAUUAAAGUACAUAAGUAAUAACUCGCGUCAUGGUAGAUCAUUUAACACGUCGGUUUUAUUAAUGUACCGACGUGGAUUUAUGUAAUAUACGUCGGUAAUACCGACGUUGAUUUUACAAUUUAAACGGCGGUUUUUUUGUAAGGACCGCCGUUGGUUUUAAAAAUUUAUUCUAUAAAUUUGUUGCUUUCAUUCAUUUUCGGUUUACAUUUAGGGUUCCAAGUUCUUCCUCUCUCAGAGACACUAUCUCUCACAUCUCAAAGACAGUAAUUUGGAUGUCUUUCUCAAAGAGAAAUUGAGCUUACUCGCAUCAAAUCUAUGUCCACAAGAAGAAGCUUGUCAACUAGCCUUCUCACUUCCUUGAUCAAGCCUGAUAGGACACUUAGUGCUUCUGAAUACUCCUUGCUUUCCAUCAAAAGAGAUGCAAGCCUGGCCUCCACUCGCUGUCGAAGGAAAGUUCGCUUCUCAGGGAAAUCUGAAGAUCAGAUGUGCCUGAUCCUCUGCUUGAUUUUCUUGGCUAAGAAGAUCCGUCAGAUUUGUGAUAGCCUCUUCCUUUAUCCGUAGAGCUUCAGAAGAAGAAGAUGGGUUUCAAGAAUGCGAUAAAGAAUAGAAAUGGCUUCAGAUGGCCUCUAAAGCAUGAGCAAUCGAAUCAGUGCUUUGAACUAUACUUUGAACUAUACAAGUCAAUGCUUUGAACUAUACAAGUCCUGCAGAAAGAUAAAGGACCAAACUAUUAAAGAAACCCCAAACUAACACGACGCAAUAUUUGUUUUGCGACGUGGAAUCUUUUCAUUUAACGUCGUUAGGUUUAAUAUAACCGACGUGGAUUUGAAUUUUUAAAUUAUGAAUAGCAUUUUUUUUCCCGUGACCUUUCAGUUUAUUUUUCAAUUACAGUGCGUUAUAAAUAGAGUUUUUUUUCCGGAGGAAAUUUAAAAUGAAGGAAAUUAAUGUUCUGGAAUAUGUAAAAUUUCUUUUUUGGAUGACAGAUUUAAAUAAAAUAAGAAUAUAAAAACAACGACUGUUUUUGUAUUACUGUCGUCGUUUUUCGUCGUCUUAAGUAAGACUAAGACAACGUAAUAUAUUUGUUGAGCGACGUUGAUUUGUGUUUUAAACGUCCUUAGGUAUAAUAUAACCGUCGUUGAAAAUUGUCUCUCUGAUUGCAAAUUUGCAACGACGUUAGGUAUAAUAUUUGUAGAUACACAAACGCACACACAUCAUCAACUUCCAAAAAAUUGUCUCUCUGAUUGCAAAUCUGUGUCAUCUGUUAAGAUUAUGAUGUGGAACAAAGUUCCAUUUGGUAAGAUUUCGUAACCCUUGGGAUCUCAGAAAAAUCUGAUUAUGUCGGCGAUUUUCUAUAUAAACCGUCGUGGUUAUUUCAAUUCUUGUCAUUAAGUAGAUCUACCGACGUAGGAUAAGAAAAUCAAAGAAAAAAAUUGUUAACAAAAAUUCUUAUUAAGACGACGGUUUAAAUUAAAGGUAAGACGUAUAAAAUGAAUAAAUACGACGUUAAAUUUUAUAGUACGAUUUAAAGAUAACGUCGUAGAACUAUACCAGAAUGACGUCGAUAUAUUUAUAUUUUUCGUCGUUGUACAUUAAUUUAAUACGGCGAUAUUUUGUAUUUUAAAGUCGUGGAUUUGUUUGUAAUUAUACAGCGUCUUAUACGAAAACCUCGUCGUGUUAUUUUAUGAGUAAAAACGGCGGCUUUUAUUGAAAUCGUCGUCUUUACUUUCUACGUCGGUUGAUUCAUAACUUCUGUCGUUCUUUGUUGGCUUUGAUUUUACACUGCGGAAAUCUGUUUCAAAUAGACGUCGGUUGUUUAAUUAAGUACGUCGUUGUUUUUGAACAGCCAUUUGAAUCUCCAUUUUUUAGUUGUCUAAGGUGGUAUUACACGACGGUGUUUUUAGAACCGUCGUCUUUUUAAAAACCACGACGGUUUUCACUGAGACCGUCGUUGUUUUCUGGUCGUCUUUUUCACUUUUUGUAGUAGUGAAUGGAAUAGAAUGAUGGAAGUUAUUUUUUUUUUUUCCUACGUCUAAAGUAUACUUUAUAUAUAUAUAUAUAUAUUUAUAUUUAUUAUGGAAGUUAUAACCGUUUAAUUUUCAGUUUUUAUUUUCUAUUUAUUGUUUUAAUUUUUAUAGUUUAAUGUGUAUGGAGAUUUCAAGUAUUGGAUGUUUAUAAAGGGUCACUCCUCCUUCACAUCUGAAACAAACCACCAUCUCAUUUCUGUAUUUUCAUACUUUCAUAUAUUUUCUACUUUCCAGAUUAUUAUUUUUGGGCAACGGUUCUGUGACUUGGAGAUUUCUAUCCGAUUAUUAACAUGCUCAUAGCGGACCUUGAGCUUGCGUAUUGAGGAUAGUAUCUUGGAGCCUUGUAGACCUUUAUUACCUGCAUGUAGGGAGGCUAUAAAUGCUUUAAGUCAGCGUCUUUGACGUGCUUUUGCUUUCUUUUUUUUACUUAUUUCUUCGUUACUUUAUUUUUACUUUACUUUUAAAUCUUUAUUUUAUGUAUUAUUUAUAUUUAAAAAUUUUGAAUAAGAGUUUUACAGAAAAGGAAAAACACAAUUUCAAAUAACACAAAUUUCUCGUUUUUUGUUCUUAAAAAAGAAGAAGCAUUGAUUGGGGAGUUAUGGUAAACUCAGUUUCAAUGGUUGCGAUGAGAGGCGGUGGCGGCGAGGAGAGGACGAAGGCUUUGCUGCCGACGGGGUGGUGUGGGUGGGUGGAGACCUCGGCUGGCUGCUUGGUCCUGGGUUCUCCUUUAAUUCUCUGUUUUCUUUUUUCAUAUUUUUCUUUUUCUCUUAGAGUUAUUGAUGUUAAGUGAAUGGACAGAUGCCAAGAGAAGAUGUGAACCCAAUUAUAUACAGCUGAUUACAUAAAGUAACAAAUUAAUUAAUACUUGAGUGGAGGACAGGCUCGAGUGGAAGAAUUGAUUAAGGCUUGAGUGGAAGACAAACUUCAGUGGAGGAAAGUACAGAUAAGGAAAGCAUGCCACGUUUAACGGCUUUAUCUCAACAAAUUAGGAAUGCUGGUUUUGUUUCCUCGGUGGUUGAAAGGUGGUGCCUUGGCUCGGACAUCUCCCUAGUAAUUAAUCGAAGGUGGAAUCUUACAAGACAUUCAGCUGCUCAUUAGCUGAAUAUCUCGCUCUCUUUAAAGAGAUCGAAGCAAACUGCAAUUUGCAAUUUGUGUGAUUCAAGCAUGAAUAUCUGACAUAGUAACUAUACCAUUUGUUGGUUUGAUGAGAAAAGUUUGGUUAGCGAGGAUGAAACCAUAAAGUUCCCCAAAACACACAAAGAGCACGGACAAUUGCUAAGUUUAUCUUUGAGUUCACGCAUAUUUGCACAAAUGAGAUUACUCCAAGUAUGACUAUACCAUUUGUUGGUUUGAUGUGAAAAAUAUGGGCAACGAGGGUAAAACUAUACAAACACACACAAAGAAAGUGGACAAUUACUAAGUUUAUCUUUGCGUUAUUCAUCCGACCUAACUGUAAAAUAAAAAAGAUGAAAAUAUAUAAUGUUCACUACUUAGAUCUAUGAGCACUAAAGUCCUCCUUUUGGAAUUGCACAAAACGUCACUUUUGGUCUUUGACAAAUUUUUAAAAUAAAUGAAUUUUUUACUUAUUUGUGGACUGAAAUGCCUCAAAAAAAAUAAUGAUAAUUUGAAGAAUUUGAUAGAAAUUAAAAAAUAUCCUCAAAUUACUUGGAAUUGAAGACCACAUAGGCAAAAACACCACUUUGGACAAAGGCUGGUGAUAAUAGUCGAUAUCAUCUUUUGUCGGUCCGACCUAAAAAGAAGAAAAAGUUGAAAGCAUCUUGUUACCAUUUUUGCCAAUGUGGGUCCAGACAAUUUGAAGAAGUCCACCGACAAUUUCUCAAAAGCUAUUGUGUGAGUGUUUUGAAGCUAAACCAAUAUUAUUUUGCACAUACGACCCCACAUCCCCAUGUGAGGCUACAGAAGUGUUUCCAAAACGAAACAUGAUAUUUCAAAACAAAGCUAUGUAUAGAAUAGAGUCAUUUGUAUUUGCUUUCACAAUAACAUUUUAUUUGUGAAAGCAUUUUAUAUUUUUACAUUAUGAUGUUCUAACAAAUAAAUUGACUAUAUUUGGCCAACAGGGUUUAACCGAGUAAAAAAGUCCUUAUUUAUAAACUACUGGUUUCAUAUUUGAACUCUAUGACAUUCUCUUUACCCUUAAAGUUUAGACUAUCGCAUGUAUUAUAAAUAAAAAAAAACAAUUGGCUUAAUUUGAUAUAUUUCAUUUUAUGCUGGGUGCCGUUAUUAAGUUUUAUCCUUGUUUCUUGUUGAAAAAAAAUUGAUAAAAAAUAAGAAUUCCUAUAGCUAGCAACUUCUCCACCUUCCCUUCUUCGCAACUAGGGAUGCCAUUGCAAGGUCACCAUCUCAGAUUAAGUCCUCCUUUUAAAAUUGUGUUGUUAUUCAAAAUUGGAAUAUGCUGGUCAUUCUUGAUAUAAUCUGUUCCACAAAAAGAAAAAGAAAAAAGUUGAUAGCAUCUUUUACCACUUUGGCCACUUUUGAAGAUAUUCACCGACAAUUUCUCAAAAGCUAUUAAGCUGUACGUCCACAAUAUUAUUGCAUCCAACUUUGCAUAUACGACCCCAUCCCCAUGUGAGGCUACAAUAUUGUUAAAAAAAUAUGCUAACAUUGUCAUUCAGUAUGCUAACAUUGUCACUAUGUUUGCGAAUUGCAUAUUAUCUAGAACAUAAAGGCUUUGGUGUUUUGUAGAUCCUCAGGGAGCCAAACCCGUCUUUAUAAAAAUGGUCCUUAUGAUACUACUUUAACAACAAUAAAGUAUAAUAAACUAGGCCUUUGUAGUCACUGAACGAAUGUUUUGUCAUAUAUAUGACUAUUUAAAUGUAAUUACGGGAUUAAAACAUUAUAAUAAAUUGGAGUGAACCAUAACAUUAUAUAUGAUCCAAUCCUUUGCAUAUAUUUUUGUUCAAGACUUUGUUUUAGAAUGCUCUAUUACUAAUUUGGUACAGGUCUCUAAAAUCUAUGCCUUUAUGAGGCAACGUCUUUAUUUCUUUGGUUAUUCCAGUUUAGAAUAUUUGCACAAAUGAGAUGACUCCCAGCAUAAAGUCACAUUCAACCAAAAAGCAUGAAGUCACACACAAAAAGAAUACGGACAAUUGCUAAGUUUAUCUUGUAUCCUUAUUUUAUUGAUCCAACCCAAUUGAAAAAUUAAAAAGAUGAUAUAAUAUACUGUUCACUGCUUACAUCCAUGAGUAAAGUCCUCCAUUUGAAAUUGCGUGAUGAUAUAAAAUUGGAAUGAAAAAAGAAAAUCCUACAGCUAAAUUUGAUAUAUUUCCUUUUCAUUUUAUGCUGGGUGUUAAGUUUUCUUAUUUCUUGUUGAAAAGAAAAAUGAAAAGAAAUAAAUAAAUUCCACAGCUAGCCACUUAUCCACCUUCCCUUCUUCCCAUGUAGUGACAACAAGGGAGGCCUUCAAUCCAAAAUAAAGACAAGGGAUGCCAGAUCAGCAUCUCAGAUAAGUAUCCCAACCAAAACCAAUCAAAUAAUGACAUAUGUAUCUCUUUUUGUGUUUUGUUCUAUUUCUCUUUGAAUUAACUGCAUAGUUUCAUAAGCGUGUCCUCCUUUUGAAAUUGUGUAUUAUUCAAAAUUGGAAUUUGCUGAUCAUACUUGAUAUCAGCUAAAAAAGUUUCCAACAUCUUGUACCAUUUUUUUCCAGUGUGGGUCAUAACUUGAAGAAGCCCACCGACAAUUUCUCAAAAGCUAUUACCAUCCAACUUUGAAAAAUAAAAGUUUUCAAAAGUUACCCCAAACAACAGUCCUUGAAAGAGAGAGUUUUCCAAGGCUAAAGAUUACAAGGAUGUUAUUUACAGUCUCGACAACGACAAGCUUCAUAUUUGUUUACAAACCUGUAUUUUCAAGUUGUGCUAGCCUAGCUACUUGCAAAAAAUAUCCAGUUGGCACAUGCAUUAACGUGUGACAAGAAGUUAGUUAUAUUUGUAAAGUAAAAGAACGAAGUACAUAGCAUGUAAGUUGAUGCUAAAUAUUUGAUCAACAGAGUUAAACAUAAAACCACUGACAAUAUAACGUUGUUCACCAAAAAUUGCAUUUCGUUGAGGGUCAGUAGUGUAGGUUUCAAGAUACGAUUUAUUUUGUUAAAGAAUAUUCUGAUAUUCUAACAAUAAAAUUGGCUCAAUUUGAUAUGUUUCUCUCUCUUUUUUUGUUUCUGUUUUCCCUUUCAUUUGAUGCUUUGUUGUGCUAUUGCUAAGUUUAUCUUAGAGACCAGGGAUGCUUAGCAAGUUUCUUCACCUGCCCUUCUUCCCAUGUACUAACUAGGGAUACCAUGUCAGAAUCUUAGAUAAGAAUCCCAUGCUUUGUUGUGCUAUUGCUAAGUUUAUCUUAGAGACCAGGGAUGCUUAGCAAGUUUCUUCACCUGCCCUUCUUCCCAUGUACUAACUAGGGAUACCAUGUCAGAAUCUUAGAUAAGAAUCCCAACCCAAUCAAACUAUGACAUCUGUAAGUAUUCAAAAUUGGAAUUUGCAUUGUGAUAGUUGAGUGGAAGAAUCGAUUAAGGCUUGAGUGGAAGACAAACUUCAGUGGAGGAAAGUAAUUAAUUAGACCAUUAUUUGUUGGUUUGAUGAGAAAAGUUUGCUGGUGAUAGUCCAUAAUCUUUGUCCGACCAGAAAAUAAGAAAAGUUGUCUUGUACCAUUUCUGCCAGUGUGGGUCCCACCCACCCCAUGCGAGUAAUUUGAAGAAGUCCACCGACAAUUUCCCAAAAGCUUUGGCGUCCAACUUUGCCGACCCCAUCCCCAUGUGAGGCCAUAGAAAAGUUUUCAGCCACAAUCAAAUAAGGAACAGUCCUUGAAAAGAGAGGGUUUUCCAAGGCCAAGAUUACAAGUUCAUGUUAUUUACAGUCUCAAAAAGCUUCCAUACUUGUUUACAAACCUGUAUUUUCAAGUUGUGCUAGCCUAGCUAUUUGCAAAUCUUGGAAUAUUUUACUUCAUCCAAAUCCCUUGAAGUCUGCAGAGAAGAUAAAAGACAUGGCUUUGAUUGGAGAGGCUCUUAUCUCUGCUUCCGUCCAGGUGUUGUGCGACAGAAUUACUUCACCCGAGUUCGUUGACUUAUUUCGGCACAAGAAACUCGAUGAGCCACUCCUCAGGAAGCUGAGGACGACACUGUUGGCCUUGAACUUGGUGCUCAAUGAUGCAGAGGAGAAGCAACUUGUGAACCGAGAUGUGAAAAAGUGGCUUGACGAGCUCAAACAUGCUGUCUUUGAUGCGGAGGACUUACUGGAUGAGAUUGACACUGAAGCUUUGAGAUGCAAGCUGGAAGAAGGUGAAGAUCAAACUCACAAAUUUACCAAUAAGGUGCGGAACUUGCUCUUUUCUUCUCGUAGUCAUUUUUAUCAGAGCAUGAAUGAUAAGAUAAAAGAGUUACUAGCAAGGUUAGAAAACUUUGUACAACUGAAAAGUGCUCUUGGUCUGGGAGAAGUUGCUGGGAGGAAGGUUUCGCAAAGAACUCAAACAACCUCCUUGGUUCUUGAACCUUAUGUAUAUGGUAGAGAUGAAGUCAAAGAAAAGUUAUCAAAAGUUUUGCUAUCUGAUGAAGCAGGCAAGGAUCCUGUGUCUUUCCUCACCAUUGUUGGAAUGGGUGGGGUUGGCAAGACAACCCUUGCUCGAAUGCUUUACAAUGACGAUAAGGUGAAAGGGCAUUUUAAACUUAAAGCUUGGGCUUGUGUUUCAGACUACGAUGAUUAUAUUAAAAUUACUAAAACUCUCCUUGAGGCAGUCACUUCAAAGCCUUGUAACACGGCAAAUCUGAAUUUGCUUCAAGAAGAUCUAAGAGAGCAAUUGAAGGGAAGGAAAUUUUUAUUUGUGUUGGAUGACCUAUGGAAUGAGAAUAAUGAGGAUUUGAACUACCUUAGAGCUCUUUUUAUUACUUUAGGAACAAUGGGAAGUAAAGUCAUUGUAACAACACGGAGCAAAAAUGCAGCAUCUGUCAUGCAAAAUGUUCAUAUUCAAUACUUAGAACCAUUGUCGCAGGAGGACUGCUGGUUAUUACUUGCAAAACAUGCAUUUGGAAAUGUAAAGUGUAGUGCACAUUCAAACUUGGAAGAUAUUGGAAACCAAAUUGCACGCAAGUGCAAAGGGUUGCCUUUAGCUGCACAAACACUUGGGAGUUUGUUACGUUGCAAUAUGAAUUUCGAGUACUGGAAUAGAAUACUAAAUGAUAGUUUUUGGGACCACCCCUAUGAUAAAACUAACAUUCUUCCGGCUCUAGGGUUGAGUUACCAUUAUCUUCCUACUCAGUUGAAACGAUGCUUUGCUUAUUGUUCAAUUUUUCCAAAGGAUUAUGAGUUUGAAAAGGAAGAUAUAGUUCAAUUAUGGAUUGCAGAAGGUAUAAUUCCACAAGCUGAGAAUGGAAAUAGGAUGGAAGCAUUGGCUAGAAUAUACUUUGAUGAGCUGUUAUCACGAUCGUUGUUUCAAAAGUCAAGUAAAUUCAGCUUCAUUAUGCAUGAUCUCAUUAAUGACUUGGCUAUGUUCAUGUCUCAGGGGUUUUGCCUUAGGCUCGAAUAUGGGGUAUCCCAUGAAGUUAAAAGAGCUCGUCAUUUGUCAUAUGCUAGGGGAGCAUUUGAUGCUGCUCCAAGAUUUGAACCAUUAUAUGAGGCUAAAUGUUUGCGGACCUUCCUACCUACCUCUUUAAAUCCAUAUAGAUUUUAUGAAAGAUUUUUUGUAAGUAAAAAAGUUCUACAAGAUUUGUUGCCAUCACUAAGAUGUUUACGGGUGUUAUCAUUGUCACGUUAUCAAAAUGUUACUGUGUUACCUGAUUCUAUUGCAAACCUCAUUCACUUGCACUACUUGGAUCUUUCCCAUACCGCAAUUAAAAGGUUACCUGGGGUACUUUGCAAUCUCUUCAACUUGCAGACAUUACUAUUGUCAAAUUGUUCCUCACUCCAUGAAUUGCCUGCAGACAUUAGAAAAUUGAUUAAUUUACAGAAAUUGACAUUGGGCGGUUGUAGUUCUCUUAAUAAAUUGCCUGCAGGCAUGAAGGAGUUGACUAAUUUGCAUCAUCUUGAUGUCAGUGGAACUGAAAUAGUAGAGAUGCCGGUGCAAAUGGGUAGACUGAAAAAUUUGAGAACAUUGACUGCAUUUGUUGUGGGCAAAUCUACUGGGUCAGGCAUAAGAGAACUGAGCGAGUUCCCGCAACUUCAAGGAAAACUAUCAAUUUUGAAGCUACAAAAUGUAGUUGAUGCGAGGGAUGCACUGCACGCCAAUAUGAAGCUCAAGACAGAUCUCAAGGAGUUAGAGUUUUCAUGGGGUGCGCAGGAUGCUGAUGAUUCCCAAAAGGAGAAAGAUGUACUUGACAAGCUCCAGCCUUGCGUGAAUUUGGAGAAAUUAACCAUUGGAUUCUAUGGUGGAACCAAUUUUCCGAAUUGGUUAGGAGACUCGUCUUUUUCUAACAUACAAGUCAUGCAUCUCAGUGACUGUAGUUAUUGUUGGUCGCUCCCACCAGUUGGACGGCUGUCGGCACUCAAAGAGCUCUGUAUAAAAAGAAUGAAGUCUUUGAGGACGAUUGGCGUUGAAUUCUAUGGCAGAGAUGGAGCUUAUCUGACUCAGCCAUUUCGAUCUCUGGAGAAGCUAGAGUUUAUAGAGAUGCCGGAGUGGGAGGAAUGGGUACCAAGUGGAAGUGCAAGUGGUAGUGAAUAUGGUCCAGACUUUCCUCAUCUCCAGGAGCUGAUUCUAAACGAGUGUCCGAAGCUAAGAGGAAGUUUGCCUUGUGAGUUGCCUUGCUUGAAGAAGCUUACGGUGUAUGGGUGUAAGGUUUUACAUGAUGGAAGGGCCGCUACCGCAACUACCAAUAGUCUUAACUAUAAAUCUCUGGAAGAAUUGGAUAUAAGGGGUGGAUGCCAAACUCUGUUAUCAUUAUUAGAGACAAAGCUCCUGUCCCGACUUAAGAUUGAAAAUGUUGACGUACAGUGCUUGCCCAACUGCAAUCGUCUUCAACGUUUGACUCUUUUGAAUUGUCCAACGCUGUCGUCAUUCCCUAAAGAUGGCCUACCCACUACAUUGACAUCACUUACUAUACUCAAUUGUAGGAGAUUAGAAUUCCUACCUCAUGAGAUGUUGGCCAAAUUAACAUCGCUUGACUAUUUGGGCAUACAAAGUAGCUGUGAUUCAAUGAGGUCCUUACCGUUGGGCAUUUUUCCCAAAUUGACGACGCUUCAAAUUCUUGGUUGUGAGAAUCUGGAAUCUUUUUCCUUGAUUGAAGAAGAAGGAGCUGUUGAGAAUCUCAGCCAUCUCAAUUCCUUGCAAGUCAUUAACUGUCCAAAAAUGGUGUGUUUUCACGAGGGAGAAUUGCCCUUUCCCAACCUGAGUCACUUUGUAGUCAUUGACUGCGAGAAUUUGAAGUCAUUGCCCGAACGCCUUCACACCCUCACUGCCCUUCGAUCUUUGAAUAUAUGGAAUCUUCCGAAUCUGGAGUCAUUUGCAGAAGAUGGGGGUUUGCCUCCCAACCUCCGAUCUUUUAUCAUUAGGAAUUGUAAGAGACUGAGGGCACUUGACUCAGUGGGUUUGCAAGCACUUGUCUACCUUCAGAUCGAUGGAAGUGACCAUGUCUUGGAGACGUUGCUGCUCCCUACCACUCUUCACACUCUCUGCAUCUCUGAUCUAUCAACUCUGAAAUCUUUGGACGGAAAGGGUCUUGGACACCUCACUUCUCUUCAAACUCUAAAAAUUUACAGCUGUCCAAGUCUUCAAUGCCUGCCAGAAGAGGGUUUGCCGCCAUCUCUUUCUCAUCUGAGUAUCCGCUGUUGUCCUACCCUGGAGGAAAGGUAUAAGAAUAAAACGGGACAAGAUUGGGCAAAGAUAUCUCACAUUCCUUGCAUCGAGAUAGGGGAAGAAGUGAUCAUAUAAUAUGAGCUAUUCCAUAUUUCACGCUCAACCCUCAACUCUCAAAUCAAAGUCAGGUGAGGUAUGUGCCUUCUCUUACUUUAAAAAACUGCUUCUCUUCUUCUAAUUGAAUACAAAAACCAAAACACAUAUUCUCUUUCUCUUCCAAAAACCCAAAUACAUGUUGGACAUAGCCCAACGCUGUACUUUCAUAGGUACUGCAUGUAUAUUAUCUUAGUAUCAACAGGUGGUCUUAUGUGGACGAGAGAGAACAUUGAGGAAUUACAAAAUCUUCUUAGUGAAUUAAGCUUGCUUCAGCUCUGUUUGUCAUCCCUCUCAUUUUCUUUGUUAAGCCUUGGUUUUUUAUUAGGAGAUGAAUGCUUUUAUAUAUUGAUGUCGUAGUCAGUCUUCAACCACACUCCGUUUUUAGAAUUCGUUUAUGUUACUAGUGGAGUGCUGCUGUAUUUUAUAUUUCGUUCCUGUAAUGUUUGAUGUUUAGUUUGAGUAGUCUAGCUUAUCCAGUAGAUAACUCGUCCCCUGUUUUGUAAUGUUUUUGUUUCCUCUAAUGAAAGCAGGUUUUACUUAUCUUAAACUUUUAUUUUUAUUUUUAAAUAUCAGUAAUAACUGGGAAAGCUUGCAUCUCCUUAAAUUGCUCAUUCUUACAUCUUUUAUAGUUUGUCGAUCUUGGGCAAGUGGAGAGAGAGGCGUCAAGUGAUACACAACAACCAUUUUCUGUGAGCUAAUUUGAUAAUGAUAAAUGGUAUGCUUUCUUGUCUUAAGCUGUGUGUUCUGCAAUUAUUUAAAACAAAGAGUGCCGCGCUUCAAGUUCGAGGAAAACAGGUAUUUUAGGUUAGCUGUAUAAUUCGUGGUAAAUGCCUUUUUCUAAGGUUCAUUUAGACUCCUAUUACGAUUAAUUUGUUGUUUCUAAUUUGGACUUGUAGGAACAGACCAAAUAUGUUCACACGUGGCAUCGCUCAAGUCAUCAUCAUUUCCGACAGAAAAUCAGCCUUCAAGUGUCUGCUGAGUCAAUGAACCUUUCUAGAUAUAUCAAGUGCAAUGGAAAUUCAUGAGUUACAUAGAGAUUUGUAAACAUUUUGAAGAUUGCAACACCUGCAAGUGAGAUAGGUGGUGACGAAAUCAGAGCUGAUCUUGAAGCCUCUGAUGCCCCGGUUGUUGCAAGUUGCACCUGAGAACAUGUUUUUUUGGGGUAAAAAACUGGCAACAUGUUCGGAGCUGGCAAUUCAGUCAGUGAUGAAGUUGAGAAGCAAAGCUCCAGUAAGGAAAUUGGUCGAGGUCGCCACAGGGAUGAUUGAUGGUGAAAUGGAUGCUAUUUCUUAUUGCAGCCUGUUCUCAAAGUUCUUGUUGGCAAAUGCAAGAAAUGGAGUAUUUUGAUUGGAAGGAGAGAUAAUGACAUGUCUUGACAAUUCUAGAACAGCCCAUCUGAGUUCUUUUGUCAGGCUGCAUCAUUCAAUCCCGGCAAAUAUCCAGUUUCUGCUAAACAAUCACUUAUGGCAAGGCCAACUCUGGUAAACAAUUACAUUUUUUCUUUUGAGGAAUUUCACUUUGUCAUCAAACAGUAUUCUAAUGCAUUAUGGUAGCACUACACGCUUUUGUUGUAACAAAUUACAAUGAGGAAUUUGGAUUGAGGAAUUUGGAUUGAGUUUCUUUUAUGCUUUGUUUAGAUUAAAAAUAUCAGUUUCCUGUGUUAAUAACAUUACAGUUUUAUGGAAUGGUUUAUCUUGUUUUUCUGGACAAAAAUAUUUAGAGAAAUUUUCAGUAUAGCUUGUCCUUUAGAUUAAUUUCUCCUGUAGGGUGUUAAAGUUUGAUCUUUUUUUUUGUUUUUUGUUUUUUGUUUUUUGUUUUUGUUUUUUUUUGGUAAAUAAGUUUGAUCUAUUUAAAUUGAAUAGGGUGUGCAUGAGACAUUUUUCUUGGAAUAAUUUUUUAAUUGCAGUGGCAAAAAAAGGAAAAUAGUAGUCUUCAAAACGAAUCUUAAAUCCAGUUUCCUCUUCUUGGUCGUCACUCUUAGAAAUUGCUAACCAUAUAUAGCCUGGAGUAAGCACUGCACAAAACGGCAUACCAUCACAAAUCCUAAUUCCAUACAAUCUGUUGAAGGAAAAUGUGAUCCUCCUAAUAUAAUUUCACCACCACUAAUUAAAUAACGGGGUUUUAUUAUUUUAGGUUCGACCCAUUCGAGACGCAAGUCUCUUAAUUACAAUCCCUUGCUUCAAGGGAACACCCUUUGAUUCCAUCAUAAAGAAACAGAACGUUUGUGUUUGAUUUUGCAACUGCUCCCAAGUCCAACCUCAGGAUGCCUACGUAUCCCUUGCGGGAAUCAAGCCACUCGUAGUUCAAAGAAUCGCAAUGAAUAAAUGACUCAUUGCGAGGGAAAUUUGAUUUGAAUUGUACUGAGAAGUGUUUGAGUGAAUUUAGCUGAAUAAACCAGGGAUUCGAUAUGGGAUUGCAUUUGGGAUGGUUGCAUCUAGAUUGAAUCUCUAGAUUGCCUACGUACCCUUUCAAAGGGAUCAAACCAACGUAGUUCGGAAUUUGGAAAUCAACGGGCAAGUGUGGCCCACUAAUUGAGAAUUUCUGUUUAAGAGACUUGGAUUUAAUCUCAUUAGAGUUUUCAUGGGUAGAUGACCCAUGGAAAAUUGGAUGGUUUUGUACCACUUUCGUUGUUGUCCAUGUCCAAGAAAAAUAAUGAGUAAUUUUAAUUAUCCCAUUAAUUUUUCCUAAACAUUGACAAUUGCGUUUGGGGAUUUCCAUAGGUAGAUGACCUAUGGGAAAAUUUGGAAAUUAAUGGAUAAGUGUGGCCCACUAAUUAAGAAUUUGUAUUUGAGAGAUUUAGAAUUAAUCUCAAUGAAAUUUUGCAUGGGUAGAUGACCCAUGGGAAAUAUUAGAAAUUAAUGGGUAAGUGUAGCCCACUAAUUGAGAACUUGAAUUUGAGAGAUUUGAAUUUAAUCUCAAUGAAAUUUGUAUGGGUAGAUGACCCAUGAAAAAUUGAAUGGUUUUGUACCAUUUUUCUGGUUGUCAAUGUCCAAGAAAAAUAAUGAGUAAUUUUGAUUAUCCCAUUAAUUUUCCCUAAAAAAUUGACAAUUGCACUUGGGAAAGUGUUUUUUUUUGGCGAAAUCUGGUUAAGAUAAGCCAGAGAUUUAUACUUGAUUGCGGUUGCGUCUAUUGGGAUGUUAGACUGCCUACGUACCCUUGACGGGAUCAAACCGACGUAGUUCCAAAUUUAGGAAGUUAAUGGGUAACUGUGGCCCACUAAUUGAGAAUUUGUGUCUUUGGGACAAUUUGGAGAUUUUCAUAGGUAGAUGACCUAUGGAAAAAAUUGGAAAUUAACGGGUAAGUGUAGCCCACUAAUUAAGAAUUUGUGUUUGAGAUAUUUGAAUUUAAUCUCAUUUGGAAUUUGCAUGGGUAGAUGACCCAUGGAGAAAAUUGGAUGGUUUUAUACCAUUUUUCUUUUUGUCAAUGUCCAAGGAAAAUAAUGAGCAAUUUUGAUGAACCCACUAAUUCUCUACAAUUGACAUUUGCAUUUGUAUCCAUGCAUGAUUUGGAGGAUUUGAGAUUAAUGGGCUUUUUUGAUCAACAAAACCCAUUAAUCCAUAUUGAUGCUCCUUUAAAAUCUUUUGGGAGUUGAGCUUAAUGCUCCGCGUGUGACAAAUAAUUUAUUUGGACUGGAGUCACCGUCACAGCAUGGUUGAGUCACUUGGCACUCUUUUCUGAAUCGCUUCUUUGCCACAAUGGUUGAUUCCCACAUUUCUUAGUGUGGCUUUUGAAGUGGUUUUGUACCCCUUGACAUCUGGUGUGGUUUUGUACUACUUGAGUCUUCACUUGACGUUGAGUCUUCACUUGACGAUUUGAGAAUUAAUGGGCAUUUUUGGAAUUUAAGCCCAUAAUCCAUCAUUUGCGGACUUCAGGAAUUGGAGACUCAAAGGAAAUCUCAAACAAAGUGGCUGACGCCAUUUGACUUUUCUUCCCUUAUUUCGGUGCGAGUCUUCCUCUUCGUUUAUUUGUUGUUGCCAUGUGCAGCACCAAGCCAAUCCCUCUUUCGUCUUUCUUUGGUUUUGACUUGUUUUUUUUUUCUUUGUUUUUGGUUUGCUGCACAACACCAAGCUGCCAACAAGACGUGGCUAUCCUUUUUUCUUCAUUUUGUUUGUUUGUUGUUGCUAUGUGCAACAACACCAAGUUGCCAAAACGUGGCUGUCUUCAAUAACUUUUUUUUUUUUAGUUCACGUGUCUGUAUGGCAACAUCAGUGGUUUGAACAAGUUGGUUGUCUUGAGCCUUUCCUCCACCCCAUAUGACGAGCAGCAUUUCUUGACUUCCACAAGUCUGCAAAGGGAACUAGCCUUUUUCUUGAUGGUGGAUCAUUGUUAUCACAAAAAAAAUGAUAUUUGUGUGCCUUAUCCAGCUGGUUCUUUUCGGCUUGGUGCCAAAAGUAAAUGUCUUUUAAUUUGAUCAAGACACCCAAGGGAUAGAAAUUCUUCUCCAAGUGAAGUAUGGAUUAAACUCCUUAUUGAUUUGGAGCUGGUGGAUCAUCCAGUGAAGUAAACUUCUUGUCCACAUAGGAUUGGGUUGUCUUCCUUAUAAAAAGGAAAACAUGUGUGCACCAGCAAACAGCCACAAAACGAAAGUCUUAACAUUAUUCUUCGUUUGCUUCUCCAGACCAGCCCAUAGCUUUGCUCAAGCCACCUGUUGCACCAUCAAACAGAAGAGGAUUUCACGUGGUAACCCACAUGCCAUUCCUUAGUUCUUCUCUUUUAUUUUAUUUAUUGAUUGAACUAACUAGGAUUUUUUUGGCAUGGGCAGCAAUAGCUGUAGCAAUUGAAGAGCCUCCAAUUAAUUGGAUGCUUCCAGGCUGACUUGGAACCAAAAGAGACAAUUUCUCUUAUUGUCCUUUGUGUGCUGUAACCUUCCCAAGGUCAAUAACCCAAGACAAAGGGAAAGAGAAAUCAUCUUGCGUUUCACGUGGUAACCCACCCCUUGACAAAUGUCUUUUUUCUUUUGUCUGUUUCCAUGUUUCUGACCUCUUGUCUUCUCUUUUGUAUGUAGAGGCUGUGCUGCCAGCUUGAAGGCUUUGGAGUUUGGUGGAGGAAACCAUCUGUCAUUUUGCUUCAGAAACCCAAGAAAGAACUUGUGGUACUUGCUUUGCCAGCUCCUCUUUUUUUUUGUUUGCUAUUGCUGUACUUUUACCACUGCUCAUAUCCAUUUCUUUUACUCAAUUUCCAGUCAAAGAAACAUUCAAGAGGGGGAGGAGGGGCUGUGCGAUACAGCCCCCCUUUUUUUUUUAUUCCAUCACCUUUUUUUAUGUCCCUUGUUUUGUCUCUUUGCAUACAAAACACAAGAACAAAGUCAGCCACCAUUUUUUUACUCCAUUAUUUCUUCUUCCUUACUCCUUUUUUUCAAUCAAAGCAGACCAAUGGAACUAAUCUUUUUACCUUGAAAUGGCUCUUUCCUUUCUCAAGGCUGCUUGCUAAUUUUUCUUCUUGCUAUGACUGUUCUCCUUUCUGCUCUUUUUCUGUCCUCCUGCUGUUCUCCUCCCUUUCUUCCUUCUUUUUUUUUUCUCCUGCUGUUCUCCUCCCUGCGUUUUUUCUUUUUUUUUUUUUGUCCUCCCCUCGUGUCAUGCCUCUUAUAGAGGCUAUCUUAUGAUGAGUUUUAAUUCCAGCUGAUGACCACUUCUCAACUGAGAUACUUAUCUCUUGUUGUUUCAAAACCACUGAAAUACAUCUAUUUUAUUUUUAACUGUUUUUCUUGAUAAGAUUGCAGGGACAAAACAAAUUCAAUCCUAAACCAAGUCAAACUCUUGGCUAAUUAUUUUUUGUGAAAAUUUUCCGUUCAACAGAUGCCUUCUCAAGCGUUGUGCAUGAAAUGACUUUUUAUGUGCAACGCUUGAUAGCUUUUCCUUUGAACUGCGCAUCCCCUGACUUUUCUUGUAUUAAUUAAUUUUUUUUUUGGUUGAAAAAUUCAGGAAAUGGACGCGCAAGGUCGAUUCGGGUUUGAGCGAGUCUUUGAUUCGCAUGGUAGGGAAUUUGUCUCUGGCCCCCAAUAUGCGAGAUCACUGCCUUUGAGAUCUGUGAAGCUUAAUGUACCCCCUGAAGGCCGUGCAACCUGGUAUACCACCGCCUCCGUAAAUUCGGGGUAUCUUGAAUUCAAACCCCACGCAGAAGAUAAGGUGAUUUCAGUAUGCCAAACGCAUCGUGCUGUGUUUACCGCCCAUUGUUUGGAGGAUGUGAAUAAUGAAGUGGAUGGAGACAUGAAAUUCCAAAUCAAAGAUCUUCCCACACGUGAUGAUUUUUACCCCGCUUUGCAUAGAAUGAUCAAGAGUAAGUUGGAGUGGGGGCCCCAGUAUCAGUUCUAUGGCCGAGCCACUUUUGAAAUUGGCGUUGCGGAGUGGACAAAAUGCGUUAUGAGUGACUUUGGAGACAUAUUGCAUAAGGCAAAAAUAUAUUGUGCCGUAGCAAUUUCCCGAUAUCCUUACGAGUGUUGCCCAAAUAUAUGGAGAGCAUUUUGUGAAUUAUGGGGGCCCUUGUGCAACACCUUUCAUCAUGGCAAUGGUGAGAUGGGGAUUUCUCUCUAUGACAUGAAAGUCAUUUGUGGGUUGCCAAUCUUGGGAGAUGUCCAGUAUGAGGAAUUUAUUCCCCAAAAUAAAGACUUGCAACAAAAUGGAGCAUAUCCUCCGACUAUCACUGAACUUUUGAAGAUCCACUCCCAAUUAUGUAUUUAUCAUAAUCAGUCUACCGUCAGCUGGGCCCAAUGGAUUGGGCACUUUUAUCGGGCGAAGAUUAUUUAUAAGGCCUUUGGGAAUGGCAAGAGGAAACCUCAAGAUCAACUUUUAAGGGCUCCCGAAAUCACUUUACGUAUUUCAAAGGAAGGGGGGUUGGCUGCAUUCUUGGCACUUUGGUUGAGUAGAUUUGUGUUACCUUCCGUGGAUCGCAACGUCAGACCUGAAACUUUUCAUAUGGCAUGUUUGAUGGCACAAGGGGUCAGAGUUUCACUUGCACCACCUGUUUUGGGGUAUAUUUACCAUGGUCUUGGAGAAAUUGCCACUCACCCAGAAGGUCCCAGCUUGUCAAGUGCUUCCUUCCCAAUUCAUUAUGUUAUCGGUUGGUUAGGCGAACAUAUUCCAGGAUUGUACCUACCACAAACUGACAAGGAAUUUGUCAAAGACUACCCUUUUUUGGUGAGGUACGCGGGUGUUAAGCCAAAAGGUUUUAGGCUUAAUCAUGCCAGAAUUAUAUUCCGUAGUGACAAAGAAUUAAUCUAUCGCCCAACCACGUUUACUGAAGAUGAAGGCCGUUCCUUUGUUGACAAGAAGGCUCUAUCAGACAGAAAAUUUGAAUUUCUAGUUUGCACACGUUAUGCGCUUUUGCCGGUGAGGGUGAACAACAAUCUUUGGUUGGAACCAUACUACCCGAAUAGAUUCGCGCGUCAAUUUGGUUUUGACCAAGGUGUCCCUUCGAACAAGCUUUCCUUUAGCGUUCGUGACAGGUGCAAGUGUGGCAUGGAGGAUUUGGCCAUAGCACAAAUCACUUUACUUAGAAGAGAUACCACAGCUGGAUUUUAUAUCCCACGCUAUACUCGUGUUGGAGUUUGCACUUGGUGGUAUUGCAAAUGGUGGAUGGGGUCAUCAGCACCAUAUAUGGGAUUAUCUGUAGCUAGAAUUUUCUUGCCUUCUAGAAAACACCUCGAAAGGCACGAUAAUAUUUUUAUUGUUAGGCCGGAGAAUCAAGGCCCCACAAGUUGUCAAAAAGAGGUCUCCAACAAACGUCAUUCUUCGCGUAGUGACAACAACAAGAGUCCAAAACGAAUUCGAAGCCAGAAUCUUGACCAUCCAGUUGAUGAGGGAGUCAGUUCCUCCCAUGCCGAUGCUGCUACUCUUAUCAGAGACUUGGUUUUCCCCAUGAAUGACGGGCCAUCCGAACAAGGUAGUACCACGAACUUCCCAAGUGAAGCAGAUGAUGCUCAAGAAGUGAGCAAUGAACUGAAUGCUACAGUCGUUGCUCCUGAUGUGAGUAAUGAUCCAAAUGAGACAGACGAUAUUGUUGAAGAUGACUGCCCCUUGCCAUUGGUAGAAUACUUGCCCUCCUCACCUUAUGUGAAGAAUUUCAUUCACCGCAUUCUUGGUCCAAGUGUGGCUCCACGUAGGCGAAGGUUCAUUGCUGAGGAAAUGCAAGACAUCUUUGAUAGAAUUUCUUCUUCCAAAUCACCUAUAGACCUACUAGCUCACCGUGAUCAUAUUUUGGGGGCACUUGGUCUCUUGCGACCUAUGAUUAAUACCCUUGAAUCAGGCCAGGAUGAGUUUCAGGAAUUUGAAACGACUAUCCAACACAUUUUCGAGUUGGUCACUUCAUUUUCCAAGAACGUUGCCUUUGUGGGAGAACAUGCCCAUCUAGAUGUUGACCGCAUCAAUGCUUUGAUCACCCAAUAUGAGCAGUGCUUCGCUGCCAUAAAAACCAUGAGCGUGCAUCUAAUAGAACUUAAUAGUGAGCUUGCUGAUGUGAAUGCCACAGUGGUUGAUGUUGAAAAGGCAGAGAAGGAAGCUGAAGAGGCAGCAAGACGAGCUCAUGAAAUGCGACAACAGUUUGAAUCGAAGACAAGUGCCCUUAAAGAACGUGCAAACGAUUUGCAGCAAUCUUUAGACCAACAAUUCGAAAAGGAAAUUGGGCUUCGACAAGCUAGAAUUGAUGCCAAUGAAGCAAUGCUCCCAAAACUCAUAGAGGCACGGAACUUAGGCUUCACGCAAGAGAAAGAAAUUCGCCAGUUAGUUAGCUCAUUGAUUUCCCUUUGCAGUAGAGUGGAGUAGACUCCUUUUUCCAUUUUCUUUUCUUCUUCUUUUUUCCUUACCUCUUAGUUAUUGUAAACUCAUUCGUCCACCUUAACUAGUAUUGAAUGAAAAUUUUUUUAUUUUUUUAUUUUUUUAUUUUUUUAUUUUUUUAUUUUUUGUAUACAUACUCAUGCUAAUUUUUUGAGCACUUACAUCAUUUAGCAAAUUUGCCGCAUACAAAACUUGACUGGAUGAUAGGGUUUUUUUGGUGGUUUACGACUGCACUCAGCUUUUUUUACUUUUAAAAAAAAAGCUAAGUUGCCUACGUACCCUAUAAAGGGAUCAAGCCAUACGUAGUUCACCCCUUGAUUCUCAGGGGAAGAAAGGGACAAAUGGAUUUUGUGGCCGCAUCUAGUGGCAAGACUAGACUGCCUACGUACCCCUUUUGAGGGAUCAAGCCGCCGUAGUUCCUUUCCUUGGACUGCCCUCUCGGGUUUUCAGCCCACGAAGGUUUUUUUUUUUUUUUUUUUUUUUAGCUCUAACUUUUGCUUGGACCGCCCUUUUGGGUUUUCAGUCCAACGAGCCUUUUUUUUUUUUUUCUCCAUCAGGCAUAAAACUUCUUGACGAAUUUCCCAUUCACACAAGGGUAUACGCACUUGCCUUCGGCGUUUGACAACUCAUAGGCACCCCUGGAGAAAACCUUAGUAAUGACGUAGGGCCCCUCCCACUUGGGUUCAAACUUACCGUGCAUUUUCCUGGUAAUGACAAAUGGUCUUCGGACAGUUAAAACUAAAUCUCCAAUUGAGAAAGAUCUGAACUUAACUUUUCUAUUGAAUGCCCCUGCAACCUGAGCUUGAUAUAUUUCGAGCUUUUGUUGAGCUGCCAGUCUUUUCUCAUCGAGGGCUUCCAGCUCUGCCAGUCUCACAUAUGCGUUUUCGUCAGGUGUACAUCCUUAACGAUGGCAAUUGGACUUCUAACGGUAGAACAGCCUCGGAGCCAAACACCAAAUUGUAGGGUGUACAUCCUGUUGAAUUGCGUAUGGUCGUCCUAUAAGCCCAUAAUGCUUCAGGGAGGCGCUCAUGCCAGUCUCUUUUAUUUCCUGAGACCGCCUUCUUUAGGAUGUUGCACAGUACCUUAUUGAAAGCUUCAGCUUGACCGUUUGACGACGGAUUGUAACUCGCGGAAAACGAGUGUUGAAAUCUAUACUUCUCGCACAACUUGGUCAUGGACUUGCACUUGAAAUAUAAUGCAUUGUCGGAUAUUAUCUUCGAUGGAACCCCAUAACGGUAGAUGAUAUGAUUUCUUAUGAAGUUUGUGACAUCGUCUGCUCGUACCUCCUUUAAAGGAAUCGCUUCAGCCCAUUUAGAGAAGUAAUCGGUCGCGGCCAAGAUGUACUGAUGUUGACGUGAUGACUUAGGCUUUAUCAUGCCAAUAACAUCUAAUCCCCAAGCUUCAAAUGGCCAAGACAAAGUAGUCGGAUGUAAUUGUUGGGGUGGCUGGUGAAUAAAGUCUCCAUGUAACUGGCAAUCUUUGCAUGUGGUUGCAAAUUUUAUUGAGUCUUGGACCAUUGUUGGCCAGUAAUAACCCAAUCUCUUCAGUUGGUUUGAGAGUUUUGGACCAGCUUGAUGAGCACCGCAAGUGCCAGCAUGAGUAUCAUGAAAGGCCUUAGUUGAGUCUUGUUUCGACAGACACCUUAACAACAUACCAUCAAAUGAUCUUUUGUACAAGGUGUCAUUUAGGUACAGAAAUUGAGUGGCUCUGCGUCGGACUUCAGCCUUUUUCCUUGAGUCAUUUGGCAACUUGCCUUGUCGGAGAUACUCGAUUAUGGGAUGGCGCCAAUCAAGAUCAUCUGGUUCCCCCUCACAUUCGGAAGCCGUAAUGACGUUUGAAUCAACAACUUCCUCAAUUCUCUCUAUAGCUGGGAGUAGUAAGUGACGUUCCCCAACAGUGAUUUGGAUAUCCCUUUCAUCAGGUAGUGUUAACGAUGCAGCCAAAUUAGCUAGUGCAUCAGCUUUAUCAUUUUCCGACCUCGGGAUGUGACUAACAUGGAUGUCUUGGAACUGCGACAUGAGAUACUUUGCCCUUUCAUGGUAUGGGACGAGAGUAGUAUUCCUGACAGCGUAUUGGCCAUUCAACUGUCUAACGACUAACUGUGAAUCACCGUAUGCUUGCAAAUAAUCAAUAUGCAUCUCGAGAGCAAUUUCAAGGCCAAUGAUGAGUGCCUCGUAUUCUGCCACAUUAUUUGAACAUAAAGCUAGUAAAGAGAAUGAGUAUGGGAUUAAGCCCCCAGACGGCGUGAUGAAUACUACUCCUGCCCCAGCUCCUUUUCCUCUUGCUGCCCCAUCAAAAUAUAACUGCCAUAUAAGUGCUUCUGUCGUGAACACCUCUUCGUCGGGCAAAUCAUUAGAUAACUCCAUGUUGUCAGGAGUAGGAUGAGCAGCCAAGAAAUCAGCAAGAGCCUGCCCUUUGAUUGCCUUUUGUGGCACAAACUUUAUCUCGAACUCGGAGAGAAGGAGAGACCACUUGGCUAUUCGCCCAGAGAGCACAGGCUUGGACAUUAAAUAUCGGAGUGGAUCUGCCUUGGAAAUCAAAAUGACUCUAUGAGAGAGGAUGUAGUGUCGUAGUUUCUGUACAGCGAACACCAAAGCGAGGCAGACCUUUUCGAUCGGGGUGUAAUUUUGUUCUGCCCCUACGAGAGUUCUACUCAAGUAAUAUAACGCAUUUUCCUUUCCAUCCUCGUUGUGUUGGGCGAGCAAUGCACCUAAUGAGCGUUCUAAUGCCGCAAUGUAUAGGAUUAAAGGCUUCCCUUUGAUUGGCGCCAUUAGAACUGGCGGAUUUAACAGGUAUUGUUUAAUGCUUUCCAAAGCAUUUUGGCAUGCUUGAUCCCAUAUAAACGGAACAUCCUUCUUCAUUAGCCUUGAGAAUGGUUGACACCUUCCAGAGAGAUUUGAGAUGAAUCAUCGUAUGUAAGCUAGUCUUCCUUGCAGCCCCCGCAGCUCCCUUAAAUUUCGAGGGGGAGGCAUCUCACGGAUUGCCUUGAUUUUUGAGGGAUCAAUUUCAAUUCCACGAUGUCGGACGAUAAAGCCAAGGAAUCUACCAGAACUUACCCCAAAUGCACAUUUUAAGGGGUUCAUUUUCAACUGGUGCUUUCGGAGUCUAUCAAAAACUCGUUUUAAGUCCCUCAAAUGAUGUUCUCUUUUUCUGGUUUUGACAACCAAAUCAUCAACGUAGCAUUCAAUGGUAUUGUGAAGCAUGUCAUUGAAAAUUACCGUCAUGGCUCUUUGGUAAGUCGCCCCUGCAUUUUUCAACCCAAAAGGCAUCACAGUGUAGCAAUAUAUUCCUUUUGGAGUGCGGAAGGCAGUUUUCUCUUGAUCCUCUGGAGCCAUUUUUAUUUGGUUGUAACCUGAGAAUCCAUCCAUAAAUGAUAGAGCACCGAAACCGGUUGUUGCGUCUACCAAUAAUUCUGUAAUUGGGAGUGGAAACUCAUCUUUUGGGCAUGCAUCAUUGACGUCUCUAUAGUCCACACAUAUGCGUAGUGCCCCAGUUUUUUUGAGGACUGGGACGAUAUUGGACAACCAGGUGGGAUAUUGGACCUCUCUGAUAAAACCCGCGGCAAUAAGCUUGUCAAUCUCGAUUUCUAUUUGGAUUGUUAGCUCUGGCCGAAAACGGCGUGGAGCUUGCUUCACCCAUCGAGCCUCAUCCGGUAUCCCAAGUUUGUGAACUGCAACGUUUGGGUCUAAACCUGGCAUGUCUUGAUAACCCCAUGCAAAUACAUCUCGGUACUCUUGUAACAGUUGUGUGUAUUCUUCUAACUCUUGCGGUGUUAACAAAGCACUGACAAAGAUAGGCUUUGGGUUGUCAACCGUACCGAGAUUAAUUUCUUGCAGAUCAUCAAUUGUGGCUUGACCUCCCUCCUCCAUUUGUGGUGGAGCUGGUUGGACUAUGUCGAUGAAUUCCUCAAUAUCUUGAGGACUAUCAUCUUGGUCCACUGUUUCUUCGCAAGAGGUGCAAUUGACCUGGACAAGGUCAUCCUUUAUUUUCACCCUUUUGAUCGUUUCGAUCACAGCUUUCUCUUGACUCUUAACUUUCCAUUUCCUUUUAUUAUGGACCUUUCCUUGUUGAGAACUGGAAGGGUUCUCCAAGCGUUGAAAGACUGAGAUGCGGGGUGGUUGUCUGCCCCCUAGGCGUUUGAACACGGAGAUGCGAAUCGGCUUUAUAUUCACCUCAUCUUCUCUAAACAUGGCUUGUUCCAUAUUAGUGAGUAUCUCAGGCUCGGAGGCUUCUAGAUGUGGCCUUCGAAGAGCCACUUUGAGUCCACUACUCUCAUUUUGAACUGUGAGGCCAACAUUGCUUUUCUUUGCUUUUCGGCCUUUAAGUUCUAUCUUUAAUGGAGCAGAUGUUGUUUCUGACAAUGAUGCCUUUUUGUGAAAAACUACACGUUUACUUGGGCCAUCGUUUUUGCCAAAAGUAGUCUAAAUGACCAAACUGCCCCCAGGGAUAGACUGAUUGAUCUUACGAAGAGGACGAGUGUAACUUGCUGUUAUCAGUGACUCCAUUGUUUGUUUCAAUGAGCUUGUUUCCUUUUCACUAGGCUCCUUUUUUGAAGUCUUCACAAUUAUCUUUGGCUUGGGAGCCCUUGCAGUCGGGACUUCUCCCACUUUUGAGGAUGACGCACCACGAGGUUUUAGCUUCACUCGGAUUACUUUUGAAGGUUUAGAUACUUCUACAUUUUGGGCUUUUCCUGUUUCAACAGUCGCUCUUUUCUCUUUAUCAACCUUUGAUGGCUGUGUAAAUGAGAGACCAAGUGGGCUGUAAAACUUCGCAUCAGAGUAAUUUACCUCUUCCCCUUUGAACGGGUCCAUGUCAGCUGAAACACUCUUGACUUCCCCAUCCACCAAGUAUUUAAAGCACUGGUGAAGUGUAGAAGGGACUACGCCAUAUGUAUGGAGCCAUGGACGUCCUAGCAGGACGUUGUAUGAAGUAUCAGCCUCGAUCACAUGGAAUAGGGCGUCUGAAUAUAAGUCUCCUAUUUCCAUUUGCAAUGCGAUAGAGCCCAUGGCCUUUUGCCCAAGUUGAUUGAACCCUUGAAUAGUCAACAUAGAGGGAGACAACUGUCGGGCACUCAUCCCUAUAGCAUGGAGCGUCUUUAAUGGGAUAAUAUUCACGGCCGAACCACAAUCUAACAAGAUUCGAUUAAUGGUUGUGCCUCCAACUUCGCCAGUGACAUACAGAGGUCGAUUAUGGAAUUUGGACCCAAGUAAAAAGUCAUCUUCACCAAAGGUAAUUGCUGCCAGACAUGAUGCACAAAACUUCGAUGUUUCAGUUGUGUGGACAUCUGCUGAUUUGAAACAUGACUUAUACAAAUCUGGGUUCAUUAAAGCCAUUACAAGUGCCUCCCUAAGUUCCCUCGACAUUUGUAAAGCGUCGUAGACACUUAGAGGAGCGGGGAUGCGCUUAAGAUGAGCUAGAAUAUCAUACUUAACUAUAUGUGAUUGUGAUGGCUCCUUUGCUUUACUAGUAUCGGGCUUAGAAUCCUUUGCUUUUGGAGAGGAAGGUGGAACUUCCCCUGCAACAGUUUUUCCUGACAAGAAGACCUUAAUCUCUUUCGCCUUUGGCUUCUUCUCGGUUUUAGAGGGAUCAACUUCCUCAUUUUGUUGUGCUUUAUCAGCAGAUGGGAUGCUUCGACCGGAGCGGAGAUUAACCUCAUCAACUUCUGUGUCGACCUCAUAUUCCUCCAAAGAAACCAUGUUGCAUUGAAUGAUUUCUUCCUCACCUUCAGAUUCACUCGAGAAAAACUCAACUGGCAAAAACUCAGUGAGUGUGACAGGGACCCUUGCGGGUUGCUCAUAUUCAUCUUCUUGGGUGAUUUGAACUUUCUUUUGCACUCUCUUCUUCCUCCUCUUAUUUUUCAAGGGUGGCAUGCCUCGAAUCUUGACACCCGGACGAGUCGUAAAUCUGUGAUUGGGUGGGAGAUAUUUAGCCAUGUGCUUGGCCCUUUUAACAAAUGUCGUCCACCCCUCAGCAAAUUCGUCGGUUGAAGAAUCUUCCCAUAUUUCUAGACUAGGGGCAGCCACGAGCUCAUGAAGAGUAGGAAUUUGAAGAUCAUUAGACCAUGGUGCCUUCGGACAAGUAUGUACGAUUGUACCCCGAUGGUCGGUACUAAUACCUGCAAUUUUCGCUCCAUCUAGUAAUGCAGUGAUGGGUGUGAGCUUUUCUUCUAUCAUAUUUGCCGUAGCUGAAUGAUGUCGGGAAGAGGAGUCUAUCUCCAAGCCGCCAUUGUUGAGGAGCUCUUGGAUUUUAUCCUUCAGGAUAUAACAAUCCUUGAGCGUAUGACUGACAAGGCGAUGAUAUCGACAAUACCUAGGGUCAUCUGUCUUGUUGGCCUCAGCAGGACGUUUUGAUUCUGGCAGAGCAAUAGCAUUGGAGGCCAGAAGUUGGUCAAAGAUUGCUUCUACAUCAUCAUCAUCAAAAGAAUAUUUGACCUCUUUGCGUUCUUUAAGAGUUAGCCUUUUAGGUGGGUCUUUGUUUUGGCCUUUGUCAUUUUUCUUUUCAGUUUUGACGAAAGUGGCCAACGACUCUCCUUUCAUGGACUUCUUGUCAUUUUUCUUUUCCCCAAAUUGAAUUUUUUGGGACGCGGACUUUUGGCGAGCAAUUUGUCUUUCAACAUUGCUCGCCUUUGACACCAAAGCGUCAAAUGAUUAGGGUUCAGCAGUGGCGACAAAAGUCGCAAUGUCUGGCAUGAGGUUAUUGUAGCACAUUUGCACUGCUGAUAGCUCAGUAAUUUUCUCAGGGCAUUGAAGAUUGAGACUCCUCCAUCUCAUAAUAAAGUCAUUAGCACUUUCCCCUGGCUUUUGGGCAGUUUGAGCUAGGUCCAUGAUCGAGACCUUCUUUUUAGAACUGACAAAUUGUGCCAAAAAUGCUUUUUGCAUGUCGUCCCACGUCAAGAUAGAGCCUGGCGGUAGCUGUGUAUACCAAGUGAAAGCUGAUCCUUUUAGGGAUUGGACAAAUUGACGCACCAGGAGAGCGUCUGACUGAGAUGUCUCGCCACAUGCUAAGUAAAAAUGUGCCAGAUGUUCAUGGGGUGAGCUAUUUAUGCCAUCAAAUUUAUCAAAUAUGGGCCGUUGAUAACCCUUCGGGAAUGGUAUGGCGUCAUAGUGAGAAGGGAAGGGUUUUCGGUACCCUUGAACAGGAAGCGCUAUGGACAAUUGGAACUCACGAAUCCCCUCAGCAAUUAAUGCCUUCAUGUCGUUUGGGGAAAUUGUGCUUGUAGAGCUCUCUGCUUUUUCCUCUUUUGUUUGUUGUUCAUGGGUCAUCGAUUCAUUUGUUUUGCCCCUGUCUUGCUCUCCUAUGACGGCUUUCCCUUUCAACUUAGCUGAUAGUAACGCUAUUUCCGCGUCUUUCUCUGCUAACUUCUGCUGCAUUUCCUUUCGCAAGUCUUGCAUCAUCUCUUGGAUUAAGGGCAACUGGUCCUCAGUAUUAGAAGUACCAGUCAUCAUGACUUGCAUGCUUUCCACCCCGUCAUGAAGUUUGGCCCCUUGGGAUACUACACAAUCAUUCUCUUGAUUUUGAGAUACAGGAUCAUCAUAAAGAGGAUUCCAUUGCAAAUAAUCGUCCAAACGGGUUGAGUUUGGAGCGGAUAACUCGGGAAUAGUCAUCCCCAUCAUGUCUCGGGAUUUGGAACGAGUCAAUGGACCCAUGUAGGGCCUUGACAGCUCUUGAGAUUUCGGGACUCCCCCUUGUGAUACGGGAUUUUGAUCCCUUGAAGCAUCAGUUGUCGUCACCUUUUGCAUACGCCUUCUUUGUGGAUGAGGUAUAUUCACCACCUUCUUCUCCAUGAUGAUGGCUUUGUUUUUACCCUUAGAAGAGCACGGGUAAACCUCUUGUGAUAUGGAUUCCACAGCGUGGGUUUUUGGACUUGACGGAGGUUCGGCCCCCUGGGCCUCAGCGUUCUCCACAGAGUCGUCCUUUUGACCUUUCUCACUAGUUUCAUUGGUGGAAGUCAUCAGAACAGAAUCUGUAGGAUAUAGGUCGACCGGGAUUGAUCCAAUCAUGAUUUGGACCAAUUGGGUAGCAUUUGUCCUCUUGGAAGUCGGCACAGCCAGGGUGCUCGAGGUGUUCUUGCCUUCAGUCACAAACGGGCUUGUCCCCGAAAGCUCAACCAAAACUGCCUCAAUAGACUCCCUCUUUGCUUCUUUCUUUCCUAAAGCACGCGCAGCCCUCUUUCUUGCAUUUCGGAGAGCGUUCUUGGAAGGUGCUUUCUUCAAUUGGGUCUUGACAACCUUAGGAGUGACCUGAGGCUUGACCCUCUGAAUGGGCUUUGGAACGGCGCACUUGAUGAGGCUCUCACCAACAAUGAAAGUCUUUUUGAACCCCACUCGUUUGGUGCACGCAUUCCAGGUAGCUUCGAUCUUGUGGAAGAAAAUUGUAACUUGUGGUGCCAUCGAAUAUGGUUUUGUUAACCUGUGGCAUACACAAAAAUAAAAACAUUAGUCACUUUAUGAUUGGAGAUGAAAAGGUAAAUGGAUCCCACCGGGCGUGCCAAAAAUUAUGUUGAAGGAAAAUGUGAUCCUCCUAAUAUAAUUUCACCACCACUAAUUAAAUAACGGGGUUUUAUUAUUUUAGGUUCGACCCAUUCGAGACGCAAGUCUCUUAAUUACAAUCCCUUGCUUCAAGGGAACACCCUUUGAUUCCAUCAUAAAGAAACAGAACGUUUGUGUUUGAUUUUGCAACUGCUCCCAAGUCCAACCUCAGGAUGCCUACGUAUCCCUUGCGGGAAUCAAGCCACUCGUAGUUCAAAGAAUCGCAAUGAAUAAAUGACUCAUUGCGAGGGAAAUUUGAUUUGAAUUGUACUGAGAAGUGUUUGAGUGAAUUUAGCUGAAUAAACCAGGGAUUCGAUAUGGGAUUGCAUUUGGGAUGGUUGCAUCUAGAUUGAAUCUCUAGAUUGCCUACGUACCCUUUCAAAGGGAUCAAACCAACGUAGUUCGGAAUUUGGAAAUCAACGGGCAAGUGUGGCCCACUAAUUGAGAAUUUCUGUUUAAGAGACUUGGAUUUAAUCUCAUUAGAGUUUUCAUGGGUAGAUGACCCAUGGAAAAUUGGAUGGUUUUGUACCACUUUCGUUGUUGUCCAUGUCCAAGAAAAAUAAUGAGUAAUUUUAAUUAUCCCAUUAAUUUUUCCUAAACAUUGACAAUUGCGUUUGGGGAUUUCCAUAGGUAGAUGACCUAUGGGAAAAUUUGGAAAUUAAUGGAUAAGUGUGGCCCACUAAUUAAGAAUUUGUAUUUGAGAGAUUUAGAAUUACUCUCAAUGAAAUUUUGCAUGGGUAGAUGACCCAUGGGAAAUAUUAGAAAUUAAUGGGUAAGUGUAGCCCACUAAUUGAGAACUUGAAUUUGAGAGAUUUGAAUUUAAUCUCAAUGAAAUUUGUAUGGGUAGAUGACCCAUGAAAAAUUGAAUGGUUUUGUACCAUUUUUCUGGUUGUCAAUGUCCAAGAAAAAUAAUGAGUAAUUUUGAUUAUCCCAUUAAUUUUCCCUAAAAAAUUGACAAUUGCACUUGGGAAAGUGUUUUUUUUUGGCGAAAUCUGGUUAAGAUAAGCCAGAGAUUUAUACUUGAUUGCGGUUGCGUCUAUUGGGAUGUUAGACUGCCUACGUACCCUUGACGGGAUCAAACCGACGUAGUUCCAAAUUUAGGAAGUUAAUGGGUAACUGUGGCCCACUAAUUGAGAAUUUGUGUCUUUGGGACAAUUUGGAGAUUUUCAUAGGUAGAUGACCUAUGGAAAAAAUUGGAAAUUAACGGGUAAGUGUAGCCCACUAAUUAAGAAUUUGUGUUUGAGAUAUUUGAAUUUAAUCUCAUUUGGAAUUUGCAUGGGUAGAUGACCCAUGGAGAAAAUUGGAUGGUUUUAUACCAUUUUUCUUUUUGUCAAUGUCCAAGGAAAAUAAUGAGCAAUUUUGAUGAACCCACUAAUUCUCUACAAUUGACAUUUGCAUUUGUAUCCAUGCAUGAUUUGGAGGAUUUGAGAUUAAUGGGCUUUUUUGAUCAACAAAACCCAUUAAUCCAUAUUGAUGCUCCUUUAAAAUCUUUUGGGAGUUGAGCUUAAUGCUCCGCGUGUGACAAAUAAUUUAUUUGGACUGGAGUCACCGUCACAGCAUGGUUGAGUCACUUGGCACUCUUUUCUGAAUCGCUUCUUUGCCACAAUGGUUGAUUCCCACAUUUCUUAGUGUGGCUUUUGAAGUGGUUUUGUACCCCUUGACAUCUGGUGUGGUUUUGUACUACUUGAGUCUUCACUUGACGUUGAGUCUUCACUUGACGAUUUGAGAAUUAAUGGGCAUUUUUGGAAUUUAAGCCCAUAAUCCAUCAUUUGCGGACUUCAGGAAUUGGAGACUCAAAGGAAAUCUCAAACAAAGUGGCUGACGCCAUUUGACUUUUCUUCCCUUAUUUCGGUGCGAGUCUUCCUCUUCGUUUAUUUGUUGUUGCCAUGUGCAGCACCAAGCCAAUCCCUCUUUCGUCUUUCUUUGGUUUUGACUUGUUUUUUUUUUCUUUGUUUUUGGUUUGCUGCACAACACCAAGCUGCCAACAAGACGUGGCUAUCCUUUUUUCUUCAUUUUGUUUGUUUGUUGUUGCUAUGUGCAACAACACCAAGUUGCCAAAACGUGGCUGUCUUCAAUAACUUUUUUUUUUUUAGUUCACGUGUCUGUAUGGCAACAUCAGUGGUUUGAACAAGUUGGUUGUCUUGAGCCUUUCCUCCACCCCAUAUGACGAGCAGCAUUUCUUGACUUCCACAAGUCUGCAAAGGGAACUAGCCUUUUUCUUGAUGGUGGAUCAUUGUUAUCACAAAAAAAAUGAUAUUUGUGUGCCUUAUCCAGCUGGUUCUUUUCGGCUUGGUGCCAAAAGUAAAUGUCUUUUAAUUUGAUCAAGACACCCAAGGGAUAGAAAUUCUUCUCCAAGUGAAGUAUGGAUUAAACUCCUUAUUGAUUUGGAGCUGGUGGAUCAUCCAGUGAAGUAAACUUCUUGUCCACAUAGGAUUGGGUUGUCUUCCUUAUAAAAAGGAAAACAUGUGUGCACCAGCAAACAGCCACAAAACGAAAGUCUUAACAUUAUUCUUCGUUUGCUUCUCCAGACCAGCCCAUAGCUUUGCUCAAGCCACUUGUUGCACCAUCAAACAGAAGAGGAUUUCACGUGGUAACCCACAUGCCAUUCCUUAGUUCUUCUCUUUUAUUUUAUUUAUUGAUUGAACUAACUAGGAUUUUUUUGGCAUGGGCAGCAAUAGCUGUAGCAAUUGAAGAGCCUCCAAUUAAUUGGAUGCUUCCGGGCUGACUUGGAACCAAAAGAGACAAUUUCUCUUAUUGUCCUUUGUGUGCUGUAACCUUCCCAAGGUCAAUAACCCAAGACAAAGGGAAAGAGAAAUCAUCUUGCCUUUCACGUGGUAACCCACCCCUUGACAAAUGUCUUUUUUCUUUUGUCUGUUUCCAUGUUUCUGACCUCUUGUCUUCUCUUUUGUAUGUAGAGGCUGUGCUGCCAGCUUGAAGGCUUUGGAGUUUGGUGGAGGAAACCAUCUGUCAUUUUGCUUCAGAAACCCAAGAAAGAACUUGUGGUACUUGCUUUGCCAGCUCCUCUUUUUUUUUGUUUGCUAUUGCUGUACUUUUACCACUGCUCAUAUCCAUUUCUUUUACUCAAUUUCCAGUCAAAGAAACAUUCAAGAGGGGGAGGAGGGGCUGUGCGAUACAGCCCCCCUUUUUUUUUAUUCCAUCACCUUUUUUUAUGUCCCUUGUUUUGUCUCUUUGCAAACAAAACACAAGAACAAAGUCAGCCACCAUUUUUUUACUCCAUUAUUUCUUCUUCCUUACUCCUUUUUUUCAAUCAAAGCAGACCAACAGAGGGAGGGAGGGCUGUGCGUCACAGCCCCCCUUUUAUUUAUUUUUUUUUUCAACUCCUCUUUGCAGCAAAACACAAGAAGCAAACCCACCAUUUUCUUUUGCUCCAUUACCUCUCCCUCCGCUGGCUCUCUUCUCCUUCUCUUUUUGUCUUUUUUUCCUUCUUUGUUGACUUGCUGGCGGCAGCUGCCCAUAGGGAGGCAAUUCAAUUGCCGUGCGCCCCUUUUGGUUUCGGAUGCUUCAUACAAGCCUUCUCUCUUUUGAUUUUGAUCCCAUGGUGGGUUCAUCUCUACAUCCAUGAUUUGAGGGAUUCUUUGCUCCUGGAAGAGCUUAUUUGAUGGUGCAUGAUGGAAUAGACUAUGCCAUAAAACAUGAUGAUUGAAAUCAUCAUGUAAGGCAAACUUGAAAACACUGCUGGAGUUCUUUGAGCGGAGCCAAGCCUCGGAGAGAUUCUUCCUUGGUUAUGAUGAUUUCAAUCAUCAUAGCCAAGAAUUUAUGUGGACCUUUUUAUGAUGAUAGAAAUCAUCAUGGUCAGGAACCCUUGAGUUGAAUGGAACCUGAAAUCUUGAGCAAAAAAUCAGAACAUGGUGCCAUGGAACUAAUCUUUUUACCUUGAAAUGGCUCUUUCCUUUCUCAAGGCUGCUUGCUAAUUUUUCUUCUUGCUAUGACUGUUCUCCUUUCUGCUCUUUUUCUGUCCUCCUGCUGUUCUCCUCCCUUUCUUCCUUCUUUUUUUUUUCUCCUGCUGUUCUCCUCCCUGCGUUUUUUCUUUUUUUUUUUUUGUCCUCCCCUCGUGUCAUGCCUCUUAUAGAGGCUAUCUUAUGAUGAGUUUUAAUUCCAGCUGAUGACCACUUCUCAACUGAGAUACUUAUCUCUUGUUGUUUCAAAACCACUGAAAUACAUCUAUUUUAUUUUUAAAUGUUUUUCUUGAUAAGAUUGCAGGGACAAAACAAAUUCAAUCCUAAACCAAGUCAAACUCUUGGCUAAUUGUUUUUUGUGAAAAUUUUCCGUUCAACAGAUGCCUUCUCAAGCGUUGUGCAUGAAAUGACUUUUUAUGUGCAACGCUUGAUAGCUUUUCCUUUGAACUGCGCAUCCCCUGACUUUUCUUGUAUUAAUUAAUUUUUUUUUUGGUUGAAAAAUUCAGGAAAUGGACGCGCAAGGUCGAUUCGGGUUUGAGCGAGUCUUUGAUUCGCAUGGUAGGGAAUUUGUCUCUGGCCCCCAAUAUGCGAGAUCACUGCCUUUGAGAUCUGUGAAGCUUAAUGUACCCCCUGAAGGCCGUGCAACCUGGUAUACCACCGCCUCCGUAAAUUCGGGGUAUCUUGAAUUCAAACCCCACGCAGAAGAUAAGGUGAUUUCAGUAUGCCAAACGCAUCGUGCUGUGUUUACCGCCCAUUGUUUGGAGGAUGUGAAUAAUGAAGUGGAUGGAGACAUGAAAUUCCAAAUCAAAGAUCUUCCCACACGUGAUGAUUUUUACCCCGCUUUGCAUAGAAUGAUCAAGAGUAAGUUGGAGUGGGGGCCCCAGUAUCAGUUCUAUGGCCGAGCCACUUUUGAAAUUGGCGUUGCGGAGUGGACAAAAUGCGUUAUGAGUGACUUUGGAGACAUAUUGCAUAAGGCAAAAAUAUAUUGUGCCGUAGCAAUUUCCCGAUAUCCUUACGAGUGUUGCCCAAAUAUAUGGAGAGCAUUUUGUGAAUUAUGGGGGCCCUUGUGCAACACCUUUCAUCAUGGCAAUGGUGAGAUGGGGAUUUCUCUCUAUGACAUGAAAGUCAUUUGUGGGUUGCCAAUCUUGGGAGAUGUCCAGUAUGAGGAAUUUAUUCCCCAAAAUAAAGACUUGCAACAAAAUGGAGCAUAUCCUCCGACUAUCACUGAACUUUUGAAGAUCCACUCCCAAUUAUGUAUUUAUCAUAAUCAGUCUACCGUCAGCUGGGCCCAAUGGAUUGGGCACUUUUAUCGGGCGAAGAUUAUUUAUAAGGCCUUUGGGAAUGGCAAGAGGAAACCUCAAGAUCAACUUUUAAGGGCUCCCGAAAUCACUUUACGUAUUUCAAAGGAAGGGGGGUUGGCUGCAUUCUUGGCACUUUGGUUGAGUAGAUUUGUGUUACCUUCCGUGGAUCGCAACGUCAGACCUGAAACUUUUCAUAUGGCAUGUUUGAUGGCACAAGGGGUCAGAGUUUCACUUGCACCACCUGUUUUGGGGUAUAUUUACCAUGGUCUUGGAGAAAUUGCCACUCACCCAGAAGGUCCCAGCUUGUCAAGUGCUUCCUUCCCAAUUCAUUAUGUUAUCGGUUGGUUAGGCGAACAUAUUCCAGGAUUGUACCUACCACAAACUGACAAGGAAUUUGUCAAAGACUACCCUUUUUUGGUGAGGUACGCGGGUGUUAAGCCAAAAGGUUUUAGGCUUAAUCAUGCCAGAAUUAUAUUCCGUAGUGACAAAGAAUUAAUCUAUCGCCCAACCACGUUUACUGAAGAUGAAGGCCGUUCCUUUGUUGACAAGAAGGCUCUAUCAGACAGAAAAUUUGAAUUUCUAGUUUGCACACGUUAUGCGCUUUUGCCGGUGAGGGUGAACAACAAUCUUUGGUUGGAACCAUACUACCCGAAUAGAUUCGCGCGUCAAUUUGGUUUUGACCAAGGUGUCCCUUCGAACAAGCUUUCCUUUAGCGUUCGUGACAGGUGCAAGUGUGGCAUGGAGGAUUUGGCCAUAGCACAAAUCACUUUACUUAGAAGAGAUACCACAGCUGGAUUUUAUAUCCCACGCUAUACUCGUGUUGGAGUUUGCACUUGGUGGUAUUGCAAAUGGUGGAUGGGGUCAUCAGCACUAUAUAUGGGAUUAUCUGUAGCUAGAAUUUUCUUGCCUUCUAGAAAACACCUCGAAAGGCACGAUAAUAUUUUUAUUGUUAGGCCGGAGAAUCAAGGCCCCACAAGUUGUCAAAAAGAGGUCUCCAACAAACGUCAUUCUUCGCGUAGUGACAACAACAAGAGUCCAAAACGAAUUCGAAGCCAGAAUCUUGACCAUCCAGUUGAUGAGGGAGUCAGUUCCUCCCAUGCCGAUGCUGCUACUCUUAUCAGAGACUUGGUUUUCCCCAUGAAUGACGGGCCAUCCGAACAAGGUAGUACCACGAACUUCCCAAGUGAAGCAGAUGAUGCUCAAGAAGUGAGCAAUGAACUGAAUGCUACAGUCGUUGCUCCUGAUGUGAGUAAUGAUCCAAAUGAGACAGACGAUAUUGUUGAAGAUGACUGCCCCUUGCCAUUGGUAGAAUACUUGCCCUCCUCACCUUAUGUGAAGAAUUUCAUUCACCGCAUUCUUGGUCCAAGUGUGGCUCCACGUAGGCGAAGGUUCAUUGCUGAGGAAAUGCAAGACAUCUUUGAUAGAAUUUCUUCUUCCAAAUCACCUAUAGACCUACUAGCUCACCGUGAUCAUAUUUUGGGGGCACUUGGUCUCUUGCGACCUAUGAUUAAUACCCUUGAAUCAGGCCAGGAUGAGUUUCAGGAAUUUGAAACGACUAUCCAACACAUUUUCGAGUUGGUCACUUCAUUUUCCAAGAACGUUGCCUUUGUGGGAGAACAUGCCCAUCUAGAUGUUGACCGCAUCAAUGCUUUGAUCACCCAAUAUGAGCAGUGCUUCGCUGCCAUAAAAACCAUGAGCGUGCAUCUAAUAGAACUUAAUAGUGAGCUUGCUGAUGUGAAUGCCACAGUGGUUGAUGUUGAAAAGGCAGAGAAGGAAGCUGAAGAGGCAGCAAGACGAGCUCAUGAAAUGCGACAACAGUUUGAAUCGAAGACAAGUGCCCUUAAAGAACGUGCAAACGAUUUGCAGCAAUCUUUAGACCAACAAUUCGAAAAGGAAAUUGGGCUUCGACAAUAGUCGCAUUUUCUUAGAAUCCAAACGGAGCCAAAAUUAAAAGAAAAUCAAACAAAAACAAAAAUUAGGAGGAUGAUGACUGACUUGUUGAGGAGGCGCAUACUCGGACUGGUACUCUUCCUCGUUUCUGAGGAUUCUGAGGAUGUUAGCUUCCAUGGGCGACUUGGGAAGUGUCUCAGACGCGUAAGGUCUGUUUUGGAAGAAAAAGGCUGAGAUUGCUUUCCGCAGUUGCAGCGGAGGAUUUCGGUGGUGUUGAAUGCCAUUGGUUUCCUUUAACAAAUGGGUAAGUUUCUGAUUUUGUGCAGAGUUUGGUUCCCUAUCACCAAAAGAUCAACAUUCAAAGUCAAUCUCCCACCAUCUGCCACUGUCAUCCUUCCCUAAAUUAUCAUUCACUCCACCACCAACAAUGCCUUCAAUUUCCUCCUCUUCGCUUUCACCAUCAAUCUCAUCAUCCCAGUUAUGCACACUUUGGUCCUCAUCUGGCUUGUACGUCUACUCCAAUCUCUUCAACACAUCACGGUCUUUCCAUUUCCCCACAACCGACACUGCCUCCUUCUUCGCCUUCCCAAUUAGAAUUUCGUUCCAAGAAAACCCCGAAUCCGCAACCUUCUUCAGAGCCCCGUCGCCAAAUCCCCCAUAACCACCGUCUUGAGGCAUCUCAGCUUGGCCUCCAUCACAACAUCCACGAAAUCCAAAUCAUCCGACACAAGCAUCAAACACUCAGCUCUCCUGUGAUCCAUCAUAUCCACAAUGUGAUUCCUCAAUGCAGCAUCCGCCCUCUGAGGUUUAUCCACCACGCUCCGAACCCAAAACCAGCCCGCUUCACCUCAUCCGCCAAACCCCUCCCUGCCUUGGGUGUCAAAACAUCCCUUGCAGCAUUCUUAUACUUUUCCAUCUUCAUUGAAUACUUACCAACCAGCUUCACCCUCCUGCUCCCUCUAGCAGACUCAAUCUGGCUCAACCUCUUCAUAUGCUCUUUUUCAUGAAUCUUAAAGUGGUUCAAAAGCUUCUCAUUAGUAUAAAAUCUCCUCCCGCAAACCCUACAAACGUUCAGUUCACCAUCCCUAAUCACAACCCUGUUCCUCUCUUUCCUUUCCCUAACAACCUGUGGAACAUAAUCAAGUGCAUGGCGGUUUGCAUAUGCUAUCAUAUGCCGAACAAGCCUGAAAGACGAAGCUGCCGUCUUGAGCUUAACGGCAGCUUCGUAGGGCGAGACUGAUUUGGGUGGUUUGGUAUCCAAAUCCCAGAAAAUCGCAAUUUCUGGAAUUUUUUCGGGUGGCAAACACGAUGUUGGGCUCGAAGAAUUAAAACCCGGUUCUGAUUGGAAAUGGCAAUAUCUAAUCAACAGGGUAAAUGGGUUUAGGGUUUCUGACCUUUUGGAUUGAACUGUACAGAAAAUGUGGUGAAAUUUGAGAUGUUUAAGCAUUUCCACGGGUUUCAAGGUCGGUGUUUUUUAUUUUCGAUGAACUGCAAAAAGAAACAAGAGACCAAUAAACGAUAAUAGAGAAACCAGAGGAAACAGAGAGCCUUGUGAACUUGAAGCUUACGAGUAAGCAUUGAGUUUUCGCCGAGUUCGGCUCGUAUGAAUGUGACUUGGUUUUUUAGCGGGUUUUUCCUUUUUCUCGUAAAUUCGUUUUAAAACCCGAUUUUACAAAUUCGCUAAUUUUUCCUUCCUCUAUAAACUCAAAAUGGAAAAACAAUUUCACUAAACUCAACCAAAAAAAAAAAGAAGAAUUUAUCUUGCCUAUCCUCUCUCUAGAAUGCUAGGUAUGAUGAAUAUGGCUUUUUUUAUCUUUUUAAUUCUUUAAGUUUUAGUAACGAUUGUGAUGAAAAUUAUACUUAAAAAAUAGUAAAAGAUAACAGUGAACAAAGCCAAACAAUCCAAAUAGUAAUAUAAACCCAAAUAUUAAAUUGCACUGAAAUUUCGUACCUGGAGGCAACUGAGGAAUGGGAUCAGGCAGAGAGAAAGGUUCAGGCUCUGGAUCAGGCAAAAAUCAAAGCUUUUUACUCUGAAGGCGCUCACGAAGGCCAGAUACGCCGUGAGAGAAGGAGACUUGGGGCAAUUCCUUCAAAUUGUACACAUGUUUUCUUUGAGAAGCAAAGCUCUAGUAAUAAGGAAGUUGGUCGAGGUCGUGACAGGGAUGAUUGAUGGUGUGAAAUGGAUGCUAUUUCUUAUGGCAAGGCCAACUCUAUAAAUGAAAUUUGCUAUCCCUUCAAAUUGUACACAUGUUUUCUCUUUGAGGAAUCAAACAGUAUUCUGAUGACAUUAUUUACAAUGAGGAAUUUGGAAUUAGUUUCUAGAAUAAAUUGUUUGGUUGGUCAUUAAAAAUAUUAAUUUCUUGUGUUAAGAAAAUUACACUUUAUAUGUAAUGGUGGGGUUGGGGAAAAGAAAGAAAUCUGCAAAUAAUAACACACAUAACACAAGUCAUGUAGAUAUUAUGUUGAAGUUUUGAAGAAGCUCAUCUAUAUACUGAUUAUAAUAUAAAAAAAGUUAAACAUUCAAAAUUCCACAAAUUGUCGUAGUUAAUGAAAAUGUUAAAGGAGAAUGCAAUUCAUUAAUUAAGAUAAAAUAAUACAUUCACAAUGUGUUUAAAUUGAAAUAAAUAAAUAAAGAACACAAGAAAAGUUGCUCAUAAAACUAAGAGAUAAUCACUUUCAAAACUUUACACUAUUUUGGAUAAAUUUUAUUUAAAAAGUUAUAAACUCAAUUUUUAACAAUUAAAAAAACAAAAUAAUAAAAAUAAAAAAUAUCCAAUUGGCACACACUAAUGCGUGUGGCAAGGAGCUAGUUAUAUUUAUACGAUGAAACAACGAAGUACAUAACAUGUUGAUGUCAAAAUUUGAUCAACGAGACUAAAACCAUAAAGCCAUAAAAACACACGAAAAAACACUCACAAUAUAACGUUGUUCACUCAAAUUCAUGUUUCGUUUAGGAUCACUAGUGUAGGUUUCACCAUACAGUUUAUUUUGUUAAGGAAUAUUAUAGGUUCUUAUAUUCUUACAAUAAAAAAGAAUAUUAGGUUCUGAUAUUCUUACCAUAAAAUUGGCUCAAAUUGAUAUGUUCCCUCUUUUUUUUGUUUCUCUCUUUUCCUUUUCAUUUUAUGCUUUGCUGUGCUAUUGCUAAGUUGAUCCGACAGCUAGCAAUAACUUCCCCACCUUUCAUUUUAUGCUUUAUUGGUGACCAGGGAUGCUUAGCAACUUUCUUCAUCCGCCCUUCUUCCCAUGUACUAACCGGUGAUAGGUCAGCAUCUUAGAUAAGAAUCCCAACCCAAUCAAACAGUGACAUCUGUAAAUAUUCAAAAUUGGAAUUUGCUGGUGAUAGUUGAUGAUUGCAUCUUUGUCCGACCAAAAAUAAAAAGAAAAAAAAAAUUGGAAUUUUGCUGGAGUUGCUUCCUUGACUUUUCCACCUUUGUAUGCAGUCCAUUUUACACAAGGAGCCACGUUUGAGAGAUAGCAAUAAACAUGUAGAGAUGGAUAAAUAGAGAGGGAGAAAGAGAGGGAGCGAGCUUUCUGUAUUUACACCGUUCAGGGGAAAAGAAAAAAAACUAUUUCAUGCCAAACUAACUACGGAUUCUUUAAUUGAAAAAAUAACCACAUAUUAAUCAUCCUUUGGAACAUAAAUGCCCCGGUAAUUGGCACUAAAGUAUCUAAAGUUUACGAAAUUAAGGAUUUUGAUGCAAACCUAAAUUUGGAAAAGAGGGCACCAAUUCAUGUAAAAUAUGGUGUACUUAGUAUUAGGGUAUUGUGUGAUAGAGUGCAUUAAGGUAUUUUUUGUAUACCAUAAGGUGUACUUAGUUAAUUUUACAUUUUGAUUUAAAUAUUAGGGUGUAUCUAUAUCAUAAGGUGUACUUAGUUAAUUUUAGAUUUCGUUUAACAACAACAACCACUACUACAUUUUAGUAUUUGCGCGACGAAUCCAAUUUCGUCGCGUAGACUAACUUCUAGUCGCACGAAUGCAAGCGCGACAUAAAAAUCGUCGCGCGUUAUCUGUCGCGCAAAGAUCGUGAAGAAAGACUUUGAGCGACCGAUUCUACGACUCGUCGCGCAAUUUUGUGCGACGGUUAUCCUUCGUUACACAAAAGGUUCAGAGACGACGAAAACGUUCGUCGCACAAAAUUACGCGCGACGAAAGUAGAUUCGUCGCCACAACAAUGCACGGCGAAUAAUUUUCAUCGCGCAAUACGUCUCGUAGACAUUUGCGGCACCAAGAGUUCAUCGUCGCGCAAUUCGGUACACGUAUUGCGCGACGAAACAAUCACUACAAGGAAAAUCCCUUUUAGCGACGAAACAGGAUGGUCGCUAUAACACCAAAUUUCGUCGCCAAAGAAAAAUAGCGACGAAUAUUUUUGGUUGCCAAGGUCGUCGUGGAAAGCUCGUGGCUAAAAGAUACAAUGCGACGAAAUAGGAUUUCGUCGCUAAAAGAUUUUGGCGACCAAAUGUGUCGUCGCUAAACAGCUCUAAGUUGGUCGCCUAUAGAAAGGGAGUUGCCACCAAUACCAAAAAUUCCCGCGAACAUGGAAUUAUUUGGCGACGAAAUAAAUAUUUGGUCGCCUGAAUAUUUCAGCGACGAAUUUUUUGGUCGUGAAAGAUGUAGUUUAUUUGUAGCAUAUGUUAGUUGGUUUGGUUAUUUUCAUAAUGAGCGACGAAACUGAUUGGUCGCCAAAACUAUAGGUAUUGGUAUUAUCAGAUGGAGCGACGAAAACUAAUUCGUCGCCAAGAUGUGUAUUUAUUUAUUUAUUCUAUAUAAUUAUUUAUAUUUCAAUCUUUGUAACAGAAUAUUAAUUAGUCCAUAAAGAUUUUGAAAAACAGUAAAUAGAUGAAAUUAAUAGAAAUAGGAUAAUUACUAUUCAAAAAGAUACUAGUUGUUUAAGCACACAUCAGUGUAUUCUAGAUACAAAAGUCCCCAAGGUAUGUAUGCUAGAUACAAAAACCAUCAAGUAGCUGGAUACAGAAGCCCCAUAGAACCCCCAAGGAAGGCUAGAUACAAAAACCAUCAAGUAUGUAGAUGUACACACAACCUAAUGACUAUUUCCAAUAUCAUCAAGAUCUUCAUAAACAUUACGUGAACCACCACUAUUACCUUGAUCAUCAUGACAAGGAUAAUCACCAACAUGCUGGGACGGAACUAAAUGUGAGGGUAGAGGACCAUCAUGGGUUCGCAUCCACUCAAUGACAUCCAAAAGUUUACCCACUGUGCCCUGAAGCUCACUUACUGUGCCUUUCAACUCACCAACUGUGCUUUGAAGUUCCUCAACCUUUUGCUCUGUAGCACAAGAAGAGGCAAAUCCACCACUAUGCGAACUCUCCACUCGGAGACUAGAACCCAAGCCUCGAAUCCUCUUGCCCUUUGCAACCCCAAGUUCUACAGUCAUGAUCUCUAACUGUUGUGGGAUAGGGAGUAUGACUUGAUCUAGUGGAGUUCCUGAACUCUCUGCCACUUGUUGCUUGGCUUUCUCAUACUCUUCAUUCAUCUUCUUCUACAAAAAGAAGCAAAAUAUAGAUAUGUCAAUAUAUAUAAAUGCAUAAAAAGAAUGAAGUAAAUGGGAUGCCAGUAUGAUCAAUUGUGUUCAUAAACUAGCAAUGCCAAUUAUCCUAAUCAAACAGUCACAAUUAAAAAAAAAAAAUUCAACUUGAAGCAAAUAAUAAAAGGAAAAGGCACAUAAAAAAUGGAAUAGAUCUCUUCGGAUAUGCAGAUUACAGAAAGUUUGAAAAUACUCACAGAUCUUAUAAGAUCUUUUUGAGCAUCUCCUGAAAGCAACAACAAUACAAACAAGAAAAUUCCAAAAACAGGGAUUAUAAAUAUUUGCCCAGCAACAUGGCCCCCUUAUAAUUGGGUCUAUUUUAACUUCUAAGAGCACAACGGGUUAUUAGAACUGAAUAUGUUUAAUAGGUGUUUGGAAUUGGGCCUCCAAAGAGGAAGAGAAGUACAACUGCAGCAGCUCUGUUUCAAAACGAUCUUAGCAUGCACUUUUUUUGGUUGUCAAUAUAUAAGAUCAUGAAAAAUUUAGAAAACUCAAGACACAUAUCUUCAUUGUGUUUCUAAUUAAUUAGUUCUAUUUGCAAUGGAUAAAGCCUUUAUAUGAUGCUAAAACCAAAGUACACAAUUAGCAUCUAAAAUAAUGGGCCGUCAAAAACUUGCAUGACCAGUUGGCUGAUCUUUUGGAUUGCAGAUUAUGCAAGUCAAUAGUUAAUUGUUAGCAGGUUUAUGUAUGCCUUACCCCUUUAAUUUCAGCAGCCUCGUUGAUCCACAUGCUCUUACCCUUAAGCAUAUGCAUGUUGUUCCAAUUGCUAAUGUAUGUAGGAUUUUCACCCUUCUACAUUUUCCCAACAAAAAGAAAAUUAGAAAUACUUGAAAUUAUUACAAUAUAAUAAAUAAAGAAAGAUUUAAAGUGACCAAAAAUUAUAAACCUCUCUAGCAGCUUCCAUAUGUUUUAGGAAAGGACGUGACCCCCCUGUAUGAUCGAACUCUUUCUUUUUUCUGUUCUCAGCAUUGGUCUUGCAGCGUUGCUGUUUUGAUUAAAUACAUGAAUUGUUUUUUUUUUCUUUUUUCUAUUUGAUACUUAGAAUAAGUUCCCAAUCAAAAAAAAUGAAAACAGCAGAUGUUAUGAUACAUUAAAUACCUGAUAUUGCUCAUUUGUGUACAACGUAUCAACCAAAUAAUGCCACUCUUCUAGAGUCCUUCGAGUACCAAAGAUCUUUUCAGGGGGAGGUGUUUCUCGUGCAAGAGCAGGGUCAGAAGCAUAUUGCUUAUAGUGUCUGUGGAGCUUUGCUUUCCAUUCUUUAUAAGUUGAGUGCAUAUGGUCAUUAAUAAAUUUCCAUAUAUCCGGAUCCAUUAAGUCCACAUCAAACAUGAACUAAUAUCAAUUAACCAUAAACAAAACAAGUAUUAGUUAUAAUUUUGCAAUGCAAAUAGAAACAUUGAAGGACAAAUUUUUCAGUUCCCCCUAGAAUACAAUGAAGAAUUGAAAUAAAAAGAGAGCUAAAUGAACAAAAUUAAAUUAUAAUCAACGAAGAAUUAGAUAAGAUUACCUGCAAUCCCAGUGCCAUAUCUUUCUUCAUCUCCAAGCUCACUUUUUUCAUCCCUAAAACAUUCAAUGGAGCUUUAUUGCGAGUGAUUAACCCAAUCUCAGAGACGAACAGUUUCUGAGCCUCAAUAGUCGCCACCAAUUUCUGGGAUGGAUCCAUCCGUAUUGGAAUCAAACUCUUCCUUUUUUUCACAACAUCACAAGUGCCAGCCCCCACAGUUCGGCCACGAGUGUUCUUCCUCUGUGGAGAAGUUUGAGUAUGCGUUCCCUCAUCUAGAGACCCAAAAAAAAAAAACAAAAAACAGUAACUAGAGUGCACCAAAUAAAGGUAUAAAAAUUAAAUGCACAAAAUAUGGUAUCAGUUACCCUGUUGGUGGGAACCCCCUCCUGAGGCUGAUGAAGUACCUUGUUGUGGCUGAGUUGAUUGUUGUUGUGGCAGCUGACAUGGUUGCUCAAGUGGUUGUGGUGGUAGUAGAGUUGAAGUUUUCUUCCUAUUGUUAUUGUUGCUUAAGGUAGCAGCCCUCGUAAGUGUCAUUCUACAAUUACAGACACAUAAACAAAGAGAGAAUACAACAAUAUACUACCAGAUCAUUCCUUGAAAAAAUAAACAUAAAUUAUUGAACAUCAUACUUCAGCUGUAAUGAAUUGAUUCUCAUCACAAACAUGCUUGAGAUAAAUGAAUUAUUCAUCUAAAAAUAAUUGAACAUAAUAUUUUAUCAAUAGGAAAGAAAAAUAACAUGCACAUGCAUUUCAUUACAUGGGGGAGGACACAUGCAAACCUUAUCCGAAGAUAUUUCUUCAAUAUACAGACCUUACCCCUUAAAACAGAUUAAGAAAAACAUAUAGUAACUUGAAGAUAAUUAAGAAACAUAUAGUGCCUAAACAAAAGACAGCCUAACACUUCAAUCCCAAAUCACUAUAAUCAUCACUGUGAACACUGCCUUCAUCAUCACCCGAAUGUAUUUCUUCAAUAUCAUCAUCAUCAAUAAAAUCUUCAUCCUCCAUAUCAGUUGGGACAUGUUCAAAAUUAAUAUCUUCGACAACAAUUUCAGGUUCAACAUACUCUCUACGAAGUGAUGGACUGAGUAGAACAUUAUCUUCUGGUGCAUGUCUGACACUAAUAUGUGCAAUUUGGUCCACAUCAUCGUUGUAUAGUGUUUCUGCCUCGUGAGCCACCUCAUUCUCAAGAACAUCCCACACAUGUCUAUGUGGAAUUUUUUGAAUUACCUUCCAACCAUGACCCAAGGAUGGGUCAUCAAGGAAAAAGAUUUGCUGUGCUUGUUUUGCUAGCACAUAAGGAUCAUCUUUGUACCAUAAAUUCAUUGAGUUCACUGACGUGAGAUGGUAAUCAUGAACAAGCCUAACAAUCUUUUUCUUUCGCUUCACAUCUGUACUUGUAUUGUACCACUCACACUUAAAAAGGAUAACAUGAUAGCCAUAUGUGAAUCCUAUUUUAACAACACUAACUAAUCUACCAUAAAAAUUACUUUCCUGAUCAGCAUGAGUUCCUGGUACCAUGACCCCACUAUUUUGAGUUGUGCGAGUUUCUUCUAUAUCUUUGACAUGCCACCGAAUUCCGUUCACAACACAUCCUGUAUACGUACAAACUCUUUCAUCAGGACCAUAUGAUAAUGCAUACACUUCUUUAGUCACCAAUGUUGAUUCCUCACUAUACAAUGCUUUGACAUGAUGCUUGAACCAUUGGGGAAACGACUGCCUAUGUCUAUGUUCUAUGUUAAACAAGCUUUCACGCUCUAAUAUUUGACGAUGCUCACUGAAAAAAUAAAUAGAAAGUUAAAUCAAAGCAAUAAGAAAACAGAGUGAUAAAAAUAGAAUUAAUUACAUUUACAUACUUUCUAAAUGGUUCAAUUUCCUCGCAAUUGUCCAAGAUAUACCAAUAAAUUGGUUCCAUUUCUCCUUCAGACAAUUGAAGAAAUUUAUAGCCAUUAAAGGGCCGUGCAUUUUGAGAAAAUACUGAGAGCUUAACAUUGGCUUCGCCACCAUCAUCAUUUCGUUCAGGACGAGAGAAAACAGUCUCCACAUUACGAAAAUACAUUGAACAAAAAGUUAAUGCUUCAUUUGCAAUGUAUCCCUCAACAAUUGAACCUUCUGGUCUAGCUCUAUUACGUACAUAGCCCUUUAACUUUCCUAGCAUCCUGUUAAUCAUUGUAUAUUAAUAUUUUAAAUACAAAUGAAAGAGAAUCUAAUCAAAAUAAAUAUAAAAAGAUGAUGACUGAGUAUUACCUCUCUAUCGGGUACAUCCAACGAUAUCCUACAGGUCCCCCAAGCUUGGCCUCACGUGGUAAAUGAAAGGCCAAAUGAACCAUGACAUCAAAAAAGGCGGGUGGAAAUAUUUUCUCAAGUUUGCAUAAAAUGACCACAAUGUCAACCUCUAAUCUGUCCAAAUCUGCAACAUUCAACGUCUUUGCACAAAUUUGUUGGAAGAAACAUGCCAAUUCUACAAGUGGCGCGCACACUUCUUUUAUCAAGUAUGGCCGAAUUCCAAUAGGUAAAAUUCGUUGUAACAAAACAUGACAAUCAUGAGUCUUCAAACCUGAGAUCUUCCCAUCUUUGACAUUUCGUGAUAUAUUAGCAGCAUAACCAUCCGGAAAUUUUAUAGAUUUCAAAAAUUCACAAAAUGCUCGACGAUCAGCCGGUUCUAAUGUAUAUUCUGCAGCAUACUUCUUUAUCUUGCCAUUUUCAUCUUUAUCUAAAUGCAGAUUUCUUCGUAUAUUCAUGUCUUUCAAAUCCAAACGAGCAUUGGGUGUGUCUUUUGUUUUUCCUUCUAUGCUCAACAACGUUCCAACAAUGUUGUCGCAUAUAUUCUUCUCAAUAUGCAUUACGUCCAAGUUAUGUCUUAUUUUCAACUUGGACCAAUACUCCAAUUCGAAAAAAAUACUCUUAUUUGUCCAAUUUAACUCCAUAGGUGUCCGCUUUCUCUUUCUGUCCAAAUUAUCAGGAUGUUUACCAAGUUUACGAUGCACAAGGUGAUUAAACUGAAGUAAUAUGUCAUCACCAGAGAAUUCUCUUGGGGGAUCCCUCAUCUCAAUAGUUCCAUCAAAAUUUUCAGAAUCCUUACGCCAAGGGUGAUUCUUUUUCAAGUAGCGACGGUGCCCCAUAUAACAAAUUUUAUUUCUCAGCUUGGUAGAUGUUGUAUCCUCAAGACAUACGGGACAUGCCUUGUAACCUUUUGUACUCCAACCGGAUAAAUUCCCAUAAGCAGGAAAGUCAUUGAUUGUCCAUAUUACAGCUGCCCUCAUGUUAAACCUUGUAUCAGUAAACUUAUCAUAAGUUUCAAUACCUUGUUCCCAUAACUCUUUUAGCUCAUCAAUUAAAGGACGCAAAUACACAUCCAACUCCUUGCCUGGUGCCUUUGGGCCUGGAAUAAGCAAAGUCAUUAUUGAAUACUGUUGUUUCAUACACAUCCAAGGAGGUAGAUUGUAAGGAACCACCAUCACUGGCCACAUACUAUAAGAUGUGCUCAUAUUCCCGAAUGGGUUAAACCCAUCUGUUGCAAGGCCUAACCUUAUAUUUCGUGGCUCUUCUGCAAACUCAGGGUACAUCUUAUCAAACUCUUUCCAAGCAAUAGAAUCUGCUGGAUGCCUCAUAACACCUUCAUCAUCAACUCGUUUAUUCUUAUGCCACCGCAUGUGACCUGCUGUAUGUUCAGACAUAAACAACCUCUGUAAUCUUGGCUUUAAAGGAAUAUAUCGCAACACUUUUUGGGGCACCAUUUUUUUCUUUUUACUAGUACUAGGUUUAUACCUAGGCUCAUCACACACUGGACAUUUAUCUUUACUUUUAUGCUCUUUGUAAAACAAAGCACAGUCGUAAAUACAUGCAUCAAUUUUUUCAUGCCCCAAACCCAAAUCUUUCAACAUCUUAUUAGCGGCAUAGAAUGAUGGAGGAAUGCUAUGAGGCUGUGGACAAAUAGCACUGAGUAUUUGUAACAUUUGAUCAAAUGACUUGUUGCUCCAAUGAUGAAGUACCUUCGUAUGCAUGAAUUGUACCAUUGCUGUCAAAACUGAUGCAUUGCUACCGGGAAACAAUUGUCGUUGAGAUUCAGCAAUCAACUUCUCAUACUUAUCCAUCUCAACCCUAUGUACAUCGGUAUCAUCCCCCACAUCUUCAUUGUCCCCCAAUGUAUCAUCUACAACUCCCAAGUCUGGUGGGAAUGCAUCAUUCAAAAUAUUAUGCGUAUAAUCAUCAAGACGAGGUGCCUCUUGAGCAGUUGCAGGAGGUGAAGCUUGUCUUGUUAUCUCGAAUUGUUCCCCAUGGUAUAUCCAUGUGUGAUACACCACUGACAUCCCAUACUGCCAUAAAUGUGCUUGGACAACCGGAAGAGAAUGGCAAUUCAUAUUCUGGCACUUCAUACACGGACAUGGAGUCUCAUUCUUCUCAUCCACAUGUUGGCUUGCAACUUCCAUAAAUGACUGAAUUCCAGCACGAUAUUGAUUACUCAACCUGUUUUUAUUAUGUAUCCAAUCCCUGUUCAUCUCUAACACACCUUGUCUCUGUCUUCUUAUACCUCCUAUAAUGGGCCUUAUCCAAUUCAAUCGGUGAUGACUUGAAGCAGUUCCAAAAUUUCAUAACAUGAUUAGAUCGAACACAUUUAUAGAUAUAAGCAAAUAACUCUUUCACAGAAUGACAAGCUAAUAACUCUUUCACAUGAAAAUUAUAAAAAGAGAGAUUCCAUAUUAAUUAUGCUUUUCAAGGGUAAGUAUCAUGGUGACAAAUUUUUUUUACAAUUAUUUCAACAUUAUUUUGCAUAAUUUAGUUGAACCCAUGAAAACAGUUUAAAAAAAAAUGAAGGCAGGCACAAGAUUUGUAGCUAUUCAUACCUCUAAAGCAAAUAUAGCCUCUUAAGCAAGUAUUCCAAACAACCUAUUGGAAAAAAAUAUAUAUAUUCAGUUAGACACAGUAAACCCAUGACACAAGUCAAAAAAAAGAAAAAAAGGCAGAUGCCAGAUUUUUAGCUAUCCACACCUCUUAAGCAAGUAAUUCAAACACCCUACUGCAAAAAAGAAAAAGAAAAAGAAAAUCUGUUAGACAAUGUAUCUUUGGAGGGCUUGAGUCCAAAUUAGUCUUCAAACUCAAAAUAGUAUAUGCCUUCGCCUCUAAGUUUAACCACUCAUCAUUAAACAAACAAAAACAUUAUUUUUCUGAGUUAACUCAAAACAGUAACGUAAUAAGACAUCACAGGAAGCACCAAAUAUCCAAGAUAAAAGUCUCAACAAAAAACCAAAUGGUUCAAAAUAAUAUUGUAAUCAACGCAUCCACUUUAUACAGUUAUAACAUGUACAAUGAAUAAAGUCAGGCUUAAGGUCACAUGUCUCUCAUGUAGUAUAUGAAUUAUCUGAAAUUAGUAAUUAGGCUCUUCAUCUCAAUUCCAUAACAAAUUAUAAUUCAUUACAGUUCUUAAUUAUUAUGCCUUAUAAAUUAUUAUAAAAACCAUUUCAAAUUAACAAAAAUUUACCCUUGAAGCUAAUUGAAUGACCUUCCAUAAUAUUCAAGCUACCAAUGAUCAUCAUAUAAAGCCAAAAUGGUUUGUUAAAAAAGAAAAAAAAAACGUAGCUGGAAGAGCUUGAAAAGGAUUUCCAAAACAAUCAAACCAACAUUGAAGGAUGAUACUCCAUCAGUUAAACUCUAUUGUCCAAUUAAGUGGUACUACACUCAGACACCAAUACUAAGGGAAAGAAAAAUAAUUCCUAAACUGACCAGUUAAUCUAUGGGACGAUGGCCCUGCAGCUAUAGCUUAUAUAUAAAAUAUAGAGACAACUUUGCAGCUAGUUUAUACCUAAACUAUAAAGAGAACUCAAUAAGCUACAUUGGCAAAAAAAUCAAUAACAAUAACAAAAAUAAAAAAAACAUAAGCUCACAGACAAAGGCAAACGAACCUUGAAACGAAUACACCCACAGACCAACUUCCAACUUCUAACUUUUUACUUCAAUUAUAUAAAUGAAUUGUUAUAUUCUUUCUUCCAAUAGAUAGUAAAGAAAUUCAGAAUUAAUCCAGAAGUAUCAAGCAAACAUUCAAGACUUGGAAAACAACCAAUCAGACUCAAAGCAUUAAAACAUAAAAAAAAUGAAAUAAUUAUUGGGUACGUGUGCAAGUGAAACAUCUCAAAUUUGAACAGAACCCACAUCAAAUGCAAAACAGGGCAUUCAUAUCAGACACAGAACCCUACUCAAAUUUGACAUAGAACCCACAAUAAUUAACUACUUGAAAAAGAAAAGUCAUUUUAUUCAGAAAACUUGGACUGUUGAAUGUUCAAGCAUUUAAGAUAUCAAAAAGGAAAAAUCAAGCACUGAAAUUCAGUUUCGAUUUAAAUUCCUGGGUAUCUAUUUUCGAUUUUCCUUGAUUAUUUUCUCAACAACCAAAUGGAAUCCACAACUGAAAAUCAGAGCUCAAAAGAAAAUGAAGGUAAGAGAGACAAGAUAGACUCACCAUAAGCUUUCCGUUGAAACACGUAGUGAGGAGGACUUCGGAGAUGGAGUUUUCAGAUGGCCGUCGAUUCCUGACCGUGGUAGGGAAAGGCGUGCGAGAUGGAGUAUCGCUUGCUGACGUUGGUGGAGGAUUGCUCUGCCGACGUCGGUGGAGGAUUCCUUUGCCGAUGUAAAACAGUGAAGAGUGGGUCUGAGAGGAAAUAACCAAUCGGGAACUUUUUAGUUCAUAUUUUUGUAUUUAAACUCUCCAGAUUAGCCCCAAAAACUAUUUGGUCGCCCAUAUGCUAAUAUACAUAAAACUACGUCGUUUUAUGGCUUACAUUUUUAAAAGCACAAUGAUCUGCGACGAAAACCAAAUAGUCGCUGGCCCCACGAAAUUUUUACGCGCCAAUUCUAACUUAGCGACAACACAUUAAAACUCAGCGACCCAAUAUUUUCGUCGCCAAAACUUUUGAAGUUUCGCGCGCACUCAAUUCCGCAAAUCGCGACCAAAUAUACGUUUGGUCGCCAAGUCCUUGCCUAACCACCAAAAACUUUCGUCGCCCUUAGUUGAUAAAUUAGUCGCUAUUUAGUUGACUCAAGUCAUCACGGAUGUCUAAAAAUCACAAAUCUUUUGGCGACCAACUGGAAAAAUUUUGUCACCGAUUCUCUUUUUGGCGACGCAAAUAUGGUGCGUCGCUAAAAAUUUCGUCGCAAAAGAGGUUUUUCCUUGUAGUGAAUGUUGUCGCGCAUAACCUUUUGCUCGACGGCAAAUUGGGUCGCGCGAUACGUGCCCACAAAAUUUGUGCGACGCAAUACUGUUGUCGCAGAAAUCCAUUUUAGCGACGAAAACGUUCAUCGCGCAAAAAUAAUUAUAUGUAUUUAAAAAAAAUGAAACAUUAUUUUUUCGGAAUAUAUAAAUUUGCGCGACGACAAAGCUUUCGUCGCGCAAAAUUAAUAUAUACAUUUAUUAUAUAAUUAUAAUAUUACUUUUGUUUUAUUUUAUAAAAAAAUAAAUUUGGUUUUCUUUUUUGGGUAAUAAAAUGAAAUUCCAAUAAUAAAAAAAUUGAAGUCAAUAACAAAUUUAUUAUAUAAAAUAAAUGUAUGCUACAAGAGAAAGAUUUAAAAAAUAAUUACGAAAAUAAAAAAACUAAUCGAAUAAUGUUCCAAAAUCUACAUUAUCGUCUGGCACAUGCGGUUCAGAGGUCUGGGGGUCUACAGGGGCCGGCGUCUGGUGGGGAUGCUCGGGAUGGACGGGCUCGGAGGUCGGCGCAUCAAAAUGCGGAACUGGAAUGCCGGACUGUGCGAGAGACUGCAGAAUGACCGACAUCUGACUCUGAAGAGUGGCCACCUAUGCUGUCAAAGCAGUGACCUGACUGUUUGACUGCUCUGAUGAACGGGGUUUGGGUUCCCUCCGCCUGGCAUUCCCUAUCCCUUGACAAUAUGUCCCCGGUCUCCUCCCUAGAGUCUGAUCCAAUGUCUCCGUCAAGAUCUGAAACCCAACAUCCUGUGCAGGAUCCACAGACUCGAUCGGAGUAUCGGGAGGAAGUUGGGAGGCGGACUCCUGAAGAACCAACUGGCUCCUCUCCACCAUCGUCGUCUGUUUAGCAUAACAUAAAAUAUAAAUUCAAACAUUCAUAUAAAAACCUUUAAAGUUGAAUGCGUAACAUAAGAAUUAAAAUUAAAUAAUACUUACAUGAAGGGACUCGGCCAACUCAUUCCCAGGUCGAACAUAAACGUCGCCAAAGAUGUCGAUAUCUGAGAAUUUGGACCCCCCCAAAAUUGAACAAAAGAAGAAAAAUAUUAGUACGAAAAAAUAAAUUAAGAAUAAUGAAAAAGUAAAAAUUAAAUAAAAAUUAUUUUAUUAUUACCUGACGCCGUGCAUCCAUCCUAUACGAGAAGGGCCUGGAACCCGAAUGAUGGAGAAGAGUCUUCUUCUUCCUAUUGCCCUUAUUGAUUUGGGCUUUAUUCUGUUAUACAAAAAAUAAAACGUAUUAGUUGAAAUUGAAAUUAAAUAUAAAAAAUUAAAAAAACAUUAGUAAGAAAAUAAAAUAAAAUAUAAAAAAUUACCACAAAAGCGGGCGCCUGAAAAUGAGCGCAGAGCCACGCCCAACUAUCCUCCCGGCCCUCAAGCUCUUUCGGACAACCCUCUUGAAGAGCGACUUGCGGAUCAUCAAACGCCUCAAAAUGGUGGUUCAAGUCGCUCUUCCACUGUUUGUACCUCUCAGAGAAGAGUCUGUUGACGUACGCCAAUGACUCUUCGUCAAGGUCCUCCAAGUUGUAGUUCGUCUGCAAUAAAUUAAUUACAUACAUUUAAAAAAUAUAAAUAUAACGUUUGAAAGAAAAAGAAUGAAAAGGCCUACAUACCGACAACUGGCCGCGAACCUCAGUCUUGGUCUCGUCAGGCAUCACCUUCCAAGACUUCCAUUGCAUCGGGCAAUAGCUCCGAAUGACAUGACCAAUGUCGUCGGCCAAGGAGCUAUGCAACUCCGCCGUCGGUGCAGCUCGAUGUCGCUCGUCGUAACCGAUGUUGAUACGACUGUUGGUCACUCGGGUGACCUUCGCCGUCUUCAACUGCCGACACGGCCCUCGGGUGUUCUUCUUGGCUGCAAAGAAAGAUGACAUGAAUGUUAAAUAAAUAACAAAUUUAACAAUAAAAUACACACACACACAAAAACAAAAACAAGAAAUAAAAAAGAAAAUUAACUGGAGAAAAAGGAAAGCUAUACCUGGCUGUGACCCCGAUGCAUCAGUGGAUGUGGUGUCGGUGGUGCUGGAGGGCCGAUGACGCCGCCUGGCGCUAACAGGCUGCGCCACUGAUGACGCUGAUGAGGCAGGCGCCUGGGACCCCGCAGGUCCAACUGCCAACUGGUCUAUCAAUGCUGGCGCAGUGGCAGCAGAUGUCGGCUGAGUCGGGGGCUCAGAACUCUGCGUGGUCGUCACCGCCCUACGACGUCUAAUCAGGUCUGACAUCUGCACAAUUUCAUUAAUACACAUACAAAUUAAUAAAAUAUACAAAUAUUUGAAAACACAUACAAUUUUAUUCAGAUUAUUGACCUAGGGUUUGCGAGUUCGGAGUAUCCGGGACUCCGAUCCACGAUCCGUCGAAUCCUAGACGAUCCAAGAAUACAAGGUACACCAUGCGUGAGUUUGAGUUCGAUCCAACGGUCUGAACAUAACAACCCCGGAAAUCGCACAAUAGGCAAAAUUCGUUCGAGACGCAAACAGUAACCAAAUUCCAAUCCGAAAACACCUACGCGCUCGUGACAACUACAGGAUUGCACUGGGACCUAAUUCAGGUGGCUACAGUAACCCACGCGCCGCCCCACGCGCCGGGAGCCGCGGGUGUCCAAAGCAAUACCAAUCGCUGGAAAAUUCUAAAAACUAAGGGCCAAGGUUCCUACCCUAGGUUCAAAACAUCAAUUGGAGCCACUUUUGUUCUCGGACAUACCCCGAAAAAUGGUCGGAAGUGGCCGGAAUUGAAAAUCAAAAACCGGCCCAAACUUAGGGUUUCAAAUUAACUGCCCUAUUACAACAAUUUCAGAAAUCCUACCCAACCAUCAGAUAAAGCAUCAAAAAUAGGACAGAAACCAUACCUCAGGUGUCGGAAUUGGUCGCCGGAGGAGAGAGAUCGACGGCGGCGCAGAUUCGAUGAAAAUCGAAGAAAUUGCGGCGGCUGGCUCGACGGUGAGGGCGGGGGAGCUCCGGGGUACCACCGUUGUGGCGGCCCGGUCCAAAUCCACCGGGGUAGGAGACGGAGCUGACGGCGGAGAGAGAGACGAAGAGGUUUAGAGUUUCUGCAAUCUGGGAAGAAUGAGGCCAUCGCGUGGUUUCUGAAAUUUUAUUCGUUUUUGCGCGACGAAGGUAAGCAAACGUCGCGCAAGAAAUUUUAAAUGACUAUUGCGUGACGAAACAGGUACGUGUUCCGUCGCGCAAUGUCGUUAAUCCGCCAAAAUUUGGUAAAAGGGUGGUUUUUGCCCGACGCACAACGCAGCUUGUCGUCGCGCAAUGUUGGCAGUCUGCCAAAAUUUGGGGUUUAGGGUUUAGCAGGCGAUAUUGAAAUCUUGCGCGACGCACAACGCAGCCUGUCGUCGCGCAAUGUUGGCAGUCCGCCAAAAUUUGAGAUUUAGGGUUUAGCGGGCGAGAUUGAAAUCUUGCGCGACGCACAACGCAGCCUGUCGUCGCGCAAUGUUUGCAGUCCGCCAAAAAUUGGGACCUAGGGUUUAGAACUUGCGCAACGUAUACGUGGACCGUCGCGCAAAAACUCGCAAAAAAAUGUAUGCUAACCGUCCAAGGCGAAAGACGGUGAAAAGGAGAAAGGGCUGGCUGAGAUUGCGCGACGAGUACGUACAGCGUCGCGCAAAAACUCGCAAAUUUUUUUGACUAAGUGUCCAAGGAGGAAGAGUGUGGAAGGUGAAAGUUCUGGCUGAUAUCGCGCGAUGAACAGCAUUGGUUUCGUCGCGCAAGACUCUUCCAUGCAGGCUAUGUGCGACCAAUUAUACUUUGUCGCGCGCUGUUGUAAUAACGGCAACAUUUUUGGUUUUAUUGUGGAGAGAUUGCGCGACAAAAAUGUAAACGUCGCGCAUGUCAGCUCUCUGUAAACGCGAAAAUAUUUGUAACCAAGUGUUGAAGGAGGAAGCGCGACGACGAGUCGUUUAUUCGUCGCGCAAGACCGUUGUUUGGAGGCUUUGUGCGACCAAAGAGAGUUAUUCGUCGCGCAAACCCUAAACCCUAAAGCGCAGAAACCCUAAACUCGGAACUAGUUUUCAUGAUCCAACCGGCAAACUUGUUUUUUUAUACUUCGAGAUCGUAUAUGCCGAAAAUCAAAAAAAACAAACAUUAAGAGAUCAAGUAACAGGACAAAACUUGUCGACGGUUCUAAAUGAAAAGUCAUGAUUUAACGUUUAUUUUUGCUCUGAUUUGUAUGAUUUUUUACAGCUACUUUUCUUUACCCUAUAUGAAUACAAUUACUAAAUUUGAUCUUCAAUUUCAGAUGUUUACACUAGGGUGAUACGACAUAAUGUUAUGUUAUAUUUAACGAAAGUAUAAGUAAACUAUUCAUUGUUGCUGAAUAUAUGGUUUUGAUGGCAAACGCAUUCUACGAAAAUAGGUUCAGCAAUCCAGCCGUCAAACUUGUUUAUUUGUACUUCGAGAUCUUAGACCCCAAAAAGCGAAAAAAUCAAACAUUCAGAGAUCAAGUAACGGGACAAAACUUUUGAACGGUUAUAAAUGAAAACUCAUGAUUUAACGAUUAUUAUAACUCCGAUUUUGAUGAAUUUUUACAGCUACACUCCAUGACCCUAUAUGAAUACAAUGAACUAACUCGAUCGUCAAUUUCAAAUAUAUAUGUGCAUAUAUAAUAUAUAUUAUAAAAUAAUAUAUAUUUGCGCGACGAACAUAUGUUUAUCGUCGCGCAAACUUUCAUCGCGUGACGGACGACACGUUGUCGCUCAAUUUUUUUACUUCACGCGACUAGUGUAUUUUGGGUCAUGCAAAAUUUGCACGACGAGGUUUACUUCGUCGUGCAAACAUGGCACGACGGGGUUUACUUCGUCGCGCAAGGGUUUUCAGUUUUGAAAAAUGUUUGUUGUCAAUAAUUUUCAAACUUUGUAUAAAAAUGUUUGGAUAUAUUUAUUUAUCAAUGUUUUAUAACAAAUUUUGUAUCAUUUUCAUUUUGUAAAUGUGUUUUGUCAAAAAAAAAAUUAAAAUUUAUUAUUAAUAGGGUUUCGAUAUAUUGAUUUACCAAUGUUUGAUAACUAAAUUUAUUUGAAUAAUGUUUCAGUUGUCCACAUAUAUAAGGUUUGGAUAUAACAACUACAUAUAUUCAAACAUUUGUAUUACACAAAGUCUGUACAGUAACAUAAUAAAAUUACAAAAAAUUUAAUUAUUCAUCAUCUGAACUAUAAUAACUUUCGUUAUCGUCGCUAUCAUCACUUUCGGUCUCCCAAUCCUCCUCCUCCUCCUCUACUAUAACUACAUCAUCUUCGCUGCUCGGGCCCACUACAACAUCGAAUCUUGGAAGAUCCCCGAGGUCAAUUGUAAUUGACUGAAUCGGUAUUUCGAUUGAAGACACUCCUUGUAUUUGAAACGGUUCUUGUAUAACAUGUGUAUCUCGAAGUGUUUCCGCAUCAUUUUCCAUUGAUGAUUCUAAACGUUGGUCAGCCACAUUGUCGACGUCGUUGUCAGUUAGGUCUAGUUCUGGUAUAGCAUACACGUUCCUAUGAUCCAUCUUCUGAACAACUUUCCAACUGCUCCCGGCUUUAGGGUCAUCUAGAUACACAAUUUGUGUUGCCAUGUUUGCCAAAAUGUAAGGGUCGUCAUCAUACCAAGUUCUGUUAAUGUUCACAGAUAGUAAGCCAUGGUCGAUUUUAACACUUCCCGGCCUAUUUGGGUUGCUAUCAAACCAUCGACACUUAAACAUGAUCAUUUGGUAUCGAUCUUUGUAAAGCAAUUGAACGACAUUUGUGAGUUUGCCAUAGAAAUUAAUGUUUGUACUUUCGCCUCCACCUGGGACAUGGACACCGCUGUUUUGCGUACACAACUUGUCAUCUCGUGCAGCCCCCAAAAAUUUAACGCCGUUAAUAUAACAACCCGAAAACAAUUCAGCGCGAAUCGGGCCGAAGGCCAAGUUAUAUAACUCAUCACUGUAAGUGGGGGAAUUCGAUGAUUUCAACUUAUUCACCUAAUAUAAUAGAAAACCAUUCACAUGUUAGUCUGAUAAAUUAAAUACUACAAUUUAUAUUUGUGAAAUACAAAACACUUAUAACUUACAGAUUCCAAAAACCAUUGUGGAAACAAUUCACAUUGUUUCUGGGCAACUAAAUGUGAUGGAUGUUCUCGCUUCAUCAUCUCUUCAUGCUCAUCUAAGUAUGCCAUUAUCUCGUCACAAUUGUUCAGUACGAACCAAUGCGCUACUUCCAUGUCAUUUCUAGAAAACGACUCUCCUCGUCCAGGAUCUCCAAAGGGCCGUGCGCUUUGGGCAAAAACAGAAAGUUUUUCCUUCUCAUACCUCCGUCGUUAUUACGCUGAGGACGAUUGAAAGCCGUCUCCACAUCUUUUAAAUACAUUCCACAGAAAGUAAGCGACUCAUAUUGAACCCAAGCCUCUAUAAUUGAUCCUUCGGGCUUCGCCCUGUUGCGUACACUUUUUUUCAGCUCUCCGAGAAGCCUGUCAAAAUAAAAAGAUAUGAUACAAAUUAGCAAGCCUGUGAUAAUGAUGCAUACACAAACGAAAAGGAUUAUAUACCUUUCUAUUGGAUACAUCCAGCGAUAGUUGACAGGACCAGCAAGCAAUGCCUCUUCUGGCAAGUGAACCAUCACGUGCAUCAUACUUGUGAAGAAAGCUGGAGGAAAUAUCAUCUCAAACUUGCAUAGGACUUGGACAAUGUCAUGGCGCAACUGCAAUAUGUCUGUCUUUCGCAAUGUUUUUGCCGUCAGUUGGGAAAAAAAUCUGGACAACAACAUAAUUGGCUUCACAACAUCUUUCGGCAAUAGAUGUCGAAUACCCACAGGAAGUAGGCGUUGCAUAAACACAUGGCAGUCAUGGCUCUUAAGUCCAGUAAAUUUACCCCCGUCAACAUUCACGCAACGUGCGAUAUUAGAAGCAUACCUAUCAGGAAACUUUACAGACGAUACAAACUUUAGAAACUCUUUUUUGUCAUUCGGUUUCAUAGAAAAGAAUGCAAGAUCCCUUCUUGCUUUAUCACUGUCCCUGUUCAUCCAUAAUCCCCUUCGUAUGCCCAUUCUUUCCAAAUCAAGACGGGCUUUGAUUGUGUCCUUUGUCUUGCCCUCGAUAUCUAGAAUCGUGCCCACCAAUGUGUCAAAUACAUUUUUCUCAACAUGCAUCACAUCUAGAUUGUGCCUCAAUUUGAGUUUCGACCAAUAUGGGAGCUCAAAAAGCAUAGGCUUGUGAGUCUAGUUCAUAUGUGUCGAAGGUCUGGUCCGGCUAACUGUUUUUUCGAACGGAGCAAAAUCCAAACGGUUAAGCUGUUCCAAGAUCUCAUCACCGGACCAUUCUCUAGGUCUGAGGCGACGCUCUGUGUUCCCGUCGAACUCUUUAUCUUUUUCCCGCCACUCGUGGUCCCAUGGCAACCAUCUCCGAUGACCAAGGUAACAAACUUUUCCCGCGUGCCAACCAGAAGUUACAUCUUCCUUGCAUACAGGACAUGCCAUAUAACCCUUUGUGCUCCACCCAGAAACCAUUGCAUAUACUGGAAAAUAAUUCACAGUCCACAUAACUGCUGCCCGCAAAGUGAACAUCUUCCCAGUUGAUUUAUCGUACGUGCGAACACCGUUUGUCCAUAAAUCCUUCAGCUCAUCAACCAGCGGCCUUAAGUAAACAUCGAUUGACCUCCCAGGAUCCUCAGUUAUCAAAACAGUCAUCAUCAUGUAUUCUUUUUUCAUGCAUUUCCAAUGCGGCAAAUUAUAUGGGAAUACGAAAAUCGGCCAAGUGCUGUGGUGUUGGUUUAGAACCCCAUACGGAUUGAAUCCGUCAGUGGCAAGUCCUAAUCUCACAUUUCGGGGAUCAGCAGCAAACUCGGGGAACGUUCGAUCGAACUAUUUUCAUGCCUCCCCAUCUGCAGGAUGCCGCAUUACAUCAUCGUCUACCCGUUUUUCCUUAUGCCAUCUCAUGUCUGUUGCAGUGUGCGUCGACAUAUACAAUCGCUGCAACCUAGGUUUCAGGGGCAGAUAACGCAUGACUUUUUGUGGGAUCUUAGUCGUUCUAUUCUGAGAUGUCAUUUUGAACCUCGACUCAUUGCAUAUAAGGCAUGUAUCCAACGUUUCGUGCUCCUUGUAGAAUAACAUGCAAUUAUUUUUGCAGGCAUGAAUUUUUUCAUAACCCAAUCCAAGACCAUUCAACACCUUCUGCGCGUGUUUAUGAUCUUUUGGCAAACAAUUGUCCGUCGGAAGCAUUCUCUUGAAAACCCCUAAAAAGUAAUCGAAACACAGGUUCGACAUACGAUACUUUAUUUUUCCGUGCAUUAGCUCUACAAUGGUCGUGAGAACGGAAAAGCUCUCGCACCCCGAGUAUAACUCUUGGUUUGCAUUUUUUAACAGUUUUUCAUAUUGUUCAAACUCCGCGCUGUCUAUUGGUGUUGGCACGUCAUCUUCCCUUUCGUGAUUGAUGUUGGUCGAUGCAAAUGGAAAAAUAUCCUCUAUAAUAUCCAUGACUUGAUCAUUAGGAUCCACAAUAUGUUCAACACUGUCCAUUCUUGUGGCAUUUGAAGACGAAGCAUAGUCUAAUUGUUCCCCAUGAAGGUUCCAAAUGCUAUAUGUCUCAAUCAUUCCAUUCCUUACUAAAUGAAAUCCAACAUUUUCAAUUGUCUCCCACAACGUGUUAUUACACCUCCUACAAGGACAUCGGAUUCUAGUUGCACCCGGGUUGUGUCUACGUGCAAACUCAAUAAAAUCCUCGAUUCCAUCCAAGUAUUCGUCUGAGCAUCUAUUUGGGUUCUAUAUCCACCUUCUGCUCAUAAUUCCUGAAACCAUAAUCACAACAUAACAAUCACAACAACUUCAUACGAAGUUAUAAUGUCACCUUAUGCCUCCGGUAAGGGCCCUAUCCCAUUCGGGAAUGCAUAGUUCUGUCACGUAACCUACGGCUACAUGAGAUUAGAUUUCGACAUGGAUGAAUUUCGGCAGCAUCUCGAUACAGUUCUUGAGGUGGGCAUAGGUAUUAAUACCUACGUACCACCCGAAGAACGUACCGAGAUGACACCGAAAUCUCCACAAUCGAAACCUAAUCCUGUAGCUGUGGAUUACGUGACAACACUAUGCAUUACCAAACUGUCCAAAUAGUGGGACAAUUCAAGAAUUAAUUGGACCGCAGUCAUGCUUUACGCAUCCAUGUACAAAAUCCAACUAAUCUCGAACGGGAAACUAAAUGUUACUAAACAUACAAAUAAAAGUACGAAGUUAAUUUCAAUUAACUUCGUACAUCACAACACAUUGUGCUACAUCACACACAAUUUAACAACAUAAUAUAAAUAUAACUUCAGAAAAAAAAAUGUACACAUAACAAACUAACUUUAACAUUUUUAAUAUAUAAAACGAAUAAAAUACCGUGUCAAUCGUUCUCCACCAAUCGCUAAUUAUAAAUAUCCCUAACGAGAAUAAAAUUAAUAGCGUUAGUACGAAUUUACAUUAAUACUUAUAAAGUAACGACAACAAAUACUUACCCGAUGAACGUACUGAAUUUCCAGCAGAGACAGCGGUAGAGAGGUUGAGAGAGAGGCAGAAAGGAAAUUUUUUUCCUUUCUGCCUCUGCAAUGGCAGAGUUCUGAUAUGAAGAAGAAGGACUUUACGCGACGAAUAAUAAAAUCCGUCGCGCAAAAUACCGUCGCCAAAAACCUUUUUUUCGUCGCACAAAACGAGUUUUUUCCGUCGCGUAAAAGCUUGUCGACAAAAAAACUUUUGCGCGACGUAAGAUGUCUGCGUCGCACAAGAUUCCGUCGCGCAAAUUCUUGUCCUCGUCGCCCAAAAACAAAAUUCCGUCGCGUAACAAUUAUUCUUCGUUGCGCAAGAAUGUACCGACAUCUGCUUUACGCGACGAAACAUAUUUCGUCGCGCAAAAUAAAAUAUCCCCCCUCAAUUAUUUUGGCGCCAAAUUAUAAAUAUCCUUCGUUUUCUUACGCGACGAUAAAUGGUUUCGUCGCGCAAAGUUGUCUUUUGCGACGAAACCUGUCGUCGCAAGAGUUUUCGCAGCCAAAUCACCUCGCUUUUACGCGACGAAGUAUACCAUCAUCGCGCUAUGUUUUCUUACGCAACGAUUGCUCUCGCCGCGCAAGUAUUUGGCGCCAACAGAAUACCCGGGUUUUUUUUUCCCCCCUUUGCGCGACGAAGUUGUUUUUAUGUCGCGCUAAGAUGUUUUGCGCUUCGAAAACUUUGGUCGCGCAAGUUGUAAAUUUUUUGCGCGACGAUGUAUUUUUUGCGUCGCUUUAUUGCGUUUUGCGUGACGAAUAUGUAUUCGUCGCGCAAACUUUUGUCGCGCAAAUAGUAAAACGUAGUAGUGAACACCCUUUUAUAUGUACAAAUUUUUUACAUUUUGAUUUUGUCUUUACAAUGUAUCCAUUAAUAAUUCUAAGAAUAUGAAAAAAUUUGCAACUCUUCUUUUGGUACGAUUGAGAAUUGACUUGGUGAACUCUUAUAUAGUGUUUGUGCAUAAAGGCCCUUGACAACUUUCUCUCGAGUAAUGAACUUCUAAUCUUUUUUUUUUUUUUUUUUUUUUUUUGUGUGGCUACAACUAAGUAGAUCCAACAUAUUUUUUUUAACAACCAAGGACAAUCAUCAUAUUUUUUUAAGAACCAAGGAUAGCUUACAUUCUAUAGUUUGUCCAUCAUGUCAACACAUUUAUAAUUAAAACUUUUUUUUUUUUUUGUGAGGUUUCAAUUUUGGUGUCACUGUAACAAGACCACAAUUGCCAUUCAGUAUGCUAACAUUGUCACUAUGUUUGCCAAUUGCAUAUUAUGUAGAAUAUGAAGGCUUUGGUGUUUUGUAGAUCCUCGGGGAGCCAAACCCGUCUUUAUAAAAAUGGUCCUUAUCAAGGGUGGAACCAGGAAUUUUUCAACGGGUGGGCUAGCUAAAGUUAUUAGCUUAAAAUUUAAUGAUUAUUUUUUUUUGGUACUUCCAAUUUCUAUAGUCUUUCUAGAAAUAAAAGUAAACAUUAAAUCAUAUAUACCAAGCUAGUUCAUAGCUCCAUAGACUAAUUUUCAAUAAGUUUUAACAUAAACUAAAUAGGGUUUAACACCAUAGUGGAUUGAACAUCUAAGGCUUUUUACCUAGAUUGACCUGAGAUUCCUUCAUGCAUUCAUAUCAUACAUGAAAAGUUGUUUUAUGUAAAAAUAUUGACUAAGUAUGAAAAAUGGAUUUUCGGAAUAAUCAUUUUUUCAAGAUAAUUUUUGGCGGCUUUUAUUCCUCACACAUCAAAUAAGAAAACUUGAUUUUAUGGAAUUUUUGUAUGAAAUAUAUAUUGACUUAAUGAGCCAUCAUUUUUAGCCUAAAUCAUAUUUUGCACUAAAACCGAUUUUUCAUAUUUUGAUUAUGUGGGAAUUUGAACUUGUAUCAUUUGAUGAUGCCAUGUGAAUCGCUAGAAACAUGUAAAGUGUAUGGCUAACCCAAUAACGAAAGUUUCGUAAGGGAACCGGAGUAGGCUACCAUGAGAACAAAACGGAUUCUUCCAAUGUAUAAAAUAAAAAUUCCAAUGGCUUUUGCUAUUAUAACCUUCCCGACCACGAUUUUUUCUUUUUUUCUAGGCAUUUCACCUAUAAAAAAAAAAUUGUAUUGAUACUAUUGGAACAAAAAGGGCGGGCCCGGCCUGGUCAGUACUUAGCCGGGCCGUGGAACUAAAAAGGCCCUUCGGAUCGGAUGAAAAAAAAUUAUUAGGGUUUUUUAAGCCUUACAAAUUCCAUUUAUGUAUGUACUCCCGGGAAACAUACAGUACUCUAUUCCACAUUCCACAGAUCGGGAGUAAUCUAUAGGAGUUCUUGAAAGUAAAGGAGCAAUAAAAAAUUUCUUGUUAUAUCAAGAGGUUUGUUAUUGCUCCUUUACUAUUUAGUAUUUUUUUUUAUUUACUACUUAACUUUACUAUAUUGUUCUAUAUUUUUUUUUAGUUAAUUUACUAUAAAAUUUAAUUUCCCCAGAUACCGUCAUUGCUUCUUCUCUGGGAAAAGAAGUUCACGACUCGUAGGCCUUCUACCUCCACGCAUCAUUGCUCCGUCAGGCUUUCGCCCAUUGAGGAAAAUUCCCCACUGGAUCAGAAUGAAGAAUCAAAAUAGAUUCUUAAAGUAGACAAACAAAAGGGGUUAGAGACCACUCAAUAAAUGAAAUACCUAAAAGGUUUCUUUUGAGUUAUUUGAGAGUUACUAGUAUUUUUAUUUUAAUCUAAAUGGGGGGUACUUCCUUAUUUAUAUUGUAAACUUGAGUAAAUAGAAUAAUAUAAAAAUAAAUAAAAGUAAAAUGACAAAACAAUAUGUACAGCGCCACUAACUGGCUAAUAUUGAAAAUAAGUUACAUAUAUAGGUUUUAUAUUUUUUUUUUCUUAAAAAAUCACACUAGGCUACAGCCCACUGUAGCCUUUAGUGUGGUUCUGCCCAUGGUCCUUAUGAUACUACUUUAACAACAACAAAAAAGUAUAAUAAACUAGGCCUUUGUAGUCAUUGAAAUGGAUGUUUUGUCAUGGAUAUGACUAUUUAAAUGUAAUUACGGGAUUAAAACAAUAUAAAUUGGAGUAAACUAUAACAUUAUAUAUGAUCCAAUCUUUUUCAUAUAUUUUUGUUCAAGACUUUGUUUUAGAAUGCUCUAUUACUAAUUUGGUAUAGGUCCCUAAAAUCUAUGCCUUUAUGAGGCAACGUCUUUAUUUCUUUGGUUAUUCCAGUUUAGAAUAUUUGGACAAAUGAGAUGACUCCCAACAUAAAGUCACAUUCAUCCAAAAAGCAUGAAAUCACACACAAAAAGAACACGGACAAUUACUAAGUUUAUCCUUGUAUUUUUAUUUUAUUGAUCCGACCCAAUUGAAAAAUAAAAAAAAGAUGAUAAAAUAUAUUGUUCAUUGCUUACAUCUGUGAGUAAAGUCCUCCAUUUGAAAUUGCGUCAUUACACAAAAUUGGAAUGAAAAAAAUAAAAUCCUACAGCUAAAUUUGAUAUAUUUCCUUUUCAUUUUAUGUUGGGUGUUUUAAGUUUUCCUUGUAUCUUGUUGAAAAGAAAAAUGAAAAUAAAUAAAUAAAUUCCACGGCUAGCAACUUCUCCACCUACCCUUCUUCCCAUGUACUAACAACAAGGGACGCCUUCGAUCCUUAAAAAGGACAAGGGAUGCCAGGUCAGCAUCUCAGAUAAGUAUCCCAACCAAAAUCAAUCAAAUAAUGACAUAUGUAUCUCUUUUUGUAUUUUGUUCUAUUUCUCUUUGAAUUAACUGCAGAUUUUCAUGAGCGUGUCCUCCUUUUGAAAUUGUGUAUUAUUCAAAAUUGGAAUUUGCUGGUCAUAUUUGAUAUCAACUAAAAAAGUUUCCAAUAUCUUGUACCCGUUUUUUCCAGUGUGGGUCAAAAUUUGAAGAAGUCCACCGACAAUUUCUCAAAAGCUAUUACCAUAUUAUUGCAUCCAACUUUGAAAAAUAGAAGUUUUCAAAAGUUACCCCAAACAACAGUCCUUGAAAGAGAGAGUUCUCCAAGGCUAAAGAUUACAAGGAUGUUAUUUACAGUCUCAACAAGCUUCAAAAUUGGAAUUUGCAUUGUGAUAGUUGAGUGGAGGACAGGCUUGAGUGGAAGAAUUGAUUAAUUAUGGAACAGAGCCAAUGUGGAGAUUGUUGAUUAGUGGCUCAUUUAGUAGUCAAAAGUGGAAAUCAGUUUCGGUGAUUUUGUUUACUAUCAUGAUAAGUGGCUUGUCUUUGCAUGGUAAGUGAGCUGCUAUCAUAAUUAUUGAGUGGAGCACUUGCCAAAGUGGAGUUGUUGUAGUUUAUUUUUCACUCACUGAUGGUUGACGCUUCCGCACAACAAAUGAAUCAUCCAUUCCAACUUUUGUUUCUUCUUUUUUAACUAAAUUUUGAAUUUCAACGAGUUUCGCACAUUAAUAUUUAAUAUUAAUUUAUGUACUUGUACAUACAUUGCAGUAAUAUAUAUUAACAUACAUAUAUGUUCAGAGUUUAACAAUAAUAUGUGCCUAUAAACAGGGACGGAGCCGGAAAAAAUAUUCAUUGGGGGUAUCUCCAAACAAUAAAGUAAGAGUAGAAAUUUCAACAACAUACUUAAAGACAAAGUUCAUACAUUAAUGCAUAAUGUUUUUCUUCUUCCAAUAAAAAAACCUUCACCCACGAAAUAAUUAGCACCUGCUUGUUCUCCUCCAAUAUUUGGUUUUAAAAGGUAGCAGCAAAGACAAAAUGCAGAAUCAGUUUCUAUACUAUAGUCCAACAAAGUAGAAAAAUCAUCAAACCAAGCAGGAUUAAUGUUUUUCCAAAUUGCUUGUAAGGGAAAUUAUGGACUCUAGGCUGACAUGGACCUUUUUGCAAAUAUGCUCUCCUAACUUGAUCACUAACAUUAGGAUUGUAAGGGAAAACCAAGUAAACUUACCUUACCACCUUGACAUUGAGAAAAGAAGAAAGACCAGCAAGCAACUGUUUAGAGGAGGAAGAGAAGAAAGAGUCGUGGGGGUGGGGGUGGGUGAUGUGGGAUUGGGUUUUGUAAAGGGAGCUGAUUUCCCCACUCUUAUUUUCUCACACUUACACUCCUUUUUGCUUUUUAAUACUUUUUAAUCACUUUUGUUCUUUCUAUUUCCUAGUCUAUUCUUACCCUACAUUAAUUUCUUUUUUUAUUUUACUACUAUAUUAUUUCUUUUUCUUUAUACUUAAUUUUCUAACUUAUACUCCAUUUUCAGUAAUAAAGGGAAAAAAAAAACUUAAUUUCUUACUUGAUUAAAGGAAAAAAAUAAAACUAAAAAUGGAGUGCAAGUUAGAAAAUUAAGUAUAAAUAAAAAUAACUAAUAUAAAAGUGAAGUAAAAAGAAAUUAAUGUAGGGUAAGGGUAAAAUAGGAAAGCGAAGGAACAAAAUUGAUUAAAAAAUAUUAAAAAGUAAAAAAGAGUGUAAGUAGAGAAAAAGGGAGUAGUGAAAUCAUAUCUCUUUGUAAAUUGUAAUGCUUUUUAGGGUAACUAAAGAAAAAAUUUGAGUGGGUUUGGGGAGUGUAAAAGGAAUGUUUUUAUCAGUUUAAAUGGGUUUGGGUGAAUGGUUUCACGUGGGUGAGUGGGGGCAUGUGCACCCAGUGGGCCUAUGCUGGCCCCGUAUAAUAUUGUAUUUACUCUAGCGUAUAAUAUUGUAUUUACUCGAGCUCAAUGUCCUAUGAGUGGGUGCAUGCAUUCAUGUGAAAUUUGUGGUUGGCAAAAGGGGGCUUGGCAUUUCGAGUUGAUGGACGUUUUUGGGUGUGUAACGGAAGACUACUUGUUGGCAUUUCGAGUUGCUAAGGAAUAUUGUAUACAGUUAUUUGUUAGCACCCAAAAUACACAAAGAACACAGACAAUUUGCUAAGUUUAUCUUUGUGUUCGCUGCUUAGAUCCAUGAGCAUUAAAGUCCUCCUUUUGAAAUUGUGUUAUUAUUCAAAAUUGGAAUUUGCUGGAGAUAGUUCAUUUUUACCUUGUAUCAUUUUUGCCAAGUAAUUUGAAGAACUCCACCGACAAUUUCUCAAAAGCUUUUGCGUCCAACUUUGCGUAUACAUGGGGACCCCAUCCCCAUGUGAGGCCACCGAAAAGCUAUUGUGUUGUACGUACACGAUAUUAUUGAAGCCACAGAAAAGUUUUCAGAAGUUGCCCCACAAACAAAGAAGAAAAGUCCUUGAAAGAGAGAGUUUUCCAAGGCCCAGAUUACAAGUUCAUGUUAUUUACAAUCUCAAAAAGCUUCCAUACAAGUUGUGCUAGCCUAGCUACUUGCAAAAUCUUGGAAUAUUUUACUUCAUCCAAAUCCCUUGCAGUCUGUCUGCAGAGAAGAGAAAAGAUGGCUUUGAUCGGAGAGGCUCUUAUCUCUGCUUCCGUCCAGGUGUUGUGUGACAGAAUUACUUCAAGCGAGUUCGUCGACUUAUUUCGGCAGAAGAAACUGGACGAACCACUCCUCAUGAACUUGAAGACGACACUGUUGACUUUGUUCGUGGUGCUCAAUGAUGCAGAGGAGAAGCAACUUGUGAACCCUGCUGUGAGAGAGUGGCUUAACGAGCUCAAGCAUGCUGUCUUUGAUGCAGAGGACUUACUGGAUGAGAUCGACACUGAAGCUUUGCGACGCAAGCUGAAAGGUGAGGAUCAAACCCACAAAUUAACCAAUAAGGUGUGGAACUUACUCCCUUCUUCUCGUAAUCAUUUUUAUCAAAGCAUGAAUGUUAAGGUACAAGAGUUGUUGCAAAGAUUAGAAAACUUUGUACAACAGAAAAUUGCUCUUGGUCUGGGAGAAGUUGCUAGGAGGAAGGUUUCACAUAGAACUCCAACAACUUCCUUGGUUCAUGAACCUUGUGUAUAUGGUAGAGAUGAAGUCCAAGAAAAUUUAUCAAAAGUGUUGCUAUCUGAUGAUGCAAGCAAGGAUGAUGUGUCUGUCCUCACCAUUGUUGGAAUGGGUGGGGUUGGCAAGACAACCCUUGCUCGAAUGCUCUACAACAACAAUAAGGUGGAAGGGCAUUUUACACUUAAAGCUUGGGCUUGUGUUUCAGAAGACUAUAAUGCUUUUAGAAUAACUAAAACUAUUCUUGAGUCAGUCACUUCAAAGCCUUGUAAUACGACGGAUCUGAAUUUGCUUCAAGUUGAAUUAAGAGAGCAGUUGAGGGGAAAGAAAUUUUUAUUUGUGUUGGAUGAUCUAUGGAAUGAAAAUUAUGGCGAUUGGGAGCGCCUCCAAACUCCUUUUAAUUCAGGGGCCAGGGGAAGCAAAGUCAUUAUAACAACACGGAACAAAAAUGUAGCAUCUUUAAUGAAAAAUGUUCCCAUUCAAUUCUUGGAACCAUUGUCGCAUCAAGACUGCUGGUUGUUACUUGCUAAACAUGCUUUUGGAAAUGAAAACUAUAGUGCAAAUUCAAACUUGGAAGACAUUGGCAAGCAAAUUGCACUCAAGUGCAAAGGGUUGCCUUUAGCUGCACAAACACUUGGGGGUUUGUUACGUUGCAAUAUAGAUUCUGAGGAGUGGAAUAGAAUACUAAAUAGUAAUAUUUGGUACCUACCCCAUGGUACAACUGACAUUCUUCCAUCUCUAUGGUUGAGUUAUCAUUAUCUCCCCGCUCAGUUAAAACGAUGCUUUGUUUAUUGUUCACUUUUUCCAAAGGAUUAUGAGUUUGAAAAGGAAGAUGUAGUUCAAUUAUGGAUGGCAGAAGGCUUAGUUACUCAAGUUGAUAAUGGGAUGAUUAUGGAAUCAAUGGCUAGAAAAUACUUUGACGAGCUAUUAUCUCGGUCACUGUUUCAAAAGUCAAGAGAACUCAGUUUCACAAUGCAUGACCUCAUUCAUGACUUGGCUAUGUUCAUCUCUAAGGGGUUUUGCCUUAGGCUGGAAGGGGUGGAAUCACGUGAAGUUAAAAGAGCUCGUCAUUUGUCAUAUGCUAGGGGAAGAUUUGAUGUUGCUCCAAGAUUUGAACCAUUAUAUGAGGCUAAAUGUUUGCGGACCUUCCUACCUACCUCUUUAAAUCCAUAUAGAUCUUAUGAGAGAUUUUUUGUAAGUAAAAAAGUUCUACAAGAUUUGUUGCCAUCACUAAGAUGUUUACGGGUGUUAUCAUUGUCACGUUAUCAAAAUGUCACUGUGUUACCUGAUUCUAUUGGAAACCUCAUUCACUUGCGCUACUUGGAUCUUUCCCAUACUGCAAUUGAAAGGUUACCUGGGGUACUUUGCAAUCUCUACAACUUGCAGACUUUAAUAUUGUCAUAUUGUUCCUCUCUCUUUGAAUUGCCUGCAGACAUCAGAAAAUUGAUUAAUUUACAGAAAUUGACAUUGGGCGGUUGUAGUUCUCUUAAUAAAUUGCCUGCAGGCAUGAAGGAGUUGACUAAUUUGCAUCAUCUUGAUGUCAGUGGAACUAAAAUUGAAGAGAUGCCGGUGCAAAUGGGUAGAUUGAAAAGUUUGAGAACAUUGACUGCAUUUGUUGUGGGCAAAUCUACUGGGUUAGGCAUAAGAGAACUGAAGGAGUUCCCACAACUUCGAGGAAAACUAUCAAUUUUGAAGCUACAAAAUGUAGUUGAUGCGAGCGAUGCACUGCACGCCAAUAUGAAGCACAAGAAAGAUCUCAAGGAGUUAAAGUUUUCAUGGGGCGCGGAGGAUGCUGAUGAUUCCCAAAAGGAGAAAGAUGUACUCGACCAAGCUCCAGCCUUGCGUGAAUUUGGAGAAAUUAACCAUCAAAUUCUAUGGUGGAACCAAUUUUCCGAAUUGGUUAGGAGACUCGUCUUUUUCUAACAUACAAGUCAUGCAUCUCAGUGACUGUAGUUAUUGUUGGUUGCUCCCACCAGUUGGACGGCUACCGGCACUCAAAGAGCUCUGUAUAAAAAGAAUGAAGUCUUUGAGGACGAUUGGUGUUGAAUUCUAUGGGAGAGAUGGAGCUUAUCUGACUCAGCCAUUUCGAUCUCUGGAGAAGUUAGAGUUUAUGGGGAUGCCGGAGUGGGAGGAAUGGGUACCAAGUGGAAGUGCAAGUGGA